GGACCUGAGUUCGCUGCCAAAUACAAGACCCUCAUCUACCUUGCUGGUUCUGCUUCCGCUGAGGUCAUUGCCGAUGUUGCACUUUGCCCUUUUGAAGCUGUUAAGGUCCGUGUUCAGACACAGCCUGGGUUCGCUAGAGGAAUGUCCGAUGGGUUUCCUAAGUUUGUCAAGUCCGAAGGAUACGGAGGGUGAGUUUCUGGACACAAAUAACGUUCUCUCCCUUGUUAUUGCUCUAGCCAUUUGUGUCUGCUACAUUUUUUUAUUAUUUUCGCAGCUUGUAUAAGGGUCUUGCUCCACUCUGGGGACGUCAGAUUCCUUGUAAGUUUUGUCCUCUAUUUUGAAACCUUUUGCACAGUUUAUGUUUUCUUUGUAGUUGGUCAUGAAACAUAAUACAUGAUUCGUUACAGACACAAUGAUGAAGUUUGCUUCGUUUGAGACCAUUGUUGAGAUGAUCUACAAGUACGCAAUCCCCAACCCAAAACACGAGUGCAGCAAAGGUCUGCAACUCGGGGUGAGUUUUGCCGGAGGUUAUGUUGCUGGAGUGUUCUGUGCAAUUGUCUCUCACCCCGCAGAUAAUCUUGUUUCGUUCCUAAACAAUGCUAAGGGAGCAACCGUUGGAGAUGUAAGUUAACAUGUUGACAACUGUUUAUUCGUUUGUACUAUAUAGGAUUAGUAUUUGAUUCUUUUGAUGUGAUGAAAUGUUGUUGCAGGCGGUGAAGAAGAUUGGAAUGGUGGGACUGUUUACCAGAGGGCUUCCUCUAAGAAUUGUGAUGAUAGGGACAUUGACUGGAGCACAAUGGGGUUUAUAUGAUGCUUUCAAAGUGUUUGUUGGCCUGUAAGAUCUUCUCUCUCAUUACUUCCUUUCUUCCUUCCCUCAAUACCUUCUUCAAAAGUGAAGAGUGCAGAAACUCAUUUAUUUAUGUUUUAUCUGAUUCAGGCCAACCACCGGUGGUGUUACUCCAGCCCCUGUCAUCGCAGCAGCUGAAGCCUAAGACUAAAUGAUGAUGAUUGAAAAAAAAACUUAGGAUUUUUGUUUGAAAGAAUAAAGAGAAACGUAUGGCAAUGAGGAAGAGUAAAGCUCAUCCUCUGGAUUCCAACUUGAUUCAUUUUUUUUGGAAAUUUGUGUUCUUCAAUUGACGAUAGUGCUCUCUCUUUUCACAAUACUAUCUCCCUAUUUUUGUUUGUGUGAUGUAAUCUUAAAAGAUGAGCGGUACACACGCUAAGAUAGAGAGUGUGGGCACACCCACUUACUACUUUUGUUCUUUUUCAUUUGGAAAAAUCUCUUUUGGUAGCUUUCCCCAAUUUACAGCUUUACUAUUGCCGUCAAAAGUUACUGCAGUUAGGCCAGGGACGGAUCGGGUAUCCGGACAAUUUUAAGAUAUCCGGAUCCUUAUCCGGCGGAUCCAUAAUUUUACUAUUUUUAUCCGGAUCCGGGGUUCGUGGAUAUCCGGGUGUCGGAUAUCUUUCUAAAAAUUAGGGGUGUUCAAUCUGGUAAAACCGAACCAAUUAAAACUGAACCGAACCGAAAUAGAAAAAAUGAUUUGGAUUUGGUAGUACCGAAUAUACCGAAUGGAUGUCAUUUUUAAGAAACCGUGGUAUAAGGAUAUGGUUUGGUAUAUAAACCGAUCAAACCGAAUAAACCGAUCAAUUAAAAUAUAAAGUAUAAGUAUAUGUAAGUUAUAUAAUAUAAUUAAUAAUAUAUACCUAAUUUAUUUUAUUGGUAUGAUUUUCCUACUUAAAUGUUUAUUUUAGUUAUUUAAUAUUUUAUUUUAAGUUCAAAUUUUUUUUAUCAAAUUAAAAAAAACAUAUUUUUUUACUUUUUUGUUUAAUAGUAUUAUGGAUUACUGAUAUUUCUUACUUUUAUUUCAUAAAACUAUUACUGUUAUUAAAUAAAUAUGUUUACUGAUUAUUUAAAUAGUAAAAUAAAAAAUAGAUUAUUUAAAAACCAAAAUAUCGCCAUGUUAUAAUUAAAUUUAAAGCCGAUAUCUAAUAAGAUGGACCAAAGCGUAACAAUGUGAUCGAUCGAUGGAUAUAUGUUCAAAAACGCAUCGAUCGAUCGAGUAUAUCAAGUGUUCCUCGGAAUUUCCUCGGAAUAUACCGACAGAAUUCUGAGGAAAACAAAUUUUGGGUUUCCUCGGAAUAUCCUCGGAAAUUCCGAGGAUUUCAUUUUCCGUCGGAAUGUCCGUCAGAAUACCGCUGUUUUCUUGUAGUGUUGUGUCUCCACCCUAUUCACAUCUUCUCCUUAUCACUUUCUUCAGUUCUCGAAGUCAAAAGGUCUCUGCCUACAAUCUGCUCCAACGCCUCGCCUCUGCCUGCAAUCCAAUUUUCAUCUCGGUCGUCCUCCCUUUUAAUCGUGUUCGCUGUUAUAGGGUUCGGCGGUUGGGUUUUGCGUUACAGUUUCGGCGGCGGUAGUAACACAGCCAACCUCUCCAACUUCACCAACUCAAUUCUUAUCAGAUCUUUGACAGUCUCGUAAGUUUUCGGUGUUUCUCCGUCGAUUCUGGUUACUAAAAUUUCUUCUCAGAUCUUUAUAGCGGUGAUGCGAAAUAAGUAGUGUAGUAAUUUAGGGGAAGAUGUGUGGAAUAUCAAUUCUUAGAAAUGCUCAGUCGGUACACAUAGUAUGAUAUUUUGAAUCCUGUUUCCAAUUGAAAUGUAAUAGUAUACUUAUCUCAUACAAUUAUUCCACUGAGGAUAGUAUCACUUGCUAUUAUGUUUUGCUUUGCUGCAAUUUGUGGUCGGUUGUGGUUCCCUCUCUGAUGUUCUUAUUCUAAGUUAUGAUUGAAUUGGGGGGGGGAGAUGUUUCAUCGUAUGUCCGUAUCAGUAUAUCUCGUUGUUAUAUGUCAUUUUAAGUGGAAUAGUAUGAGGUUCGUAUUAUUCCAUUUUACAUGGAAUCGUACUUUUACAUCAUAUGCCUUUCCAUUCAUUAGCCAUUCUUAUUCUGUUUGACUCAUAAUUCAUUUUUAUAUUGAAUAUUACAGUGUGAACCGUCCUCACUCUUUGCCUCUCUUACUUUUCAUUCUUCAGGUUUGGUAUGGACGAGUUAGACCAUCCAAGUAGAUUGUUUGAGACAGACUUUGAACCUACCGGCAAAAAAAAAAGGUUAACACCUAUUUCCAGUAUUAUGGCCGGUGGAUUUAAUUUCACAAAGACUUGGGUUGCCAAUGUAUUGGGGUUUAUAUUUACUUAACUUGGGUUUAGUGUUUACUGUCAAGUGUUCUAUUACAUCCAAUUUUUAUCUCGGUCGUCCUCCCUUUUAAUCGUGUUCGCCGUUAGGGUUCGGCGGUUGGGUUUUGCGUAACGGUUUCGGCGGCGGAUAGUAACCCAGCCGACCUCUCCAACUUCACCAACUUGAUUCUUCUGAGCUCUUUGACAGUCUUGUAAGUUUGAAGUGUUCUUCCGUCGAUUCUGGUUACUAAACUUCUUCUCUGCUUAUCUGAUUUUAUUUUGGGAUCCUCUAUGAUGUUCUGCUUGGGGGGGGAGGUUUGUCUCUGCAGUGCAUAGUUCAUGGUGUAGAAAUAUCAAUUAUUUUGUGGAAUAGCAUCUGCAAUACAUAGAUGUUUCAUCGUAUGUCCGUAUCAGUAUAUCUCGUUGUUAUAUGUCAUUUUAAGUGGAAUAGUAUGAGGUUCGUAUUAUUCCAUUUUACAUGGAAUCGUACUUUUACAUCAUAUGCCUUUCCAUUCAUUAGCCAUUCUUAUUCUGUUUGACUCAUAAUUCAUUUUUAUAUUGAAUAUUACAGUGUGAACCGUCCUCACUCUUUGUCUCUCUUACUUUUCAUUUUUCAGGUUUGGUAUGGACGAGUUAGACCAUCCAAGUAUAUUGUUUGAGACAGGCUUUGAACCUACUGGAAAAAGAGGGUUAACAACUAUUUCCAGUAUUAUGGAAGGUGGAUUUAAUUUUCCAAAGAUUUGGGUUGCCUAUUUAUUGGGGUUUAUAUUUCCUUAACUUGAGUUUAGUGUUUACUGUCAAGUGUUCUAUUACCAUCUCCAUUAGCUUUGUAUUUCAUGUGGCUAAUGAGGAAUGUAAAUACAUGUCUCUAGUAUUAUAGCAGGUGGAUUUAGUUUUCUGAAGAUUUGGGUUGCGGAUUGGGAUUUAUAUUUCCCUAACUUGGGUUUAGUGUUUAAUGGUCAAGUGUUCUACUACCAGCUCUAUUAGCUUUGUAUUUCAUGUUGCUCAUGAGGAAUGUAAAUACAUGUCUCCAGUAUUAUGGCAGGUGGAUUUAAUUUCCUGGAGAUUUGGGUUGCCUAUGGAUUGGAUUUAUAUUUCCUUAACUUGGGUUUAGUGUUUACUAUCAGGUGUUCUUUUACCAUCUCCAUUAGCUUUGUAUUUCAUGUGGCUCAUGAGGAUUGUAAAUAUAUGUCUCCAGUUUUAUGGCAGGUGGAUUUAAUUUCCUGGAGAUUUGGGUUGCCUAUGGAUUGGAUUUAUAUUUCCUUAACUUGGGUUUAGUGUUUACUGUUAAGUGUUCUAUUACCAUUCCUAUUAGCUUUGUAUUUCAUGUUGCUCAAUCUUGGCUCUAGUAUGCACAUAGUAUCAUUUUAAAUAGUACAUUGUAUAUAGUAUAGAAGUCUUCUCGUAAUGGACGGUGCAAAUGUGUACGUAACCCUAUAAUACACAUUUAUAAUCAUUAACCUACACCACUUGUUUAAAUUUACACAGUAAAAAUAUCUUGGUAAAUCGACUUCAGUAUGUGGCAUCCUCCUACUCUUUCAUUAGGAGUAGCUGUCACCAACUAUCCGACCUUCAUAUUUUCCUAAUUUGUGUUUAGUGUUUAGUGUUUAGUGUCAAGUGUUAUUCUACCAAUUCCCCAUUAGAUUUUGUAAAUCAAUCAUGGAUGUAUGCAACUAGUAUAUAAAUAACAUUGUAUAUUUUAUAUGGAAUAGCAGUUCUCAGAUAAAUUACAUAGUGUAUUCUAUAUGGAAUAGACCUUCUCACGUAAUACACGUCAUAAACGUUAAUUCACCUUAUAAAGGAUAUAUAUUAUCAGAAGUUAAUAUUGGCAUCAUUUCAUUUAACGAAAAUAGAAGGUCGCAAGGUUUUCCGUACAACAAACACAAUAUGCCCACAUUCCAUUAAAUUUGGGUUAUGCUAUAUAUUUUUCUGUGUGGUUUAUUGAAAGUUUACAUUUCCAUACUAUUUGGCUUUUAGUUUAUAUCUGUGUGGUUGAUAAAUUUAUUUCUGGAAUAUUUGGCUUGCUUUGGGUAAAACAUUAUGUACUUUCCUUGCAUCAUGUGCCUUUUUAACUGUAGCAAAAUUAUGAAGACCAUAUUUCACUUGGAACUACAUUUAUAAUAUUACUAUUCCACAUACGGUAUAGUAAGGAAACUCAUACAAUCAGUAUAAAAUAUACUUGUCAUCAUCUUCAGUUCGUCGUUAGGUUAGAAUUGUUUCUGGCACACUUACAACUGUUAUCCACUCCUCUCGAUUCAUACCUUUACAUUAUAUGUGUUGAAUACAGCUGCACAACGCGAUCCGUAUGUUAUUUUAUUGUUACGAUGCCACACAAAAAUGCCACGUCGUUUACUUUAUAAUAUAGAACCGAUAACCUGUUACUUGAAAGGGUAUAACCAGAUGGAAUGAAGCACAAAAAUCUGACAAUGAAUUAUGUCAAAAUCAUAGCUACUUACUUAAUUUAUCACCAAAUAUGGCCAUUUGGCCAAUACGCCCAUAAAAAAAUGAACGACCGUUUCCAAUACACUGAUCUAAAAUAAAUCGUCUUGGGGUCAUAUCAACAAAAAUAUUACCAAGUAAAGACCAUCACAUCUUCUUACAUUUCAAGUACGAUUGGACCAUUAAAUAUUUGUUUCAAUUUUACUAUAAGUAAAUUAAGAUUUCGAAAGAAAAACAAAUACUGGAAACUAAUAUACGAUAGAAAAUUGGGUUUUGUGAUUUCUCUAUAAAAUCUGUAAUUUUCUUGUAGAAAAUCUUGAGUACCAGAUGACAUUCUCAUCUUGAGAAAUCUUAAAUAUUUCGUCAUCCCUUUUCAGCUUAUAUCAUUCUCAUCCUAUUUGCGUCAUUUAUUUAUGCUAUUUUAUAUCUUAUUUCAACAAUAUUAAUUAGAAAUCUACGAAUGGUACAACCUGUUUGCUGAGCUGGUGCCUACGUUAGUUCGUGGACUUCACGUUGCCGACCAAAUCUAAGCUCCAUUUGUUUUCCUUGCAUGUUCCAAGCCCUUCUAAUAAUAUUAUUUCUGAAGUUAUAUAUCAGAUCUUCGUGGCCACGAGUGGACUUUAGUAUUAAGUAUUAACCAAUUUUGGUUUUCUACUUUCUAAAUAACUAUUAGUUUUUCUUGUUUUCUAUAUCGAAGUUUUCUAUAUCGAAGUUUUCUGCUAUACUUGAAAAUAAAGAAAAGAGUCUAUAAGCCUCUCGGGCCCGACAAUCGAGGAGCCGACAGUUAUCAUCUUUCUCGACGCCGGCGAGGCCUCUGGCCGCUGGCGUCGGGUCCUCUGCUCUGCCUCCNNNNNNNNNNNNNNNNNNNNNNNNNNNNNNNNNNNNNNNNNNNNNNNNNNNNNNNNNNNNNNNNNNNNNNNNNNNNNNNNNNNNNNNNNNNNNNNNNNNNUAAAUCUUUUUCUGUGAUUAAAUUAUUUGGGAUUUUUUUUUAAUAAAAAAAAUAAUUUAUCUAUUUCUGUAUUUAUUAAAUAUAUUUUUUUAAUUUACAGGUCUCAUGAUGAUCAGACCCGGCCUCGACAGCGUCGUGGUCGUGGUGGUACGGGGAGCCAGUCUCGGGAUUCCAGCCAUUUUCAGGAUUCCCCUUCGCCCCACAGCUCCAACCAUACAUCUCCCUCUGCUGCACCCGCUCAUGCUCCUCUCGCUCCCGCUGCUGCAUCCGCUCCUGUUCCUCCGGGUCCUCCGGGAGUGAUGAGGGUUGCGGAGUUGGUUCAACAGCCCGGUCGUGACCAUCUUCCGUAUCUCACUCCUUAUCCACAUGGACGGGGUCAAACUUGGUAAUUAAACAUUUUUUUUCUUUAAAUUUGGAUUCAUUAUUAACCGUUUGUUCUUUUAAUAAGGUUCAACCGAUCCGGGAACGGGAUCAGCGCAUGGAUCAACCGUAUGAUGUACUCGGCCCUCGACAGUGGACAUCCGACUUUCACUCACUUCCCAACCGACAAGCAGGUUCUGUGGUUUCGUCAGUUUGCGGUAAGUAUUCUAAUUUUUUACUUAUAUUUUUAAUUUUUAAUAUAAAUUUUCUACUAAUUGUGUUUUUUUCAGCAAGAGUUCAACUGGAAUUCCGAUGAGACGCUCUUUAUCUAUCACCACUUUGUCCAUAAAGUAAUGGACAACUAUGGGAAGCAGAUCCACGAGUGGAAGAAGAAGUGGGAAAUCAAUAAGGUUCGAUUUAAUUUAUUAAACAAUUUUUUAAUUUAUUAAACUAUUUUUUAAUUUAUUAAACUUUUUCUUUUUUUUUUUAAUUAAAAGGUCCCAAAGUCGAUGAACGACACGGUCUGGAAGGAGUUGUGUGCGCAUUGGGAUAAGGAGGAGACGAAAGAAACUUCUUCCACCAACUCCACCAACCGCAUGAGCGACCGUAAAAGGAAGGGCAUCUACAAGCAUAACUUGGGUGCUCAAUCUAUUGCCACUCUCGGAGAUCGCAUGGUAAGUUCAACCGCUUUUUCUUCAAUUAUUUGAGUUUCAGAAUUUAAAUUUAUUGUGCAUUUCUUCUAAUUUCUAAUGUUUCUUUAAUUUUAUGUUUUUUUCAAGGUGGAAGAAAAUGAUGGCGAGUCGGUCGAUGAUCUCGCCCUAAUGAGGAGGGCGUAUACCAACAAGAAGACCGGCCAGAUUGAUGACGGUCUUGUGAGGGACGUGGUCGACCUGGUCCAAACUCAGGUGGUAGACGAAGUGUCUCAGCUUCAAACCGAGGAUGACGCUUCGACGGCUUCGACCAACUUGUCCCGGUUUCGAAUCAACGAAAUCGUUGAAUCCGUAAGUUCUUUUUUUUUUAAAGUUCAAUUCAUUUAUUUCUUGGUUUAAAUUUCUAAAUUUGGUUUUUUUCUAUUCAGUCGGUUCCAAAGAAGAAGGGACGUUUGUUCGGUUUGGGUCGUCACACCCGGUCGGUUCCUCCUUCUUCUGCACCAAAGCCCUUUGUUGAUCCAGAAGUACUUACGGCUCAGUUGAAGGACAAAGAUGAUCGAAUAUCUUUGUUGGAGACCCAGAUGGCGGCUCAACAGGCGGGCUAUGAGGCACAGAGGAGGCUGAACCAGAAAAUGAUGGAGAUGAUGCAGAGGAUGUACCCGAACGAGGUGUUCCCGGACGUGCCAGACCCGUAGUUUUUUUUUUCCCCAAUCUCGGAAUGUUUUAUUUUUAUUUGUGAAACUUUGAAUAUUAAUUAGUGUGAUUUCAAUUUUACUUUUAAUUUCAUAUUUUCGAAUUUAAAUUUCAGAAAUUUUAUUUUUUCAAAAAAAUUAAUAUUUUUUACAUUCCGAGGAAAUUAAUUAUAUUUUUCACUAGAUCGAUCGAUGCGUUUUUGAACAAAAAGGCAUCGAUCGAUCUGUUUUUUUUUUUAAAUAUAGCGAGGGACAUUUCCCUCGGAAUUUUCCGAGGGACAACUCCCUCGGAAAAUUCCGAGGAACGGAUCCCUCGGAAUAUACCGAGGGAACAGUUCCUCGGAAUAAACCGAGGGAAAAGUCCGUCGGUAUACUCCUAUCGAUCGAUGUAUAUAUGUCCAAACACGCAUCGAUCGAUGAACUUCCGAGGAAUUAUCCCGACGAAGUUCUACCUCGGUAUAUUCCGAGGACUUUUCCGACAAACAAGGGAUCCUCGGAAUUUCCUCGGAAAUUUAUUUCCUCGGAAUUCCGUCGGAAAAUUCCGAGGGAUUUCAGAGGAAAAAAGAAAUUCCGAGGAAUUAUUUCCGACGACGUGUUUCGUCGGAAUUUCGUCGGAAUAACGAUAUUCCGACGAAAUUCCGACGAUUUUUUCCCUCAGAAUCCUUGAUGUUUUCUUGUAGUGCCAGAGCAUAGAGGUGCCAUCCUAGAGCAGGGGAACUCAAAGCUCCGGUUUAAAUGUGGCGCAGCGUAUCAACGGUAACUCAGCUCAAAUCUAAAGAUUUAGAUUAAACCUUUAGAGACCUGACUUCUUGAAUCGAAGAAUUGAAUCAAAUUCGAUGCAAGGCUCUCGGAUUGAUGAAUUUAAUCGAAUCAACACAAGGCUUAAGAGAAAUCUUUUGAUUUAUAACUUUUCAAAAACUAUCAUAUAAAAGCCAAAGCAUCACGACUUAUAUAAGUCUUAAGGGUCGGUUAUAAACUCCUAACCCUUCCUAAAACAAGAAAUCUAAUAACUUAAAAGGAAACAUGACUUAAACAAGAAAAAGGAAACUAGGAAACUUUACGAAAAGCUGACAUAGUUUGAUAACGUGGCGGUGAAGGUACUAUGAUGCUGCAUCAGGUCCCCCGGGGUUAGGAAGAUUUGACCCCGAAUCGUGAACCGUAUCUGGAGGAAUGUAACGAGACAAAUAACGGACAUUGAACACGUCAGAAGUGUUGAUAUGAGCAGGGAGAUGAAGACGAUAAGCAUUAUCGUUGAUACGUUCAAGAACUUGAAGGGGACCUAUCUUCUUGGCUUUCAAUUUGUUAUAGUCACGUGCUGGCAUCGAUCCUAUCCUUUGUAAAAAAUGCCAACACAAGAUCGCCUACUUCGAACACAAGGCGUCGACGAUGGAGGUCAGUUGUAUUCUUAUAACGGUCGGCCGAAGACUGCAAGUUAGUCACAACGCGAUCGUGAACUUGAUGAAUGGUGUCGAUGAAAUCAGCUGCAACACCAUGAUGUCUUGUGAGAUCGGGCAAGGUGGUGAGGUCAAGAGGUCCGCGAGGAACCAUUCCAUAAAUGACCUGAAAAGGACUGUACCCCGAACUUCUGUUCAACGCAUGGUUUAUGUGCGAACUCGGCUUGAGGGAGCUUAGAGUCCCAUGAUUUGAUGGAGUCUCCGACAAGGCAACGAAGUAGAUUGCCUAAAGAACGAUUUGUAACUUCGGUCUGGCCGUUCGUUUGAGGAUGAUAAGCGGAACUCAUAUCGAGACUAGUCCCUAAUAUCUUCCAAAGAGAACACCAAAAGUGUCCUAAGAAACGAGAAUCGCUAUCAAAGACAAUGGAUGUAGGUAAACCAUGCAACCUAUAGAUUCGCGAAAGAAUAAAGUGGCCACUUGAACAGCGUCGGUGGUUUUCUUGCAGGGGAUAAAGUGAACCAUCUAGGAAAAAUGAUCCACAACAACAAAUAUUGAGUCAAAGCCUUUCUGAGUACGAGGAAGACCCAUGACGAAAUCCAUGCUGAUGUCGGUCCAUGGCUGAGUAAGGAUAUGCAACGGUAGGUAGAGACCGGCUUUUGUUGCAUGACCUUUGGGCUGUUGACACACAACACAACGUUCAACAAAGCGUUCAACAUCUCAGCGCAAAGUUGGCCAAAAAUAAGAACAAGAAACAAGAUGUAACGUCUGAUCACGACCAAUGUGACCCUCAUUAUGCAUUUCAGAGAUGAGCUGGAGACGCAGACUACAGGCUGGAACACAAAGGCGAUCACCCCGAAAGAGAAACCCAUCGUGGAGCACAAAGUCUUGAGAAAGACCAGACUGAACUUCUGUGAGAACGUUCCCAAAGAACGCAUCGGACUGGUAUAAGUCGGCAAAUGACGCGAAACCAGGAACACUCACUUGGAAAACGGCGAGGAGACUACGACGCCGGCUUAAAGCAUCAGCAACGCGAUUGGAGACGCCGGAUGUAUGCUUGAUAACAAAUGUGAACCGCUGUAGAUAAGCUACCCACGCCGCAUGUCGGGAAGACACUUUGUCCUGACUGCUAAGAUGCUUAAGAGCAUCAUGAUCAGUAAAAAGUACAAACUCCUUGUGAAAAAAGGUAGUGUCUCCAGUGCUUGAUGGCUUGAACAACAGCGUAGAACUCAACGUCAUAUGUACUGUAACGCGACCGUGCGCCACCCAACUUCUUGCUAAAGAAUGCAAUGGGUCGAUUUCUUUGGCUAAGGACGGUACCUAUGCCAGAUUUAGAGGCGUCACAAUGUAACUCGGAGACUUAAGAAAAAUCCGGUAAAUCUAAGAUAGGAGUCGAGCUAAGCUUGUGUUUGAUGAUGUCAAAGGCGCGGGACGCCUCGUCGGUCCAGACAAAUGAACCCUCACGGCAAAAACAGUCAGUAAGUGGUGCCAUGAGACUACUAAAUUGCGGUACAAAACGACGGUAGAAAGAUGCUAAGCCAUGAAAGCUUCUGGCCUCAGACAGUGUUGUAGGUCGCGGCCAAGACCAGAUAGCUUCGACUUUGCCCGGAUCAACAGACAAACCAUCAGCAAAAAUAAUGUAGCCAAGAAAGUACACUUUGAUUGAUCCAAACUCACAUUUUUUUGUGUUCGAAUAGCUGGUCACGUCGUAAAACCAAGAGAACUUCUCGGAGAUGAACCAGAUGUUCGGCCAUGGUCAUACUAAAGAUGAGAAUAUCGUCAAAGUAUACUACCACGAAUUUGCCAAUGAACGGACGUAAUGACUGAUUCAUGACGCGUAUAAAAGUACUAGGCGCAUUAGACAAUCCAAAAGGCAUGACAAGCCACUCAAAAAGUCCUUCAUGAGUUUUAAACGCUGUCUUCCAUUCAUCACCAGGUCUGAUACGAAUCUGAUGGUAACCGCUCAACCAGGUCUGAUACGAAUCUGAUGGUGACCGCUCUUGAGAUCGAGUUUAGAGAACAAGGUAGCAGUACCAAUCUGGUCAAGAAGAUCGUCGAGACGUGGAAUGGGAAAAUGGUAGCGGACUGUGAUUUUGUUGAUGGCGCGACUAUCGACACACAUACGCCACGAGCCGUCUUUUUUUGGGAUGAGUAAAGCAGGGACAGCACACAGACUUAAGCUUUCACGUAGAAAUCCUUUAGCCACGAGUUCUUCGACCUGACGUCGCAGUUCUUCAUGUUCGGUUGGACUCAUGCGAUAGUGGGCUAUGUUUGUGAGAACUGCAUCUGGAACCAAAUCAAUACGAUGUUGUAUGUCGCGUAGAGGUGGAAGUCCGGUUGGUAAAUCAGCGGGAAAGACAUCGCUGAAUUCUUGAAGAAGAGUGGAGAACUCAGAUGGAAGUGAUGGCGAUAAGGACAGUGAAUUUGUGUUGAGAAUUGCUAACAUGAAUCCUUCCAGUCGGAAUGUCUCUUCAAACUGUUUACACUGAAGGAUCAGAACCGGCGCUGCCUUAGAGAUUUGAAGUUCUGGUGCUGAAGGUUGAAGAGUAAAGUUACGGUUUUGGAACCGAAAACUAUAAGUGUUCUUGAAGCCAUCUUGUAGAAUUCUGCGGUCAAAGAUCAAUGGGCAUCCUAAAAGGAGAUGACAAAUAUCCAUAGGAGCCACAUCACACUGGACUUGAUCUCUGUACACAUCACCCACCGAGAAGGAAAUCAACGCACGGCGAGUGAUUAACAAAUCUGUGUUUGUAUCAAGCCAAGCUAACUUGUAUGGAUAAGGAUGAAGCUCUGUUGGAAGAUGUAGUUUAGUAACAACCUCCUCUGCGAUCGCAUUCUCACUACUCCCAGAGUCAAUGAUAAAUUUGCAAACCUUUCCGUCAAUCGUACACUUGGAGUGAAAAAGGUUAUGGCGUUGUGGAUUAUCAUCAGGAACUCGGGGUGCAAGACAAACACGGCGAAGCAUUAAAGCUGUGCCGGUGUCUGCAUGAAGAAUCUCAGUAUCUUCUUGCUCAUUUGUGGGCUCUUCAUCAUAGUUCACUUCAACGUCAUUGCCAGAUGUAUCAAGGAGAAGGCCGCGACGGUUUCGUGUUGGGCAGUUAGACUGGCGAUGACCAAUUUCAACAUAAGAGAAACAACGAAGUGAGUUCGGACGUAGUGGACGAUUGUCAAGAACAGAAACGAUGGCUGUUUCUGGUUUGACAGGUUCUGCAUCGUCUGUUGCUGGUGUUUGAGGUUGAGUCGAUCGUGACGGACAGGCGCUAGUCUAGGAGGAGAACGACGUUUUAGUUUGAGAUUCAAUGGUUAGUGCAUGUUGAUGGGCUUCAGACAAUGUCAACGGAUGGAAGAGAUUGAUUGUGUGUUGAAUUUGUUUUCGGAGUCCUGCUGUGAAACGUGCUACUAGUUGUCGUUCGGAGUCUUGCAAAUCCACACGAUUGAGAAGCAAGAAAAAUUCUGUAGAGUACUCAGCCACAGAACGGGUUCCUUGGCGUAUGGUAUGGAGACGUUGGAACAUCAUCUGGUCAUAGUUAUAUGGAAGGAACGUCUUCUUGAGUUUCGCCCUGAGUUUAUCCCACACUAGAAUUUUAGGUUUACCGAGACGAGCUCGAGCUGUCUUUAAUUAGGUCCACCAUGCUGCGGCAUGUCCACGAAAGCGCAUGGUUAGAAGAGGAACACAUCACUCCAAUGGGGCUCUUUUAAACUCGAGAAUUUCCUCAACCGUAACUAUCCAAUCAAGUAGUUCUUCGGCUGAUGUAUUUCCAUGGAACUCUGGUAUCUCGGUUUUGAAUCAUAGUGUCCACUGAGUAUCGGCUGCUGCAACUUGAGCAUUGUCUUGAGCAAUAGCUCGGUUGUUGCGAAGAGGAGCAAAGGGGUUAGCAUCAACUGCUGCGACGAACGGGUCUGCUUUGUCGUCUUCAUCUUCUUCCUCGUCGUUAUCACGUUCAACGUUAUCGCGAGCUAGGGGUGGUGGUGGUCGUUGAACAUUAAGGGCUUGGGGGCGGUGGUGAUUGUGGCCAUCUGGGCUUGAAGCUCAGCAAUGGCGUCGCGGGUAAUUUCUGCCUCGGUACGUAACGGUGCUCUACGAGUUCGAGCCAUCAGAUAUGAUUAACAAGGAACGUAGCAAAGCUCUGAUACCAACCUGGCGCAGCGUAUCAACGGUAACUCAGCUCAAAUCUAAAGAUUUAGGUUAAACCUUUAGAGACCUGACUUCUUGAAUCGAAGAAUUGAAUCAAAUUCGAUGCAAGGCUUUCGGAUUAAUGAAUUUAAUCGAAUCAACACAACGCUUAAGAGAAAUCUCUUGAUUAAUAACUUUUCAAAAACUAUCAUAUAAAAGCCAAAGCAUCACCACUUAUAUAAGUCUUAAGGGUCGGUUAUAAACUCCUAACCCUUCCUAAAACAAGAAAUCUAAUAACUUAAAAGGAAACAUGACUUAAACAAGAAAAAGGAAACUUUAAGAAAAGCCGACAUAGUUUGAUAAUGUGGCGGUGAAGGUACUAUGAUGCUGCAUCAAAAUUUCAAAUAGAUGGAUUGAGACGAAUGGAUGAGUCUUCAUUCUACUGGAAGAUGCAGAGGUGAUUCUGCAGGGACAGAAGUGUUGUCCACGUUGGUAGACACCAGUUAACAUAAAACGGAGGAACUUAUUUGGGAAAUAAAAGAAGUAUGCAGCAGAGGUUAUCAUCAGGUCAUGUUUGAAUUAGAUUGCCAACAAGUGCUCAACAUCAUUAACAAGGAAGAAGAUUGGCUGGUGUUAGCACUUGAACUGGAUGAUAUCAAAGCUAAUAGUGUUGAUUUUUCAUGAUAUUGUUUUCUCUUAUCUCCUUCAAUCUCGAAGCCUCCGUGCAGUCUUAGAAAAAGGGGGACGAUCACGUGCUCAAUGUUUCUCAAGUGUAGCCUAUUCAUGGAAAUCCGUAAAUAUUCCAUUCCAAAAAUAAAUAAAAAUUGGUUUUUUUUGGAAAUUGGAAUUAUUAGUCCAAAAGAGGCAAGUUCAUGCAGCAUGCCUCAAUGAAUAAAAGUGAUUUAUUAAUGAAAGUUUGGUUGAUGACAAAAAAAAAUCGAAUUCAAUGUUUUUAAAACCGGACUGACCCGAUGGUUGAACUAGAUUACACCAUGAACUGGUUACAUAGUCAGAUUAGAUCUAAUAAUUGGUUCACGUAGUCGAAUUGGAUCUCACAGUUAUUAAACUGAUAAAAACUAUUAAAACUAUCAAAAAUAUAUAAAACAUCCAUAUAUUUAUAUUUAUAAUAUUUUAUGUUUUAAAUUCAUUUAUAUUUUAAUUAUCUAUCAUAUUUACUAAUAUUACUUUUAAAUGUAUACACAAAAAUAUAUUAAAUCAGAUUAUUGAACCAGGUUUGCCCCGGUCGAACCAUAUUGAACCGUGACCCAUAAAUUAUCCGGUUCAGCUUCCGGUCUGGUUUUGAAAACACUGGUAUUAUUCUAAUCUCAAUAUUUUUGUUUUGGUAUAUUUAGUAAAUCGGUUAUAUAAUAUAGCUUAUGGUCGGUCUUGGCAUGAUUAAUGACAAAACCUAAUUGAAUCAAGUCGCCGACAAAAAUAAUGAAUAAAGAACAAAUUCAUGGACCAACUUGGUCGAUAACACAUGAAUAUAUAUAUGGUCUAUCAACAUACUCUAUAAAAUUGGAUGGUAGACACUUUACAGUUUCUUAAAUGCGAGAUUAUUCUAUCUUUUGUUUUCUUUCAGUUGGUUAUAUAGAUGUCCGGUUUCAAUCUCUUGUGGAUGAGAAUUUUCGUGAGUCUCAAGAGUAAAUUCCUUAGGAGGUUGAAUACGUUAAUUAUGACGAAGAUUAAUAAACAGAUAACUGUAAUCAACAGAAACAGCGGUGGGUUAUGUAAAGAAAACGGGAUCACCGAUCAUGCGAUGGUAGAGAUUCCAUUAUCAUAAUAUUAGAGCAUCAUUACCAGUAAAACCUGUGUGAGUCUCUCAAGAAAAUCAAAACAUUAAUAAUAUUUGUUUUGUUUAAUGAACUUUUUGCAAAUAUGACUCGAAACAUUAAUAUUUGGUUUGUCUUCCGGUAGACGAGGAAGUCUUUCAGAAUUUUAUACCAAUUCUGAUCAAACCUUGGUUAUUACAGAAGACUUAUGUGUAAGUCGUAUGCCAGAAGACUUACAUGGAAGUACAGAUAAAAUAAAAUAUUUAAGUUUUAUUUUUUAAUUGCAAAAGUAACAUGAAACGAUUUAAAUAGAAGUCUUCUAGAAAAAAAAUAUAUUUAAAUUUUAUUUUUCUGUUGGACGACUUCUGUGUUAGUCGUCUAGGAAAAAUCAAAUUUCUGACACAAUCCGGUCAAAUGCAAAACUAACAUGUUUAUCAUAGACGACUACCAUGUUAGUAGUCUAGGAAAAGUCAAAUUUCUGACACAUAAAGUCAAUUGCAAAACUAACCUAUGCAUUGACCAAAAAACUUCCGUGGAAGUCGUCUACGUCAACGUUUAAUAAAAUUUCAUUUUCUUGUUAAUUCAUGAAUAUUAUUCAAUAUUGGGACUCCUGAAUGAAAUUCAUAACUUAAUUGGUGAUAAUUAUGAGGUUAACAACAUUCAUGUUUAUUAUUUUUUCUAACUAAUGAGAGAAGACUUUUCCAUAAGUCUUUUAUGUUAGUUUUUGUUAAACUUGUAUUUUCAACUUUAAGAUAUAUAUAUUUUUUAACUUUCAAAAGUGUUAAGUAACUUCAAGAAUAUCAAGUCAUAUGGUUUAAUGUGUCUUCUUAGAUCAUAAGAUAUAUUUUUUAACUUUCACGAAAUUUGAAAUUUUAAUUUUCACUUAGAAUUCGAGUUUUCCGCUUAAAUUUUAAUGUCUCUCUUUAAUUUCCCCCUUAUAUUUAAAAUUCUCGCUUGAAAUUUAAGUCUUCAGAAAAAUCUGCCGAGAAGAAGUCUUCUAGAAGACUUCCUAGAAGACUUCUAGUGAAACUGUUAUAGGUUUGAACUAAUGUAAUAUUUGAUCUUUUGUGAAUUUGACUAAGUUUUCUUGAUAAGUUUUCUCUUUUAGUUGUAGUAAAUUUGACUAAUUUUUUGUAUUAUUGUGUUUUGUUAUUGAAGUUAGUGAUCAAUAAUGUCAAGUAUUUUUUUUGGCAAGAUAAUAUUGUAGAUAUUAACAUAUUUACCAAAUUUUUUUAUUUAUAUCUAUUCAAAUUUACAAAAGAAUUCAUAAUUAAAAGAGUUCACAUAGAAAUUACAAACAGACCAUAAAUAAAACUAUUAUAGCUCAUUACUCCACAAAGAUAAGCUUAGACUCCACUUGACAUGGGAGAAGACUUCCAGAAAAAGUCUUCUAGUGCAUUAAAUGUUAGAAGACUUUCGAGAAGACUUCCCUGAAAGUCUUCCAAGUCUCUCAGAUCUAAAAAACAUGCAUAUCAAAAAGCAUUCAAAUGGCUUCAAAAUAUAGAAUAACUUCAAAAAUAAGGUAAGAGCUUAAAACAACCAAAAGAAUUUUCAAAAAGUAAGAGCUUUAAGCAACAAGAUGUUACCAAAUAAGAAAAUUUAAUUUAUAGAUCUACUUUUAAGGAGUGGAAGAUGAGAACCAUGUAAUGAAAAACCUACAAAACAAGAUGAAUUAGUGAGAAUAACAUGAUACAAAAAAUGAUAAAUUGAUAUAAAGUUUGGUGUUUGCAAAAAUUGAUAAAUUGUGAAAAAUAUAAGAGUUUUAAGCAAUCAGAGGUUUACCAAAUGAAGAAAAAUCAGACAUAUAAACUUACAAAAACACUCCGCUCUGAAAUGAAAAAGGAAACAUGGGAGAAGACUCUGCCAGAAGUCUUCUAGCGCAUUAAAUCUUAGAAGACUUCCGAGCAGACUUCAAAUGGCUUCAAAACAUAGAAAAACUUCAAAAAUAAAAUAAAUCAGUGAGAAAAUAUGAAAUAACUAUAAUUGAUAUAAAAUUUGAUGUUUUUAAGUUUAAGAAGAUUAGAGAGAGGUUGCAGAGUUUAAGAAUGAGAAACAUUGCAUUUUUGUUGCAUCCAUUUGAGAGAAAGAGAGAGAAUGUGUAAAUUUUCUCUAUAAAGGGAGACAAAUAUUCCAAUAAAGUUAAAUUUUUUCAAUUCAGAAGACUUUCAAGUAAGUCUUUUAGAAACUAAAAUACUUUGCGGGAAACUCAAAAAUAUUUUAGCGGGAAUGAGUAGACUUUUAGAGAAGUCUUCUAACUAAUAAAAUACUAAUCACCAGAAAGACUUCCUGAAAGUUGUCUAGACCCUAAAUAUAAAUCAUAAACUUAAAUAACUAAUUAAAUAGAAACAAACAGUUUAUUAAACUUAAAAAGUGUUUAAUAUACACAAAGCUAAACAUUUAUGUCAAAAUUUAAUUUUUCAAAAAAAUGUUAAGUUUUCAAAAUCUAACCCUAAGAAUGAAUACAAUACUACAACAUAUGUUGUCAACCCCUAAACCAAAGAAUAUCAUGACUCAUUACUUUCACUCAUCUAUGUUGAAAAUAAUUCAAUUUUAUUAUAUUUUCAUUUAUAUCACUUACAACUGUUUAUAAUUACAUGAUUUCAAUUUUUUCCCUAUCAAAAUAUUUGUUACAAAAUUUAUAAAUUACUUUUAAGAUCUACUAUAUGAGAAGACUUACAGAACCCUAGAGGACUUAGAAAAUCUCAGAAGACUUUACGGGGUUAUAUUCAUAAAAAGGAAUUAUGGUUUUUUGUUUGGUCAUAUGGGGCUAUUUGUAAUUUCACUAGCCUUUUGGGUUACUUUGCAUUUGUUUCAAGUUUGAGAUACUUUUAGGGUUAAAAUCAAAUUUUGAGUCAUAUUUGGUAAAUUCUUCUUGUUUAAUUACUUAUCUAUCUUAUUAAAAUUGAAGUAAAAAUAGAACUAACUUUAUUUUCAACAGAUUUACUACAUAUUUUCUUUCUUAAUUUUCACUCAUCUUAACUAAUUUAUUAAUUUUAAUUUUCUAAAUAAUUUAACAGCGUUCAUUAUAAAAGUACAAAAUAUAAUUUAUCUAUUUUUGGUGUUUUGGUAUAUUUUUAACAUUCUCUUUUCACACUUCUAAAAUAUUUCAUUAAUUGUUUUUACCCUAAUAAUUUGAUAUCAUUUAUUUUACAUGUUAACCAUAAUAUUUACAUGUUUGAAUGAAUUUUCUUCAUACACAACAAUAAUUCAAAUCAGUUAACAAAAAACUUUUUAUUUGUUUACAUAAUCAGUUAGAUAUGAGUAUUCAUAUAUCCGUUCGGAUACGGAUAUGUUCUUUCAAGUAUCAAUUUUUUUGGAUUUUGAAAUUAGGCUCCGUUCGGGUGUUAUAAAUUUUUAAGUGGUAUCUGAGUCGAGUUAGUUCUUUCAAGAUUCGGAUGGAUUCGAUUUUGAUGUGUAAUGUGUUUUUUUUUUUUGAACACCUGAUGUGUAAUGUGUAAAAAUCUAAAAAUGAACAAAAAAUUUAUGUAUUUAUAAAUAUCAUUAAUUCUUUUUUUUAAAUAACAUCCACGUGGACACGCAAAUCAAUCUCUAACAAAUUUUGAAAACUAUUGAAUCAUUCUUUCACUUUUAUAUCAGAGAGAUUUAAACUUCGGAUUUGCCCAAAAAAAAAAUAUCAGAGAGAUUUCAACUUCGGAUUUUUAUUUAGAAGCAAUUAAAUCAUAUCAACCAUAAUGAGAAUCUUUUAACAACUUUCAGUCUUUCAUUAAUCAUUACGAUUAGAAUUUAUUUUCAUUCCUUUUUACAUUGAGUUGAUUACUCUUUAGGACACAUUUUGAGUUUCUCUUACACUUAUAGACACAUUCCACUUGUGACACACUUUUUUUGUGGGGUCCAUUAGAUAUUUGGACAACUAUACCCUCAAGGGAAGGAGAAAGUUAGUUUUUUUUAUUAUUUUUCUUAUUGUGCUUCAUGAUUUCAUUUGCUUUUAUCUCAAAAUCUAAAAUAUAUUAAAUAAAAAUAAUUGUCAUAAUAAACUAUAUUUAAAAUUAUCUAUCUUUUAAGUUCUAUUUUCAUAUAUGUAUGGUAACUUGUAAACAAAAUUAAUUGUGGACGUGGAUUCCAAAGCGUGGAUAGUAGAGAUAUACACUAGUUGUGGACAUGAACACCUUAACUCAGAGGUCAUUGCUUAUACCUUUAAGAGAUUGUUCUUCGCUAUAGUCUCCGGUAAUAAGAAACUUAGAUAACCAUGUUUCCACCGUUACUCACACCGUCACCGGCACCGCCGAUACCAUCACCACGAUCGAGAUUUGGUUCUAACUCGUUAAAGGUCUCAUCUUUCGAUCUGACGUACAUCGAUCUGCUAGAGACUUCCUCGUGACCACAUCCAAUACAACGCAACUAGCUCUCGAUCUUCGAUAAGACAGCUCGAUCAGAGAUGUCUUAUCCAUUGGAGCUCGAUCAGAGUUGUCUUAUCAGAGAUCGAGAGCUAACUAGUUGUGUUGGAUUGGAUGUGGUCACAUGGUAAAUCUUCAGCAUCCAAAAAUGAGAUUUUUAAACCGCUAGAUGGUGGUGGUGGCCUCGGUGGUGCCGGUGACGGUGGGAGUAACGGUGGAAACGUGGUUAUGUGGGUUUUUCCUUGCCAGAGACUAUAGCGAAGAAUAAGCUCUUAAAGGUAUCAGCCAACAACUUUCGUGGUAAGAUGUUCAUAUCCACAACUAGUAUAUAACUCUACUAUCCACGCUUUGGUGUCCACGUCCACACUUAAUUUUGUUUACACGUUAAUAUAUAUAUAUGAAGAUGGAUCUUAAAAGAUAGAGAAUUUUAUGUAUAAUUUAAUUUGAUAAUUAUUUUUAUUUAAUACAUUUUAGAAUCUGAGAUAAAAGUAAAUGAAAACAUAAAGUGGAAUAAGAAGAGGAGAGAGAUUCAUGUGAUGAGAAGAAAACAACUUGUAUAUUAAAAACAUAAAGGCAAUGAGAUAAAGAAUAAAGUUUAGGGUCAUAAGAGUCUUUUUGACAUGAGAAAGUGUGUCUCAAGCACUAAGUGUCCUAUAAUGUAAUUGGAAAGUGAAAAAGUGUCUUUAAGUGUAAAAAACUCUUUUACAUUUUGUGUAGAACUAAAAGUAUAUUCGUAUAUUCAUAUUACGGGAUGCAGACGAUCACAUAUAUGUUAGUUUACUAUAUAACACACACAAAAACCACACAAAACUGCAAAAAAAAAAAAAAAAAAAAGAGCAACCUAAUUAAAAAUCAGAAUAACUGUAGCAUAAAAAGCAUUUCACUGAACAAUCCACCCACCGAUGGGGUCUACUAUUCUGAUCUACAUAUAUUCAAAUGGAUAUAGUCUUGUGCAGAGGGCGAGCCCGCUUCCAUGGCAGAACUUCUGUUUAUGCACUUAAGACUUCCGACUGCUCAUCCAAGAUUCUUCUGACAAUAGCAACGCGAUGGACAUCCUUACGAACUCGAGCCUCGCAAGAGUUCGUACCUUAUGUAAAUGCAAGAACUGCUUCAUAGAGUAAAGCACAGAGUACACCAGAAAAAUAUCUCUACAAAAAUAUGUGUUAUUACUAGUAUUCUUUUAAAACGAACUUACAAGUAUCUCUUUAAACAGAACUCGAACAAGAUCAAGACCCUUCUUGACUUGCUCCCCUAGCCUUACACGUCCUAAGAUCGAAUACAAGAUCUCUAGAACCAUUACCUCUUAGCCCUUAGUGUUAUUCACUCGCUUACAAGCUUAGCGAACUCCACUCUUAUGCUAAGAAUACAAUUCUCUCGACGACCCUAAUCCACAGGUCGAGUAUGACUAUAUAUACAAUACAAUCAAGUCGGCUAUCCACGCCUAUCUACCCAAUAUUCCCUAUUUACCCAAAUAAGGUAAGUUCCCUAAAACCUCUCCAAGGCUUUUUAGAAAACUUCCAUCCUGAGAUCUCCCUUCUCCAAGGUGAAUCUCUACAAGCUUGUUCCCCAAGAUAUCUUCGUAUCAACUUAGCCUUGAUCCGCAAUCCAUUCUUCAAGUCGCAAUCUUCAUCUUGACUUGUUCAUCCGCACGUACACUUCUCUGUUGCAGACUCUGCUCCCUUCGAUGUUGUACUUGCGUCUGUAUCAGAACGUCCAUCUGAUCUUUGCAUCUACAAUCUCCCCCUUUUAGCUUUGGAUGUCUCUCAAGUACCUGCACAGAUCCGCUCAAACAACCACACACAUUCGAACAUAUAUAUCAUGAAUAAUACGUGCAUUAAAAUUGACAUGAAGGUUCAAAACAUGCGAGUUCAAGAGUUAGAGAUAAACAUAAAACCAAAACACCAAAAACCAAUAACAUUGUUUUAUCUCUCACUCCCCCAUAAUUAAAAAACGAGAAACAAAUUAAAUUUUUCUCCCCCAUAAUCUAGUUCCCCUGGUCAUCCUACUGUUGCGGAUCGUCUGCCUCUUCUUCUCCCCCUGCUUGAGAGCAUACAUAGUUAAAAUUCAUAAAGAUCAGAGUAAAUAAAUAACCAGAUAGAAGACUUACUUGGGAACAGCAUGCUUGCAAUCUGUCCCCCGACGCUCGUCAGAGUCUGCAUCGCAGUUGCAAGUUGUUGAAUUGCUUCCGAGGUCGUAUCUAUCGGUUGCCCUGGAGAUGCAACUAAUCCGAGGUGAAUGAUCUGGAACUUUCCAGCAGCCCGCGGAGACUGUCUUGGUGGCACAUACCCAGAAGGAUCAGUCCUCUCAGAUCGAGGAGUGCUUGGAGGUGGUCCAGAAGUAGGUGCUGCAGUUGAUGUUGAUGCAGAUUUCCCUUUCUUCUUGGUCUGCUUCUGAGCCUUCUUCUCAGCCUCUCGUGCUUCCUUUUUAUUAUUGAGAUACUUUUCGCCCUGACGAGGGUCCUUCUUAUAUGGAAUCACAGCCACAAGUUUCUCUCUUGGUCUUCGCUGCACCAUGUGCUGCAUCUAAAGCACACCAUAGAUAGUACGAGGAAAUAUCAACCACCUCGUGUCCUUCUUUUCUCCCUCUUUUUUGAAUAACUCCGAGGUUAAGAACUUGAUUGUAGACCAACACUCCUAUGUCAACACAGACUCCAUGAAACAUCUUAUAGACAAGUUUUGCACGAUCAAUGGACACGGCAUUUUUGUUAGACGAAGGUACCCAAAUUGUAUGCUGCAAGGACUAGAAGCGCAGCUUUACAUAGAGACAGAGAACUUGUCGUGAGGUUCUUCAUCUCCCGUGUUCCCUCGGUCAGGAAGUCAGCGAGCUCAUCACUAUUAACUUCAUCCAUGGUUUCCUCUACUUCUAGCUCAUCUCCCUGAAGUGGUGAAACAUCAAAGUAUUGAUCAAUCAUAGCUGGAGAAAAUUCAUACUUUUGCCCUCGUACUGUCACUAUGACUUCUGAUCCUCUAGUCAUCUCACCAGGCAAGGCUGCAUAGAAUUCCUUCACGAUCUCAGAAAUGUAACCUCCUAGACCUGUGACAGUCUUCUCCAGUUGCCCUUUCUUGAUUAUACUCAUAUAGCCCCAUGUGUCUUCCGAGCUCAGAUCCACAGAAUGUUAUGGAAUAAUCUCUCUAGAGGCAAAACUUGCAUACCUUUGCUCUGCGAGCCGUUCUGCACCUGAAGUUGUUUUGGCCUUUCUUUGAGAUUUGAUUCAUGAGGCAGAGGUUUUCCUGGUUGAUUUUCUCACAGGAUUGCUCUGGGUUGCUGAUGAUGGAGCUUUCCUCUUUUUCUCUUUCUCCUUAACACUGACUGGUGGUUCCAUGUUCUCAGCAUCAACUUCCUCAGCUUCUUCUGAGUCAGUGUUCUCUGAGUCAUCUUCUUCCUCAGAUUCACCUGAGGAGACUUUGAUUGCUUUUCCUCGAUUCUCUUUGGAGGCCUUAGUUGUAUCAGCUCCCUGUGGAAUCGUCUCAGAGGUUUCUUUACUCCUUCCCUCCUUCACGUUCUUCUUCUUCCUUGUUAAUCUCACUGGUUCUGACUUAGCAUCUGACUCAGAAUCCAGUUGUUCGGCUGCGGUAUGAAGAUCUUCGGAUAGGGGUUGAGACAUCUGACUCUGUUGUGGCGUCGUUUUCUCCUCAUCAUCAGAGUAGUCUACGAGAUUCAAUGGUGGUGGAUUUGAAUAUUUACCGGCGGCGGAGGUGCUUUUGUUCAUCAACAUGAUUUCUGGAGAGAUAAAGAGAGAGUUUUUCUUUUGAAAGUUUUUUGAGUUUUGAGAGCAAAGAGAGUUAUCAGAGAGAUAAGUUGGCGUGUAGGGUUUAUCAAGGGGUAAUCAUUUCUUUUUUGGUACAUUACCCCAUGAUCUCCUAGAUAUUCGCCAUAUUUCCCACUCUCUCCAAAAUGGAAGUUUUUAAAUUUCAAAAAUUCGAAAUCUUCCAUUUAGGCUCACACGAUCUCUCUUCCCUUUUUCUCUUAUGUCGACACGUAUUGCCCACUUAUGACUUGAUCGGACUGAAUCUUCACUGUUCCACUGUGACACUCGAUGACAUAGACUGGUGAUAUUAACUCAAUGACUUUUCCUGACACAACCACUUAGACAAAAAAACAUUUAGUACAUUAAACACACAACCAAUGAGAGAACACGUGUCACACAGAAUAAUUUUUCAAUUUUGAGCAUAAAAAGAAUUUUUGUUUUACCUUUCCCGUUGGCAACUGUUCGUCGAGUGAUCCAGAGGCUGACAUAGCUUCUGCUACAGAUGCACCCUUCUUCUCUACUAAAUCCUCAUAUGAUCAUCAGGCUUAUUUCAUGUCUAGCUUUCGCACAAAUAUGCCUUUAUCAUGUCCUGACUCAGUUUUCAACAUUUAUUCGUCAUGAGAGAGCUGGGGUUUGUUACUUCUUUUCUUUUUCUUGUCUUUUUCUUUUUCUUUUUCUCUUUUCUUUUCCAAGAGUUUUCUUGUGCUCCCUUUUUGAUGAUGGGAGACACAUGACAUCUUCUUCCCCUUGUUACUUGAUUGCUCUCUCGAUGCGAAACCUGUACUUUUUGAGAUCAUGACGGCAUAUUUGGCAGCUCUUUUCCACUACUCGCUUCUUAUGUAAGACAAAACCUGAACUUUGGGUGCCUCUGCAUCAGCUCUUCUGUCAUCCCCUGUACAUUUACACAAACUUGUUACAUCUCACAAACCCCAAUGGAGUUUCGAAGAGUAACAAAACGGUUAAAAGAUCUAAAGGUUUAGUGAAAACAUCAGCUAGUUGUAAUUCUUUGACAACAUGUUCAAUCACUACUUGUUGUUCAUCGACUAGUUCCCUGAUGAAGUGAUGUCGAAUGUCAAUGUGCUUGGUCUUUGAGGGUUGCACCGGAUUCUUUGAUAUGUCGAUUGCACUCUUGUUGUCACAGUAGACCAGAAAUGAUCCAGUAUCCAUGCUAUAGUCAACAGACAUUUGCUUCAUCCACAUCAGCUGUGUGCAGCAACUCCCCAUAGCAAUGUAUUCUGCUUAUGAGGUCGACAACGAAACAGAGUUCUGCUUCUUGCUCAACCAUGCAACCAGGUUGUUUCCGUGAAAGAAACACCCCCCACUGGUACUCUUUCGAUCGUCUACACUUCCAGCCCAAUCUGCAUCACAGUAUCCAACAAGAUUUCCAUUCGAUCCCUUUGAGUAGUAAAUCCCAAGGUUAAAUGUGCCUUUGACAUAUCGAAUGAUUCUCUUAGUUGCCUCCAGAUGAGACUUCUUUGGCUUUGCUUGGUACCUAGCACAUAUACUUAGAUCUGGUCGACUAGCCGUCAGAUAAAGUAGGCUUCCGAUCAUCCCUCUAUACAGCUUUGUGUCCACUGGUUCACCCUCCUCAUCUUUGCAACUUUUAUUUGUCGAGCUCAUUGGAGUUUUUGCCUCCUUGCAGUGAUCCAGUUGAAACCUCUUCAGUAGUGCCUUUGCAUAGGUACUUUGCGAGAUGAAAACACCUUCCUCUGUCUGCUGUAUUUGUAGCCCGAGGAAAUAUUUCAACUCUCCCACCAUGCUCAUCUCAAACUCUUUGGUCAUGUCUCGAGUGAAACCAUCUACAAGUUGUUUAGAUGUUCCUCCAAAAAUGAUGUCGUCAACAUAGAUCUGAACCACCAGAAUCCCUGUUUUAUUCUUCAGCACAAACAUAGUUUUAUCGACACUUCCUCUGAUGUAGCCUUUGUCAACCAGAAAGUUUGUCAACCUUUCAUACCAUGCUCGAGGUGCUUGCUUCAACCCGUAUAGAGCUUUGUUGAGUUUGUACACAUACUCAGGAUUAGUUGCGUCUUCAAAACCCUUUGGCUGAUGUACAUAUACUUCUUCAGACAGUAUCCCAUUCAGAAAUGCACUCUUAACAUCCAUUUGGUACACUGUGAAGUUCAUGAUGCAUGCCAUUCUAAUGAACAGUCUGAUAGACUGCAAUCUAGCCACUGGAGCAAAUGUUUCUUCAAAAUCAGCUCCCUCGAUUUGCGAAUACCCCUGAGCUACUAAUCUUGCUUUGUUUCUGACCACAAUUCCAUUCUCAUCAAUCUUGUUCUUGAAGAUCCACUUAGUCCCAACUAUGUGACCAUCAGAUGUCUUCUUCACCAUCUCCCAUACAUCAUUUCCGAUGAACUGUUCUAGUUCCUCCUGCAUGGCUUGAAUCCAGAACUCAUCCGAAAGUGCUUCGGUGUAGUCUUUUGGUUCAAUAUUUGAGACAAAGCAUGCUGACUGCACCAUUUCUCUGAAGUUGAUCUUCACACCUCUUGUUCUUCUCCCUUCAUUCCCGUUCCCAAUGACAUCUCUAGAUGAGUGAUUUUUGUGAAUGUUUGGAGUGAUCGUCUCCUGAGUCAAUUAUGAGGGAGUUGUUGUGUCAUUCGUUGAUUCAGUUGAUGGGUUCUUUGAUGCAUCCGAUGGCAUAGCUUUCUUCUGUUCCUCAUCGUUUUCCCAUUCCAGUGCUGUGACAUCAUCGAACACAACAUUUACUGACUCCAUGAUCAUCAGGGACCUCAAGUUGUAGACUCUGAAGGCUGUGUUGUUUGCUACGUAUUUUAGGAACAUGCCUUCAUCGCUUCUUGCAUCAAACUUGCCAAGAUGCUCUUUGUCGUUCAGGAUGUAGCACUUACACCCAAAAACAUGAAAGUAACUGAGGUUUGGUGUUUUUCCUUUCCAUAGUUCAUACGGAGUCUUGAUAGUUCCUCUUUUGACAUAGACACGAUUUAUGAUGUAGCAUGCAGUGCUAAUAGCCUCUGCCCAGAACCUCUGCUUCACAUUGUUACCAUGCAUCAUAGCUCGCGCCAUCUCCUCAAGCGUGCGAUUUUUCCUUUCUACUACUCCAUUUUGUUGAGGAGUUCUAGGUGCAGCAAAUUGUUGAACUAUUCCGUGCUGUCCAUAGAAAUUACUCAUGGCUUCAUUUUGGAAUUCUCCCCCGUGAUCACUGCGAAUCUGCUUCAGUCGUCUCUUCCUAAUUGUAACUUGAAGAGCCCAGAUCUUGAAGCUUUCCAGUGUAUCAGACUUUUCACGAAUGAAUCUGACCUAUGUAAACCUUGAGUAGUCAUCAACCAGAACUAGAACAUACCUCUUCCCUGCUAUGCUCUCUUUCUGCAUAGGACCCAUGAGAUCCAUGUGUACCAUUUCAAGCAUAUCGUUGACUGAAUAUCUGGAAUCAUCUUGUGUUAAACUUUGACCUGCUUUCCUUGAUUGCACGGUCCGCAUACAGUCUUCUCUGUUUCCUCCAGCUGAGGAAUGCCUCUGACUGCACCUUUUCUGAUGAUGUUGGUCAUAUGCCUCAUGUUCAUGUGACCAAGUCUUUGAUGCCAUAGACUUAUUUCAUCAUGUGCAACAAAGCACUGUUGUACACUCUGCCAUACAUAGCAAUUGUUAGCAGAUCGUACUCCAUAGAGAAUGACUCUGUUUUCCUCAUUCACAGCUUUGCACUCUCUGCUUGUGAAGUGAACUAUCAACCCUUCAUCACACAAUUGACUGAUGCUGAUUAGGUUUGAUUUUAAUCCCUUGACUAAGAACACAUCCUUUAGAGGUGGUUUGGUUUCAACAGUCUUUCCCUUGCCUUUGAUCGCUCCUUGGCUUCCAUCUCCAAAUGUGACUCUACCUCCUUUAAAUGGCUUUAUCUCUAUGAGAUUCUUGUGUGUUCCUGUCAUAUGACGAGAGCGACCACAGUCGAAAUACCAUGGAUUUUCAUCUUUGGAUAUCAAUGCCACUGCUUCUGAUACAAGUGCCAUGCUUCAUCUCGGACCUCCGUGAAUAGAUCGUUGAGUUGAUUUCACUGUUGUACGUCCUAAAUCAGAUUUCCUGAUCCAGACUUGAUUUCGAGAGCCAUUCCACUAGUACUUUCCUUGUCUCAACAACUGAUUUACUUUUCCCCGAAAGUGAUAGCAUUUCUUCUUGAUGUAACCCGGUUUUCCACAGUAGUAACAUCCUCUCUCCUUCUGAAUCUUUGAUCGUCCCACCUUCUGGAGAUUCUUAACUUUCUCAGCACCAGUCUUUGAGGUAGUACCUUCAGUUGUUGUUCUCCCUUUGGAGUUGGAGCUUUACACAAAUUUGAUGGGUUCUGUAUCCCUCUUUCCAUACCCAGGAUUUUAUCAAGUUCCUUUGACCCAGUGAGCAUUUUGACAGUCUUGUAAUGAUGUUCUAGCUUGGCAUUUAAGUCCGAUGAUCGAGCCUUCUCGUUUUUCACUUGUUUCUCUAGUAAUUCAAUUUGAACAACAAGUCGUACAUUCUUCUUUUUCAGAACUGAGGUAUUUGCCUCCUUUUUUUUCAUCAUCAAGUUUUUUCCUGAGGUUUAUCACCGUGUCUUCCAGCCAGCUUUUCUCCUUUUUGAGACAUAGAUUCUCCUUACCAAUCUGGACUACCAUCUGACACAGUUCUUGAUAGCUAAUUCCAUCAUCACCAUCUGCACUUGACUGGUCAUCAUUAGUAUCAGUUUCUCCUUCCAGAAACUCUGUGAUGCCAAUGAAUGCUGCGAAGUUAGCCAGCUCCUCUUCAUCACUGUCUUCUUCUGAGUCUAUCUCAUCAAUUCCGAUCAUAUAUUUCUCACGUCUCCUCUUCUGAUCGUUGACGCAUUCCAGUUGCGUGUGUCCAAUUCCUUUGCACUUGUAGUACUUGAUUUCUCUCCUUCGAACAGUUGGACAAUCAGUUUUGUAAUGUCCAUACCCCUUGCACUCAUGACACUGAACCUCCGCUUUAUGAUCGUUCUUUUCUGACUCAGAUUUCCGUUUCUCACCUUCUGCAGCACGUUGUGAUGUACUUCCUCUUCUCUGACCUGAUUUGGCUCUACGAAGGACUCUGUCAAACAGCCUAACAAGCGUACUUACUGGAUCAUUGUCAUCUUCUUUGUCAUAUAAAUCUUGUGAUACCAGUGCAACUCCCUUUCCUUUCUUUCCUCCGUCAAUCUCCAUUUCAUGUGCUCUCAGCAUCCCUACAAUUUCAUCAAAGCUUAUCUCAUCUGUAUUCAGUGAAACUGACAUAGUUGCCUUGUAUGCGGUAUACUUAGAUGGUAGACACCUUAGAAACUUCUUGAACAGCUUCUUAUCCUUGUAUUUCUUUCCCAAUACCAACGAUUCCUGAGCUAUGCCACUGAGUUGUGAGCUGAAUUCUUCAACUGAUUCACUUUCUCCCAUUUUGAUAUUCUUAAACUUGGAUGCUAGAUAAUCCAGUUGUGAGCUCUUCACUUUUGACGUUCCUUCGAAGUGAUUUUGCAGUAUUUCCCACGCUUCCUUGGCGGUCUCAAAUCCUUGAAUCAGCUCAAAGUGUUUCUUUGUAACACUGGCGUGUAUAGCUGAAAGUGCUCUGGAGUUGAACUUCGCCAUCUUGAGUUCUGUUUCGGUCCAAAGUUCUUCUUCUUUGUUGGAUUCAACACCAUUCUCGUCUGUAGCCUUUGGUUCUGACCAUCCAGUUGUCACAGAUUUCCACGCCAUGGCAUCAAUCCCUCAAAUGAUAGACCUCAUUCGUGACUUCCAAAGUCCAUAGUUGGAUCCAUCCAACAUCACCCUUGUGCUUGACACCACCUCAUGAUAGUUCUCUAUUUCUUCCGCAGGAUCUCACCUGUUAUAUAAUCGAACGGGUGACUGCUCUGAUACCACUUGUAAAUGCAAGAACUACCUCACAGAGUAAAGCACAGAGUACACCAGAGAAUAUCUCUACAAAGAUAUGUGUUAUUACUAGUAUUUGUUUAAAGCGAACUUACAAGUAUCUUUUUAAACAGAAUUCGAACAAGAUCAAGACCCUUCUUCACUUGCUCCCCUAGCCUUACACGUCCUAAGAUCGAAUACAAGAUCUCUAGAACCUCUACCUCUUAGCCCUUAGUGUUAUUCACUCACUUACAAGCUUAGCGAACUCCACUCUUAUGCUAAGAAUACAAUUCUCUCGACGACCCUAAUCCACAGGUCGAGUAUGACUAUAUAUACAAUUCAUCUAAGUCGGCUAUCCACGCCUAUCUACCCAAAUAAGGAAAGUUCCCUAAAACCUCUCCAAGGCCUUUUAGAAAACUUCCAUCGUGAGAUCUCCCUUCUCCAAGGUGAAUCUCUUCAAGCUUGUUCCCCAAGAUAUCUUCGUAUCAACUUAGCCUUGAUCUGCAAUCCAUUCUUCAAGUCGCAAUCUUCAUCUUGACUUGUUCAUUCGCACGUACACUUCUCUGUUGCAGACUCUGCUCCCUUCGCUGCUAUACUUGCGUCUGUAUCAGAACGUCCAUCUGAUCUUUGCAUCUACACCUUAUGUAGAAAAAUGCAUCAUAGUUGCCAAGUCCCUGGGUACUUUCCAUAGCCACUUUCAGAAUCUUCAAAUUGGUCAGACUGUGUUUAUCACUGCCAUUGUUCAUGUUGGUCGUGGCAGCUGCAAGUUCCAAGUACAAAUGGAUCCAGUCAUUGUCUUGAAGCUCCGAAUCCUUGAGCUGAAAAUAAAAAAGAAGGUAGUAUAUCACUAAUUAAUAAUUGUUGAUUAUAAUAAUCCAAUUUUUUAAUUAAAAAACAAUCAAUUUACCAAGUAAAAUCGGUUUGUGUCAUCUUCAAAAGGGUUCUCUUGCGGCAAAUCAGGCACACUGGGAUAGUUAUCCAAGCAUUCUCGAUAUCACCACCUGUGAUGGUCUUCUUGAGCGAGAUUUGAUUAAAUUCAUCUUCUUCGAAAAAACUAAAACAAGAUUUGAUAAAUUCAUCUUUUUCAAAUUGCAGGUCUCUAGUUACUUCUUUGAAAUCCUAGAUUGAGCUCGAUUCUUGUUCUUACCCGCCAUCACAUAGUAGAUAAGUUUUGUAGUUUAUUAUACCAAAAAAUGUUUUAGUUCCUUUGAUGUUCAUACCCAAGAUAAAGUUCUAAAUACUAUUUUAUAAUCAUUUAGGGUAUGAAUGGUGACCAAGGAACGACGAUGAAUAAUGCAUUCUCUAACAUUUCUAUAAAAAAAUCACUAUUCACAUGGAAUGAUUUUUUCUUCUCAUUCCCUACCAUUUCUUUUUUUUGUAGAGAAAUAAAGAUCAAAGUUAUUCCUUGUUAAAUAUGGGAUGAAACCAUUCGUUUUCAUUCCUGCAAUUUUAUUCAUCUACAUUCAUUUCCUAUUCGUUCCUCUUUUUUUCAGAAUGGUCACUGGCCGGAAACUAAUCUAAAAUGUGUUUUGUUAUUUGGGGAAUUGGAUGCAAUAACCAAAAAAAAAAGGAAAAAUUUGGAAAAAUAUUCUGCAAAUAGAUUUUAUUUUGAAAAAUACACUGUGUUUUAAUUCUUCUUAAACUAAAUUUUUUGUUAAGUUAAAUGACUAAAUUAUCCUAACUAAAAAUGUAUAAUUACAUUAAGAAUUUAAAUUUAAUAUUUUAAAAAAUAAUAAUUUAAAUGAUAAAUAGUAAGAAAAAAAUGAAAACAAUCAUAGUUGAAGUCUUUAACUUGAAGACACAAUCUUUUGUGUGAACCAAAAAAAUGUCUUCAAAAUCUUUUGUGUGAACCAAAAAAAUUCAUGUAGUUUGGAACUUACCAAAUUUUGAUCUAGUGUUAUUGUGCUUUAUAAGUUUUGAAUAUUUCCACUCUUUUAAAUUUUUUGAACAUAUUCAUGACUAAUGCAACAAUUUAUGGCCUCAUGAAUUUUAUCACUUAGUGGAGAAAUUUCAUUUUUAUUGUGACAAGUUCAGUGUGAUGAUGAGUUUUAAUUACAUAAUGCAUUAAGAAAGUGAUAAUUUUUUUCCAUACUAAUUUCUGUUUAUAUAAGAUUAAUAGUUUUCUAAAUGAUAAACAUUGAAUUUUUAAAUUAUUUGUCCAAUUCUAUAUUUAAAUUAUUAAAUUAUUAAUAUAUUUUACCUCAAUAAUUUCGAAAUUUAAAUUUUUAUAAGAUAAUAUUUAACUGAAAUCUGAUCAAAAUGUCUUUUUACAUAUAGGACAAGUGUAAUUUUCAAAAACAAAUUAAAUCAAUGCAUUUUUCAAAUUUGAUAACAUAAACAGAGUAUUUUCCUAAUUAUCCCCCAAAAAUAUUAUAAUUCAUAAUCUAACCAAAAAAAUUUUUACCACGAUAUUCAAUGUAUUUUCUAUAAUAUUUGCCAAACUACCCGUACAAUCAACCGGUGUGGCCACCUAAUCUCUGCUUCUCUUCUCUUAAUAUCGAUGAACACAAAUCAGAGGUCAUCAUGUUUCACUCACUUCCACCUAUAGAAUCAACACCACUAUCACCACUGUUUCUUUAUUCCGCCACCAUAUUUGCUGCUGCCACCAUCAUAUUUGUCGAAUCAAUUGGUACCGCUUUUUUUUAACCACCAAUUGGUACCGCUUCCGUAUAGUCUUCUCCGUGUUGUAAAUAGAGAGUUUAGAGACUGAAUAUUUCUGUGUUAUUAUUAAUGAUCAAGGAGGUUCCUUUAUAUAAGGAUUACAAGAUGAAGAUAAAUUGAAAGUAUCCAAAACCUAAACUCACUAGGAUUAGGAAAACUACUAAUACAUAAUAAUGGAAAGAUUACAUCUACUAGGAAAAGGAAAGGGUUUCUUUUUCUCCAAGCUUUGUGGCCGCCUCUCUCUCUCCUGAAGUCGGCUCUCUCUCUCCUCUCUCUAGGCUUCGGCCAUCUCCCCAUCUUCUAGGUUAUGGGCCGGUCUUGGACUGGGCCUGGUUAAUGGCAAUCCACUCCAUGAUUUAUAACACUCUCCCUUGGAUGCCAUAACAAUACAGGAUUUGUAGUACGCUUCAUGUUGCCUCAUUAAAACCUUAUCAGGAAAACCCAGUGGGACAAAACCAUGAUGAAGAAAAAAGAGUACAACACGCACUACUCCCCCUGAUGUGAACCUCAGUGUAGGUUCUACAUUCUACGCAUCUUGGUGCGUGAUAUUUCCUGUAUGUAUAGGAUGGGAGUAAUCGGCCAGUUUCAUUACUGAACCGUAAUUAGACCACUUCGACUUCUUAGGUUGUUUCUCAUGUCAUUUGACAUCGAGUGUCCCGGUAAAGCAUAUGUGCUAAGCAAUGUGAAUCACAUUGUCCUCGGAGAUCACUUAUUGGGUCUUUGCAAAUCGUAUUUGCAUGUAUCCAUGGUCUAGACGUGUUUGUCUACUGUCAAACUCUUUACUUUGGCCAUUAUAAUUACCAUCGAUCAUGUAUCAAUCUGGUCGAUCUAUGUUCGGGUCAUAGACCUCGUCCAUACGUGUCCACUACUUGUCUCAUGGGUGUUCAAGAUCAAUGAUCAUUACUGUGAGUUUAUAAUCUCUUAUUAUGGCUCUGCGGCCGAACACUCUUAUGGAUGUGGACAUCGAUUUCUUUGCCUUAGGUAAUGUCGUAUUCAUUAUUCUUUGCAUUCCUAUCUUAAUGAUGAUGAUGGCGUCUCAUGACCUCAGUUGCUGUGGAUCAUAUCACAUGCUAAGUAUACAUUAUUAAGUCAUGGACUUCGGCUUUCACGAGCUUAUGGACUACAAUACUUUAUAUCCGACAGGUAAGGAUAGAUUAAACAUCUCCUCUUAUCCUUACGACAAAACUUUGUGGAGUUUAUACAGCAGCAGACCGUUCUGCUAUGCCGGAUCCUUAAGGGAUCUGAUUGUCGGAUUGCAACCUGAUGGUUGAUCUUUUCUACUAGCCCGUGAUCAAAUGAUAAGAGCCGGACGCCUUUUAGCAGAAGGGGCCAGGCGCCUUUAUCUGAAAGACGGAUGCCUUUUAGCUUAAGGGCUGGACAUCUUUAGUCGAAGGACCGGACGCCUACAGAUACGUUCUGUAUCAGUCUACUAACCUCUUUUAAGUUUAGUACAAACACAAGGGAUUUGAAAUGUAUAUGGACUGUUAUUGGAUUGUCUCUUAUACAACUCCAAGAUCAUGCGUGAUCACUUUCUUUUACAUACUAUAUGCAGCUGCUUUUCAGUCCAUGAAUCAGCUUAGGAACAAAGAUGUUCUUUCAAUUUAUCCAGUGAUCCAUAUGCUGCUUACUACAUCAUUUGUAUCUAAUUUCUUUUCUUAUAAGCAGACCAUUUUCAAUUUCGAAAAUCUGUAGCAGCAUCCACCACAUAGGAGUUUAUCUCCUUAUAAUAUGUUCCUUUGAUCUCUGUGAGUACCUUGUGUAACAAGCUAUAAUCUAAUGUUGUUAAGUAGGAAGACAUGAACACUCUUAGACCUCGUGAUCAUGUGCCUUCUCUCACGGUUUCUUUAUCUCACAAGAUCCAUCUAUUUCACUGGUUUAUCAGAUGGCGUUUCUGUAUAUGUAUAUGGCCAAUACGCCCAUCUUUCUUUUAGAUACUUUGAACCUCCACGUUUUAUCUUUUCUAAUCUCUAUGAUCUUUUAUGAUUGUAUGAGUACUCAUUUGUGGGUUCAUGAUCCUCGCUUAUCUCUUUGUGUUCAAGUGCUAUAACUUUAUGUAUCUAUUAUACAAAUGUGUGUGUGUGUCGACACUUUCAUGUGGUUCUAUUAUGUUCCAGACAUGAUCUGAUCACAUUGAGAUUUCAUUAUCCAGGACCUUUGUUACCUAGUAGCUUGGCGUCCCAAGACUACAUGGUUUGGUACCUUAGAUGUGUAGAUGCGCAGCCUUUUCUCAAUGUCUGGUAUGGUUUCUCUUAUAAUCUCGGAUUUGUAUUCUAUGCACCAUUUUUCUAUCCGAGUUUCCUUUAUCUUAUGGAACACUUGGUCUAUCUUGUAUAGACUCUAUAGCGACUUGAUUAUGUCUCUUCUAGGACAUUCAUUUGGUGCUAAGCUGGUUAGUCAUUUCUCGGGUCAGUGUCUGGCAUUUCGAUUAGCUUCUCAAUUAGCUAGAUUUAUAUAAUCUUUCUUUGGAUGUCUUAAAUCAUAAUCUCUAGUCCGAGGAUCUUUGCCAAGACAAUGAUGGUUAAAACCAUUCGUACUUUUAACAUUCUUUAUCCAGCUUAUAAUCUUUCUCCUUUAAUAUUCGGAUUCAUUUGAUCAUGCAAUCCUUACCUGGCCACUAUUUUGAUCACCCAUGUUUUGGCUCUCAGUCCUUUUUAUUUCGUGGAGAAGAUCUUAUUCUUAUAUAUUCCCAAUCCUCUUCUGAGGUUCCAUCUUAGACGGCACAUGUAUGUAUGUGGUGGUUUAUUCAAAAUCUCUUAAGAUGGUGUAUGUCUGGUUUUAUGACCCGUAUUCAAUCUGAGAUGGGAAUAUCUAUGCUCACAUAUAUGUCCUGAUGAAUAUUAUCAUUCUAUACAUGUAAAACAUAAUGUCUCCAAGCUUAUAGACUUUAGAAUCUUAGUCUUAUAGAUAAUGGCCCCUCUGGUCGGUUAUGGCCCUUGCGGCCGACCUGUUCAUAACAUGGUCUCUUUGGCCGAGUAAUGGCCUUAUGGUUUGGCUGUCCUAAACAUGGUUUUAGGCCAUAGUAGUACACGAGGCUGGUUAUUGCCUUUGCGGCCUCGGCCGUUGUCUCUCAUGGCCUUUAUUGUUUGGCCGUUAUAGUAGUACACGAACUUGUAGUAUUGUUCAUGGGUUUAUCCUCUCUCCCCCUCAUGACCAUACUAUAAGGUCGUGGUGCUUGGGAUAAUUAAGCCUAAUGAGUUUCCCUUUGUGUACAUGUUUCACAACAUGAGAUCUUUUACGGGAUAACUCUGUGCCUUUUCAAUAUUUGCAUCAAGUUUAGACUUUAGGAUGGCUAAUCCUAUCAUGCCAUAGAGUGUAAAAUUUCGUGGUGUAUCUCAAUAUGGUUACCACAUCUCUUGCCUCUUUAUCAUACUGAUUUGUAGCAUAGUUUUGAUCAGUAGAGAUCAUGGGUAUAGUCUCGACCACUUUCUUUCAAGGUUUUAGGCAUUUUUAUUAAAAUCUAAAGGAAUUUGUUUCCUUCCUUUCCCAUUGUUUCUACUUGGAAACCAUAUUAUCAUAACUCAAUGGGUCACAUAUUAUUGGGUGUGUAUAAUGCCUUAUAGGCAAUGCCUUAGCCAUAGUUUCUUUACUAUGCUUACUAUACCCCUUUCAUGAUUUCUUACUUGGUAUUAUGCUCUUUAGGCAAAAAUAGAAUCAUUCAUAUGUUCAAGUAAGAUCAGGCAAGAUAAUGAAUUCAAAACCAUUUCCAUUGUAUAUGUAAAAUCGUGAAUGACAAUUGGGUUAAAGCAAAUCACAAAUCAAGGACUUUAAAAUAAAAUGUCGAGAUCCCUCUUAGUCAAUAGACAUGCUGGCCACUCCUUGAGUUAUAUUGGACACGGCUCCCUUGGAUUCAUCCUGAUCCAUAUCAGUCUUAUUUGUAUCAGGGUAUCUCAUCUCACUGCUCCUCUUUAGUACCUUGUCAUUCUCAAUCACCAUUAGGCAAGAGAUCAGGUCAUUGUAAGUGGUAGAACCUCUUUCUAUGUAGAUAUGUUUUUGACAACAAAUCUUCUGGAUGGAAUGUGGAGUAUGUCUUGAAUAGACAAUCAUUAUUUGUUACCUCUUCUCCACAUAAUCUCAGUUGGUACACGACCCUGGACAAAGCAAAGUGAAACUCGGCCACUGUAUCAAAGUCUCGGAAUCUAAGACUCAUCCAUUCAUGUUUGACCUUUGGUAAUAAUACCAUAGCGUAUCUGGACUUUAAUUAUGUCCAAAGGUCACGAGGAUUCUCAAUAUGUAGAUAUUGAUUUCUCAGUUCCUUAGUGAGAUGAUGGCGCAUUAUUGUAAUGACUCUUAACUUUUCACUUUCAGUUGCAUAAUCACCCUGAAUGAUACUCCUUCCGAGUCCUCUUGAUUUCAGGGUAACAGAAGUGUUCAUUGCCCAUUCUAGAUAAUUAUCUCCAAAGAGAUUUAGAAUGGCAUAAUCCUUGGGAUCAAAUCUCGGCAUCUGAAAUCAUAUUAUCAAUCAAUUCAUUGAUUUAGAAUUCUUGCAACCAAUUUAAAUAAUCAGUGCACAUGAUUUCAUAAGUCUCUCUAUAAUGCUUUAGGCCAUACGGCUUUGCAUUGUGAUGCUUAUACCUCACGGCCAUUAUAAGAUUCAACGAUCUUAAGGAUCGGAUCAUGAUGCAAUCUGGUUUAUAUAACCAUCCGGAUAAUAGGCCACACGGUCACUUUGAUAUUCACUAAGCCACACGGCUUUUAAUCAAUCAAGGGCACAAGGCCGCAAGUGUGAGCAAUGCAUUAGGCUACACGGCCGUUUGGUAUGUUUCAUAACACAAUGUCACACAAUCCAUAUCAAUUAAGUUUACCAAUUUCAAGGUUGGUAAUGUUUCAGCUAGAUUUUAGAAUCAAGUAAUCUAGCAACCUAACUCACAUUCAAUAUGUAAAUAUUCCUAAUCUUUAAAUCAAUGUUUCAAGCAAUGUGAGAUUUAAGGUUUUCAAGGCCUUUAGGAAUUUCAAACGAGAUUAAGGGUUUCAAGGCCUUGAGGAUUUCGAAUUUUGAGAAUAGAUCUAUCAAUCUUAAAAUCUCAGAUCAAUCAAUCAAACAAUCAAACAAUUUAGAAACCUCAAUGAUCAAUAGAUCAGAUGAAGUCAAAACUGAUUUAAGCUUUUAGGGUUUCUAGGGUGUUCUAUUUGAUCAUUAGAUCAUUAGGAUUUUGAGAUUCAAAACCUAUUAAGGUUCGAUUUUAAUUGAUUUAAUCAAUCUCAAUGCGGAUAUCGAACUUAAGAUAAUGAGCUUCGAUUUACUCAUUAGGGAUUGAUCUAUUAUCCUAGGUUUUCGAUUAGGAUUUUAUGGUUUCAAUUAGUUUCAAGCAAUCCAAAUUCGGUAUGGGUUCUCUAAAGGAUUUCGAAUUACCUCAACCUUAAGUAGGGUUGAAUGGACCACCAAUAUGAGAAGAACCGUGAGCUGGUCAAGCUUGAGAUCGUCAGUUCAUGGUCAUGUUAUGGAUCGCGAACAUCUUUGUGUUGAGAUCUUUGCACCAACUCCUCUCAGCUCAUAAAAUAAAAACAAGGAGUAUUAGAUUACAUGAACACCAUAAUUUGAACAAGAUAUCAUCAAACAACUAAGGUAUGAUAAACUUAUCUUUCACGGGAUUUGAAUUUGGCUAGAAAAUCUUGUUGCUUCGGAUUAGGGUUCCAAAAGAUCAAGACGGCGCCGCGUAUUGUUUCUGAGAGUGUGGGCGCGUCUGAGAUCAGAUCGACGAACGGUUUGCGCUGAUGGAUUUGUCUCGUCAAGGGCUUCAAUUUGAUAUGUGGCUCGUCGUCUGGUUCCUCAGAGUUUGAGAGAUAGAUCGAUUUUAAGUUGCGCCUGAUUUAGGGUUUAUGUGUGACGGAUUUUAGGUUAGGUUUUGUCUCAGGGUUUUGGAGUCUAUCGUGCUGAUAACGUGUUGUAAACCUGAUUAAUGGCAAUCCACUCCAUGAUUUAUAACACUCCGUAUCUUUUUAUGUUUAAACUCUUUUUAUUCGCAAGUCUAUUCUAUUAUUUCAUAUUAAAAAUUUAAUAUAGUAUAAUUUAGUUCACAAGUAUAUUCUAUUACUCAUAUUUCUAAAAUAUUAUCUCAGAAGUCAAUUUUUUAUGUGUCGCGCUUACGUUAACUCUCACGAUAGUUGAUUACACUGAUACCCUUAAUGAAUUAAAUAUAUUACAUUUAAAUACUAUUAUUGAAUUUUUAUUGAGUUUUCUUUUUAAAAAUUUCCAAAUAACAUAUAUAAUAAAAAGGAAACAUUUAUAAAGUUUUUUUAAAAAAACGAAAAGAUAUGUAUAUAUAAUAUGAUUUCAUUAAAAAGGAAAUUUCACAAAAUAGAAAUAUUUCGUUUAAAAAAUAUUUUUAAAUAACAUAAAAUAUACUUUUGAAGUAAUAAAAUAUUUCUUUAUAUCUAUAUUUUCUUAGUAAUAGAAACAACAUUCACACACAUAAUCUUGAUAUUAGAAAAAUAAAUAUUAUUUCUUUUAAAACAUAAUUUUAAACAAUACAAAAAAUCUAUAUUUUCAAAGUAAUAGAAAUAAUUUUUAUAUAUCUAUCUAUUCUCUUAAAUGAUUACAUAAACUGGUAUAUGUUUAAUUGACUAAAAAUAGUAUUAUUGAAAUGUUUUAUUUAUUUUUCAUAUAUUUAAGUGACUAUAAUAUCUUUCAAUUACAGUAAAAAAAUCCAUAAAUUAUAUUUUACUUAUAUAAUAUGAUUUUUAAAAUACAAUCAACCAAUUUUUUUAAACUGCUUAUUUCUAAGAUAUAUUAAAAAAUAAAAAGAAUUAACAAUAAAUAUCUUUUGAUCAAAUAAUUAUAAAAUAUUUUAAAAUAGCAUAACACUAUAUACUUUAACGAGGUUGAUAUAUUAUAUUUAAUCAUUAUUAAAUUAUUUGUUUUCAUAAUAUUACAUUUGCUUUUAAAUUUUAUGUUUUUUAUGUUUGUGGAACUUAAUAUGACCAUAAUUAAAAUACCAAAGCAAAUUUGAAUUCUUAGUUUUAAGAUUAUUUAAAAUAAAUUUCAGUUUACCAUUUAAUAAAUCUAAGCAUAAAAUUAUUUAGAAUUUACAAAAUAUUUUAAUUAUUGUAAAUAUUGAUAUGUGUUCAUGAGCUUCCAAAAAUGUAUCAGUUACUUAUGCAUGUAACUUCAUAUUGAUCAUCGCUUUAUUUUAUGAUAUUUUGUUUUAGAAAAAUCAACAUAUAAUUUAUUAAAUAUUAUGAAACUACAUGCACAUUUAAACGUUAAAUAAAAUUAAUUUGAUUUUACUUAAUCAUAAUAAAAAUAAUUACACUGCAGUUUGAAUUUGAAAGAAUAUAUGUAACUCAAUAUACUCACAACAUAAUGACUCGACUAAUUCAACUUAUAUCUAAAAUCAUGAUAACUUUAAUAAGAAUAUAUAAUUUAACAAUAAUAAUUUAUUUUAUAAAUGUAAAUUAUAGGAUGACUCAAAAAAUAUUAACAAAUGAAAAUAAAAUAUUAACCAACUGUUAUAAUUUAGUUUUUUUGUAAAAUUUAUAUAUAUGCAUGACAUUGUAGAAUAUUAUCGUUAUAUUAAUUUACGUAAUUUGGAAUCAGACACUUUAUUUUAUUUUAUAUUUCAUUCUAAGCACAAUAUAUCUUAAGUUUUACAUAAUCUUACUCAAAUAUAUUUACAUACCUAUGACAACAACCAACAUAAAAACAAAUAAGAAAAUUAAUCAAUAAGAAAAUUAAUCAUAUUUUUAAUAUAUUUAAAAAUAAAAAUAUUAUACUUGAAAUCAGAGAAAUAGAUGGAAUAUAAUAUACCCAAAUGAUAAUUUAAUCGACUAUAGAAACAACAAAACCGACUAGAUAUAACAUAUCUAAGUUCAUAUGUAUAAUUAAAGUAAUAUAAUAUUAUUAAUAUAAAUUAUGCAUACAAAUUAUAAAUUAAUUUAAAAUUAAAAAUAAAUAAUAAUAAAUUAUUAUAAUAUAAAUAUUUAUACAAUUUAAAAUUAUAAAUAAAUAAUAGUCAAUUAUUAUAAUAUAUUUAUUUUAUAAAUAUUUAUACCCAUGCAUGAGCAUGGAAAAAUCACCUAGUCAGAUUAUAAUUUUGUUUAAAAUAUUAUAAGAAUACAUUAUAUUUUAUAUUUGGAUUUAGGAUUUAUUGAUUAGGGUUUAGGGUUUAGUAUUUGGGGGGAGAGAGAGGAAAGGAGGGGUGGGGUGACAUUAAAGGUAGGUUUAUAAUUAUACUAUUUUUGUUUCGGAAAGAAAAUUGAUUCGAGAAGAUAAACAUUAUUGUUUAUUGUGUUUUAUUCUAUAAUAUACAUAUAGAAUAGAAAUAUAACACAAUAUGCAUUAUGUUUGUUUUGUUUGAUGGUUUAUUCUUAAUGUAGCGCAAUCUUUUAUAUAUAUAAAAAAAUGUUUGUCUCUUUCCUGUUGCGCCUCGUCAGCGCCAGGUCACAAAGGCGGAAGCUACCGUGCUGAAACGUGUCCCCUUAAGACGGUACACUGCGUUUCAUUAAUAGGACUGCGCACUUCGGUUGGGCUAUUCUUCUUUGAGGGCUUCGUGUAUUUCUUUUUUGUUGGGCUUUGUUUUUAAUUCAGACUCCUGUGCAAUUUGGUUGGACUUUUGACGUAUUGGGCCUUUAGUUAUUUUCGCAAUGAGAGCCGCUUUCUGAUUAGGGUUGUUAACCCCGUGUUCUUAUUCUUCGCCUCUACAGAAUUCAUAUCGAUUAGCUUUUCCCAAUCGCUGUUUCACCUUCUUCCUCAGAGUACGAAACGAUACCAGUAACGAAUAAUCAUCUUAAAAUGCUCCAUUAAUCUCUCAUACAAGAUCUAUAUUCAAUGUGAUUCCUGGAUUUCAAGGCGGUGGGGGCUCAUCUAUAAAAGGGUAUGAUUUCCUCCUUAGAUACUCAUCCUCUCAUUCUUCAAAGCUAACCAGUGAAGUAGGUCUGUGAAAUAUGGCUACGUUUCGGUCUUCCUCUCUGCAUUUGCAAGCUUGCCGCUCCUCCUCCACUGUUUAGGUUCAUUUGCUCUGUUUCUGGGAGGCUCGGAAUGUCCGUUGUGCUGGAGAGCUAAUGGGAGUUGAUAGGCUCCUUCUCGAUUCUCAGGUAUCUUAUUUACAUCCGCCUUUUGUUCAUGAACAUAGUCUUUCACCUGUGAGUUCUUUAGGAAUUUCCACCGUUCUGAAACUAUAUUCAAAGUCAGAUUUUUUUUAAUAAGUUUUGUUCAUAAUCAGCUUAAUUUUUCUGGUAUAAUUCUUUAUACGUUUCCUCCGUCUUGAAUCGGCAUUACAAAUUAUUUUAAGUUUUAAAGUCGUUGUUAAACAUAUUUCACUGAGACAUUUUACGACGUUUGAUGGAUUGUUGUUUUUCUUCCACGUAUGUUUCCAGUCAUGAUGCUGCGUAAUCUCAACCAGGCUUAUGGGUUAUGCAAUGGGACAAGAAUGAUAGUAAACCGACGUCAAUAUCCACUGCGGCUCUGCUAUGCGAUGACCAUCAAUAAAAAUCAAGGACAAAGUCUCAAACAAGUUGCUUUGUAUCUCCCUUGGAAGGUCUUCACUCACGGCCAGUUGUACGUUGCGUUAUCUCGAGUGACAACACCGGAGGAUUAAAGAUAUUAGACGACACCACUUAUUCAAACGGUGCAUAUGGAGAAACAAAUAUAGUCUACAAGGAGAUCUUCCAAAGCCACAGAGAUGCAAAGGUCAGCAUUGAACUGGUUUCGUUAGUAUGCUAUCUCUGAUCCGUUAUGUUUUUAAGUACUAACUUUAUCGCUUUCAUCGCAGGGAAAGCAGCCUAUGUGCUCUUGAACAAUUUUAUGCUUCGACGAAGAUAUGUUUUCAAAAUUACUAAUCAUAAUAUUUUCAGAACCUCGACUCUCUCUUCUCUUCAAAUUUUCCAUUUUCUACUUUUAUGAAAACCAUCAUAUUAACGCUAAAACAUUAGUCAAAUUUCUGGUUUCAUAUACAGAGUCCCGACAAAUAUUUACUAUGUUUCAUAGGUUUAAGAUAUCCAUAGAAUAUAUUAUACUACCAUGUGCAUAUAGCAAAGAAAAUUUAAAAAUAUCAAAUAAAUCAAGACAACUAAUGCGAAUCACAGCCUGAUAAAAUAAAAACCAACCAGUAAAAAAGUAGUCUAAAAUAAUUACAAACACAUAAAUAUAAUAGUAAUAGUUUUGAAAAAAUAAAAUAAAGAAAUUAUCAAUUCAUAUUAUUAAAUAACAAAAUAUUCGUUCACAUAGUUCCAUGGGAAACGCAAUUGGCUUAAACUGAAUUAAUAAAAAAAAACUCUAGGAAUUUUUUACCGAAAAUUCAAUUAUUCAUGUCGAUCAUAUAAAAAGAAAUUGUAUAAAAUAUAUUAUUAACAUAAUAAAAUAUACCACUAUAUUAUAUUAAAUCAGUGUUUUUGGCCUAUUUGGUUUGAUCGGUUUCAUAUACCAAAACGUAUACAUUUACCGUGAUCUCUUCAAUAGAACAUUUAACUUCAGAACCAAACAAUAAUAUUUGUUUUAAAAAUGUCUUGAUUAUUUUGGAUGUUGAUAUGGUUUAUUUGAUAAUUUUAAAAAUAUGUAAAUCUUUAAACAGUAAUCUGUUAUGUUUUAAGUUGAUAAAAACGAUAGGUUAAGUUUACUUUUGCAUAAUUUAAAACAGUAGAUUUAAAAGAGAUUGUAAAAUAUAAAAUAUAUAUUAACAUUAUAAAAUCGAAAAAAACUUAUUUGUUGAAUCUCAACCGCAAUUCUGAAUAUUUUCAGUAUUAAAAAUGCAAGAUAUUGACAUAAUAAAAAUGAUUUUUUUGUUAGUUAGAUAAACAUAUGAUUUUUAAUAAAAAUAACAAAACUAAAUAAUAAAAAUAUUUUAAAAUUACUUUCAAGCUGAGAAUAAAUUAAAUAUUAGUUUCUUUUAACUUCCCGGGCCUACCCUAGUAUUUAUAAUAAUAAAGUCAACUCAUGAUCUUUCCUCAUGCCUCCACGUCCUCAAGAAAAGGAGUGGUUUUCUUGGCACAUGUCGACACGCUGUGGUAUGUGGGUUUCUCACGCGUUUAUUUUUUUUUUAAACUCUUACGCUCAUGCGCGUCGCGUUUGUUACGGUUUAGUGAUGUUUGCUCAAUUUUGGGCUUCGCUUCUAUUUUUAUGAAUUGAGCCAGCUUCUUAUUUGAGGCCCAUAUGUAUUAGGUUCUUCUUCCUUCUUCUUCUUCUUGCGUCUGUUUCUUCGUUGUCGCCGACGAAACCACGCCCCGACUAAGACGACGCCCUUUGAUAACCGUAACGUCUCGCAAAUUCUUUAAUCUGUCAUUUAAUUUGGGUUUUCCCUUCAUUAGUCCACAACUCCCACAUUAAGAUUUCUAUCUACCUCUUCGUUUCCACGGUAACUCCCUGAAUCUACAUCUAUAAAUAUUGGACCUUCCUAGGAUGCAAAGUCCAACUCACACAAACUCGAAAAGCAAACAAAUAGACCCACAUAAUCUUUUUCUUGAAAACUCUGCAGCCUUGAUCGAAACUUCUCACUGUCAAAGCUCUGUUUUUUUUUCAUCUUAUCGGCCACCAAAACUGGAGACUACGGAACGAGGAUCAAUCGAAACAACGUCUUAAAUGCUGUCAUUAACAAUAUCUCCACCAUUACUUCCUUUUUGUUAAUCUGGGAGAAUCCUCAACUAUGAAAUGUAUAUUCUAUCCAGUCAAAUUUAUAUGUUAAAUCUUUUCAAUUAUAAGUACUUUUUUUCCAUUUUUAGUGUUAUUGUUCUUCAUGAGAAGAGAGAUCGAUUUUAUUUUUUGUUCUUAGCUUCUUCUGUUUCUGAAUUUUUAAUUUUAAAAUUAAACUAAUUUGACGACGGCUACACAGAAGAUUGAUAAUGAGAGUUUGAUCUUUAUCCAAAGUCUCAAUUUUUUUUUAAACUUUGUCGUCGUCUUCUUCUUGAACCAGAACUUUGUCUUCUUUUUUUUUUCCUUUUUUACUUACUUUUCUUAUACCAUCUCCAACCCAUACCUAUUUUUUUCUUCUAUAAUUCCCACAAAAAGAUAGUAACUCUAUUAUAAGGUAAGUUUUGCUCCAAUGGUUUACUCUAUAUAUAGAGUGAAAAAAUGAAAUCCCUCUAUUUUCUCCUCUAUAAAAGAUUUACCCUAUUAUAGAGUAAACCAUUGGAACAAAAUUUACUCUAUAAUAAUAGAGUUACUCUAUUUUUGUUUGAAUUAUAGAGGAAAUAAUAGGUAUGGGUUGGAGAUACUCUUAUGUUUAUGUUUUAAAAGUUCUUGGCUGAUCUGUUCGAUUGGGUUUGUUCUUUUCAGUUUGUAAACUGAAUAUUUCUUUAGUUCCUGUUGUUCUAUGAUACUGAAUGUUUCUAUCAACCAGCAGGAGCCAAAAGAGAACUGACCUCCGUGAAGAAGCUUCGGCACAAUUGUCUACGGGAGAUGACAAUAGUGAGUCUCUUAACGUUUUUAAUAAGUUCUCUUAAAUGACAAUUUUUACUAAAGAUACAUGAAGCUAAGCGUUCGAAUAACAAGCCAAAUACCCAAAACCGAAUCAAUAGGACAUUCUGUAUCUCUCUGUUUUUAACCUUUAAGCAUAUACAAAACUUAACCAAAAAAGGUGGAACUUAUUUUGCAACCCACUAUGAUCUGUGCAGCUCAUUCAAGGCACCUUUUCUAUCUACAGAUACACUACAUCAAAGUCUUCGAUUGACCUCUUCAAUUCAUCGUCACCGUCUUCUACGCCCCCUUAAUAUUUAUAUAGUUAGCUUUUGGAAACAAAUGAUAUUGAUGUACAAAAUGAUAUUGGAAAAGAUUAAGGAGAACUUAUAGUUUGCUUUAGUAAAUUCAUUGGUAUACAUUAAUUGGUGGUGCAAAAUGGUUCAUAUUAUGGUCUUAUAGCAAAUGAGUAUUAGAGUAAGUGAUAAAGUUUUAAGCAAAUGUUCCCAGUAUUAAGUUUUUUUUUUUUUUGCAGGGGAAUCGCUGUAAUACAUUUCACGUGGUGAGUUUCUUCCUUGAACCAAAGCUGCUCCACUGAAAUCUCGCCUCAAGAAGCUAGGAACACCAUUUCCUCCCAUCUAUGUUUCAGAUUGGAAUAGAAGAAGAGUAAGAUGAAGAAAGAACUAUCAGGAAAAAGGUCAAAACUUUGUAAGAGAUCAUCGAGAGAAGGUACAAAAUUAAGAAGUUGAAGGAAGAGCUAUAGAUGAUGAUGAUGAUGAUGAUUCAACUAUUAAGAAGCUUGAUCUAAACUGAGAUGUUGAUUCUUGUUAAGACAGACCAGCUUGAAAUGCAACAGUAUGGGGAAUCACAAAUUUAUAAUAAGCAUGUAAUUUAGGAAAAAAAAUUAAAAUGUAUUUUAUGUAGGGUUAAUUUUAAAGCAAAUACAAAUUAUUUAUUUGCGUUAUUUGGUUUGAAGUGCUAAUUUUGAAAAUUUUAAAUGUAAUGUUUACAUACAUUUUAAUGAAUUUAAGGAAUUUUAAUGCUAAAAUCUUUGAACUAAGUUUGGUUUAUGUAAAAUAUUUAAACUAAAAAUUUACAAGUAACAUCGAUUUGUUUUACGGAUAACGUAGACGUUUAAUCUAAUCAGUUAAAUAAACUCAGCUAAAAGUUUUCAAGUUAAUUAUAGUACAUGAGAAUUUUACCCAAAUCAAACUUAAUUGAAAAGUUUAAACAUUAAAAAUGAUUUGAGUUUAAAUACUCAACAAUACUAAUAUAUUAACUUGUGAUUAAUUAUUUAAUUAAAUUUUAUUACUUAGAAAUAAGUUUGAACCGUUUGUAUGUAUGAAAGACACUGCAAACAAGUUUUCUAGUUUUUGUUACAAAGAAAAAUAACCGUUAGAACUGAGAAAACAUGAAGAUAAAUUUAAGAAUAAAAAUAACCUUUACUUUAAUCAUGCACACUAUUUUUUUUGUAGGUAUAAGAACAGCGAGAAACUUUAUACCGAAACCACCUAUCUCUAUUUCUUCGUAACUCUUCCGUCUUUCUAAAACGAACGAUACGAACUCAGCCAUGACAUCACGGCGCGCUACACGAUCGAUGGCGUCACUUCAUGGGAACUCAUUGCCGGUUCCUGACGAGCUCGCUAUGGAGAUAUUCUCGAGGCUGCCGUCGAAGGCGAUGGCGAUGUGUCGUUGCGCAUGCAAGCUCUGGUCCUCCAUGCUUCGCCGUCAAGAUUUCACAGAGCUUUUCUUGACCAAAUCUUGCGCUCGCCCUCAGCUCCUUUUCGCCUGCAAUGAUCACAGCGUCAGUAAGUAUGUCUUCAUCUUGUCGCCUCAGCCUGAAAAUCCGGAAGAGAACUCGCAUGUUGUAGCCUCCAAUCACCUUGCGUGUUUCCCAAGUUCCUAUGAGUUAUUUGGUUGUACGAAUGGCUUCUUGUGUUAUGGAGCUAAGCGGAUCUUGGAGGGGAGGAUAAAUCCAGCGUAUGUCCCGGUGAUAUGUAACCCUAGCACGGGACAGUCUUUGAUCUUACCAACAUUGAAGUCGAGGAUGAGGGUUGGAAGCGAGAGCUAUCUUGGAUAUGAGCCCAUUGCGAAAGAGUUCAAGGUGUUGUCAAUGGAAAGCUCGUAUGUAAGUGGUCACUCUGUGAGGCACCAAGUUCUGACAUUAGGAACCAAGAAACUGUCAUGGAGGUUGGUCGAGUGUUGCAUCCCACAUCGUUCUUCAAGUAAGUGGAUAUGCAUCAGUGGCGUUCUUUACUACGCAGCUAGUGCAGCUGGAUCUUUCGAGAAUUCUAUGGUCGUUUGUUUUGACUUGAGGUCUGAGAAGUUCUGCUCUGUCAUGUUCAGUAAAGCAAUGCCUCGUUCAACAACUCUAGUAAACUACGAUGGGAAACUAGGUUUGCUUAUGUCUGGAGAUUCUCAUGCUGUUACUCGAGCAACUACAAGUUUUGAGCUGUGGGUUCUGCUUGACGCUGGAAAACACGAGUGGAGCAAUCAUGUCUACGUAUUACCACCUUCGUGGGAGGAUGUAGUUUCCAGAAACAUGCGCAUUGCUGGAAUGGUUGGUGUAAAUGAAAUCGUCUUGGCCCCCUGGUUCCAAAGAGUGCCUUCUUAUGUCAUCUACUUCAACGUGGAGAGAAAGACGAUCACAAAAGUUGGAAUCCAAGGACCAGAAGCGUUUAUGGGUAAGAUGUUCUACACCUAUCUCAACCAUGUUGAGAAUGUGAAGCUUCUUUAAGUAAGAGAUGAGUAGUUCGAAAAUCCACCUCUUGUGGAAGUUUCAACAAGUGGUUGAUAGAUAAUCUUCUUGUUACAAACUCUUUAAAAAUGUAUAUACUAAUCCAAAAUAGAGAAGUUUAGAAUGUGAUCUUUCAGUGCUGUGAUAGAGAGAGUAAGAGUAAAUGAGCAGAAUGUUACUAGUUUGCCCGGACCCUUGUAGAAGAUAUGAUAAAUCACAAGUUGUACAUUUGACUUUUUGUGCCGUUUUGGAUUGUAUCAAGCAGAAUCUGAGUUACAUUCUUCGAGUGUUUAUCACAAGCCAAAAAUUUGCAAGAGAAAAGGUACAAAAUUAAGAAGUUGAAGGAAGACCUAUAGAUAAUGAUGAUGAUUCAACUAUUAAGAAGCUUGAUCCAAACUUAUAUGUUUAUUCUUGUUAUAUAACUCUUCCAAGUAAACGUUCAAAUCACUAUGAUGGAGUUAUGGAAAGCAUAAUGAAUUUACUUGUAACCAUUUUGCUGAAAGCAACGUAAAAGGAACAGAAUAUGAUUAUGGUUGCACGUUUAAGAAGCUUAAGAAGAUUAGAAGACUUUUGAAAAACAAGGGCCGUUAGAUGUAUGCCCAUGAUAAUGGUCCCCACGGCUGCUUUUGACAGUAGCUCAAACCAAAAGAAGAAACUUGAGUCGCACGUUUUUCUUCUAUUCGAGAAGAAGAAGAAGAUGAUGACUUUCUGGCUGGUGAGGUCUCCAAGUUUUAUCUUUAUCUCUUUAGGAAUCCUGUCUUAUAACAGCCUUUUUUGUUCCGUGCCUUGACUUUUCCUCUUAAACAAUUCGUUUCUUUGUAGGAAAUUUUCCGUUUGUAGCUUAUAUUCCUCAGAGAACCUGAAGGUUGCUGAAAUAGAGAGAAACAUUAUCACACUGUUGAACUGAUUCUUGUCGUGGGUAAAGCUUUGUCUUUUUGUUCUUACUCUUUUACCUACCGGCUCUGUUUGGCUUCCUUGUUAUCUUUGAUGAAAGAGUUUUUCUUGUUCUACACGUCAAAACUGUAAACCUUACCUUGAUUCAUUUUUCUCUCUGGUUCUUGACUAGGUAAGAUGAUCAGUCACUGUUAUUCUCAUCCUCAAUGCUGAAGAGACACUAGAUUUAAAAAAAAAAGAAAGAAAAGAGAGAUGGUCCUAUAGUUCAGACACAAACAAUCUGAACUGUUAGUUUGAUUGCCUUGUCUCCAUGGGACUACGCAUUGACAAAUCCGUUGCUAUAACGGUACUGAUUGUAGCCACUCUGAUGGUUCAAGUGAGAUGCCAAAGGCCUAAAGUGAUAAACCUCGGUGCUGUUUUCACUUUUGAUUCCGUUAUCGGAAGAGCUGCAAAAGUAGCUCUCGAGGCAGCUGUCUCUGAUGUGAACGCUGACACAAGCCUUCUCCAAGAAACAGAGCUACGUCUUUUUGUGGAGGACUCUUCUUGCAAUGUCUUUCAUGGAUCCUUCGCAGGUACCAUGAUUGUUCUUCUUCUUCAGAACACUUGUGCUCAUCAGUUAUGUUAUGGCACAUCAGUGCCGUUAUGGGUUCAAACAGGGCCAGCUCAACAAGAUGAGGGCCCUGGGACAAUUUUUUUUAGAUCCAAUAGUUAAUAAAUUUUAAUAAUAUUGCUAAAUUAUUACUAAAAAAAUAUAUAAUUUUUAACAGAUAAUUAAAGUUAUUAGUUUUGUUUAUUAGUGUUUUAAAUUUUUUAAAUCUUAGAUAAUAUUUUGCCUAAAUUCAACACCGUAAAUACUCAUUUUGUUUCAUAAUAUUUAAUGUUAUGACUAAAACACAUAAAUUAAGAAAUUUACUUUUUCUUUAAAGUUAUCAUUAAAAAUAUAAACUAUAACCAAUCAUAAAAAGAACACUAAAAUACCAUUGGAACAAUUUUCAAUAAAAUUAAAAUGAGCAUUAAAAUGUCAAAACAUCAAAAAAAUUUGAAACAUUAAAAACCUUCUAAAACAUUAUGUAUUAUGAAACGUACGAAGUAUAAGAAUCAAGCCCGACUCUGGCCUUGUGCUGAAGGUGCAUUUGCACAAGAUCCAUUUCAUAUUUUGUUUAGGAUACUCAUUAAAAAUAAAAAAUUUGUAUGAACAAAUGGGCCUAAAUUUUUUUGUUUCAGUGAUAAGAAUGCAGGUGGGCCGUGGGUGGAUGCAUUGUUUGUCUUCCCCCUGAGCCAAACCUAGUUCGAAAUGGGAAUACUACACACAACAUAAUAAACCUCUUUGCCGGCGUCGGGUCCUUCUCCCCGUCUCUUGUUUCUUCCUGCUCUGGUCCUAUAUCUUUUCGUCGCUUUUGGUUACGGAUUCCGUCUUCUCGCCGUCUCCUACGGCUCGCGUCCUAUGUUUCUCGAAGCUCCUCACACCAGAUCUGUUCGCCUCCUUGUACGAGUAGAGUCAACGCUUGGGUCUCAGACGAAUCCUCCUCUGCUCACCACCGCCAUCGUCCUUCCUUCGUCAAUCCUCGGCGCCGCUCCUCCAUGUGGAAACACAACCACCAGAUCAACUCAUCCAGGGCUUGGGCUCGCCGGAUCUAGAGGUUUGUGUAGAUCUAAAGCGCUUUCACCAUUCCUCGCCACCUUCACCUUUAACGAGACUCCACCAUACUGCAUUGAAACUCUUUCAUUUUGGAGUCCAAAUUCGUCCACCAUCCCCAUCUCCAACCGCUGUCUCUCACCAACCCUCGUCUAUUGCCUUGCUGGUCUUGGUCCCGUCGUGUAUCCCGUCUUCGUAACAGCGUCGGCUCACCAAAGACUCAACGGAGACAACAUUUCCAGAGAAAAUCUAUUGAAAUCUCCGGCAAAGCAAAUGCUCUUCCCAUCACUGCUCCCCCAACGUCCUUACCCAGAAGUUUACAAGAGACAUCUGUCAACCGGAUUUUUGAGCCCCACCAGACGUAGAGAGGCUGAGACGUUUUCAGAGAACGGCAUCGGCGAAUCUCUCAAACACAAAACCCUAAUCUGCACUCUCUUAGGUAAUUCAUGGGCUUGGGCGUGGUUACAUCAGUUGGGCCACAUAUAUAUUUUGAGAGGUUCUGGGGCCCUAAGAUUUUACGUGAUCUUCAUCUCUAAAUUCAAACAUCUGGGGUCUUAUUUGCUUUUGGUUCUCUUAGAGAUUCACAUAGUCUCUUCGGAAAGCUUUCUCGGUGGCUCCAAUUGUAGGCAUCUAAAGCCUCAAUUUCACGGCUCCAUCCGACAACUCCCUCCGACUUUGCAAGCAAUUAUGCUCGACUCAGUGUUGAAUUCAUCAAUGGAAUCGGAGAUAAAAAGAGUUUCAACCGACUUAUCAUUUCGCUUACCGAUCUGUUUGCUUCUCGGAACAUUUGAGAUUCACCUAGUCUCCCGGGACAUCGUAGACGGUAUUAGAGCUGUCCUCUUUCGUUUGACGGGUAACUUAGUCUCUAUUGGCUUCCCACCCCUCUUCCAACCCCUUUCACUAGGGUAUUUCAACGUCUUUACAGACUAUUUGAAGUUCUUCCGAACUGUGGUUUCAAGAAUUCAAGUGAAGAUUAUCCGCGGAUCUCUCUACUUCGAGCUAGCCUCUCCUUGCAACACUUCUAUCCCUUGUUUUACGGCUUUGUUGUCUUUUUUUUUUACUUUACCGUCGAGCAUACCUCCGGUUGUAAUCGCUGAAACAUUUUAGAUUUGAUUUAAUGAAUUUGUGUUACAAAAAAAAAAAUAUAAAACAUCUGUUUACUACUAAUAAAAACAAAGGAUAGAAAGCCUUUUUAGAUGCCAGAUUGUCUAGUUCAUUUGGUUUGUGGGCUCAGCUCCACCUCUUGGGUUCGAUUAAGGCAGAGAGAAGAGAAAGAGUGAUGAUACUAUGAAGUGUUUCAAAAAAAAAAAAAAGUCUUUUUAGAUAUACUUAUAAAAAAAAAAAUUUAGAUGAACAUCAGAUAUUUGAGUUUUCUCAAUUCUCAAGAUUAAUGUUGACAAAAAAAAAUCUCAAAAUUAAUCUAUGAAUGAGCUAACUUCUAGGUAAAAUAUAUUUUCAGAAAUCCAUUACAAAUAAUAAUAUGUUCAGGUCAAAAUAUAAGACCAAAUUGUACAUGCAAAAUGUAUAUAACGUUACAUGCCGUAAAAUCAAAAAUGGAUAGCCAGUUUAUACAGUCAAACCGGAUCCGAAAGUAUACACUUACGUACACACCACCGGGCGAGAAAUGUGGCCGAUUCUUAUGGUUAUAACUGAGUAUGAUGCGAUUAAUAGUGGAGUGCCUAGGGAGUAGGGAUGAUAAGUGUUGAAAUGUGGACACCAAAUAUGAAACCAAGACCAAGUCUUGGUCUAUAAAUUAUUUGGAACCUCACAUUUUUUAUAUUAUCUAAAACGAAACAUGUCUCGAGGUUUUUCUAUUUUUAAUGUAUCUCUGAGUCCUCCUGACACCUUACACUGUGCGCACGGUGUGAAAUGGAAGCAACCAGAUGAAGAAAUAGAAUUUGUUUUCUUGAGUUUAAGAAGAAGAAAACAACUAACGGAAGCUGAAGUCACCACUCCACUUAUCCGUCCCUACCCCAUCUCCUAUCGCCUUUAACAGUUUCUUCUUUCGUCUCCUAUCUCUCUUUCUUUUUUCACAUCUCUUUUUUUUUUUGCUAAAAUUCUUUUUCACAUCUCACGAAAACACAACACGAAUAUUACAAAUCACUUAUAUGGUAUUUUACAAAAAAUAUAUAUAUUCAGAUAGCUUUUCUUACUAUCAUGCACUUUUGAUAGUACUAGCUAGUCAGAAGAUGUAUUUCCUUGUUAGAUUUUUCUAUCUGUAGAUUUUGGGAUUACCUUUCUUAUCAGGAAGAUGUUUGUCUAAUUUUUUUUUUUUUUUUUGCUUUUAUUUCGUUAGUAUCAUUUUUGACAAAGAAUAAAGAUCAUACAAUAAAUAUAAUGGGUUGUCGACUAUUUUUUUCGUGUGACUAAGUACUAUCUUUUAUAAAACGUGCGUAUCAAUGUGUUAAUUCUUUGAAUUUUUUAAACUUUAUUAUUUGAUUUUCUUUUAAACAAAAAUUUCUUGGCGGGGGGUUUGGUAAUAUUAUAAAAGCCAGACGAGCCAGUCCAACUUCGUGAUAUCCAUAAUUAACGUGAGUCGUGAGAUUUGUUUUCUCUUAAAAUAACUCAUUUCCCAUUAUCCUAUCCGCCAUCCCUUCUCUAUAUAUAAAAAAAAACAUCUCUCUAAUUUCUACAACGAGACGACACCCCUUAUCUCAAUAGCCAGUUCGGUUAUGGCUCUAUCCGGGUCAUUCGUUUUAGCCUUACUCUUCUUCUUCGCUCUUUCCAUUAAUCCCCUUGAAGCUCGUGGACCCUUCGACCGGCUAGCCCGGAAGCCGCCGCAAAGGACUGCUGCUGAAGGCAUAUGCGCUUCCUCUGUCCGCAUAUUUGGUUACAAGUGCGAAGAACAUGAUGUACGAUAUACUUUUCUAUAUUUCGUUGUUAGUGAUGACUAAUAUCAGCAUAUAUAUAUAUGAACUGAGUGAUUUUAACUGUUUAAUCUCGAAGGUGGUGACUCAAGAUGGAUACAUAUUGAAUAUGCAAAGGAUACCGGAAGGACGAGCCGGCGCCGGAGAUAUGUCCAAGAGACAGCCUGUCCUAAUACAGCAUGGGAUUCUUGUCGUAAGUUUAACUCUUCUCUACCCUUUCGCAUUUCAUUAGCUAUUUAUGUGCAAUAUUUAAUCGUGAUACGUUUCAAGUUUUGCUUUAUAUUCAAAUUACAAGUGAAUUUGAAGAGAAUUUUUUUAAAAAGUACUACACCAAACAGAAGAAAUUAUCUUUUAAAGUAAGAAAGAAUAAGUGAGGAAAAUGUAUUAGGUAAAAACUCUAUACCCAAUUUUCACAAUAAUACAAAUGUAGAAACGAGUUUCCAUGUGCAUAGGUUUAUUUUAGGAGGAUAAACGUAUUAAUACGAAACUGUGUGGGGGCAAUACCAACGUGUAGCACUCGAAGUUCUAGUGGUUGCCUAGUGAGCAGGUACACGUACACUGAGUAAAUUUAUAUACAACUUCAUCGUGUAUUUGUUUGUAUAGUUAAUUUGAGUGUGAAAGGAAUGUUUCCACUCACUUCUAUGUGUCAGUUAACGAGGAGUAAAACUAAAAUAAAUAUUUACAUAUCUUAGUGGUGGGUAAAAUAUAACAUAAUAAAAUAAGAGACAUCAUGAGUGUUUAUCAUGUGUGUCCAACAAAUAAAGUGAUAAGUUGAGCGUUACUAGAAAGGUCACUAAAAUAAAGUCAAAUGAAAACAUGCUUUUCUAGUAAGGGAGAAUCGUUGUUUAAGCUAAGUUGCAUACAAUCAUACAUAAGUAACCAUGUUGACUCUAGUAGUCUUGAGGAUAGUAAAGGGUUUUUUUUUUACUUUGCACCCAUGAAGAAGUCCACGCUAAUUUCCAAAAAAAAAGUGACGCAGGUCCAGAAAAAUAUUCAAAUGGACACUAAAAUAGGAUUAGUAAAGUUCAAAGAGGAAUGGGGAUCUGGAAAAAAAUUAAAUCAUGAAAUUAUAUGUGCAGGAUGGGAUGUCGUGGCUGUUCAAUCCGGCGGAUCAAAAUCUACCGUUAAUUUUGGCUGAUCAAGGAUUCGAUGUGUGGAUGGGAAACACAAGAGGGCAGCAGGAGACACAAGUACCUUAGCCCUAAUCAACCGGUCCGGUUCAGUCAGCCACUCCUUAAUCAGUUGAAUAUGUUCCUCCUUAAUCAGUUGAUUAUGUACGGUUCAUGUUUUUGUAAAGAAACCGAGGUUAACCGUCUAUCACGUUGUACGUAGGCUUUCUGGAACUGGACGUGGGACGAGCUUGUGAGUUACGAUCUGCCUGCUAUGUUUGACCAUAUCCACGGCCUAACAGGCCAAAAGAUUCACUACCUCGGACACUCUUUGGUGGGUCCAACGUUAUCAACAUUCAAUAUAUAUUUUCUAUGUUUAUACCUUUUUAAUGUAUAUAGCUUACUUUACAAAAUAGAAAAUAUUUGAAAUGGGAAUAUACAUCAGGGAACUUUGAUAGGAUUUGCGUCGUUCUCGGAAAAGGGGUUGGUGGACAAAUUAAGAUCGGCAGCGAUGCUGAGUCCUAUUGCUUAUCUCAGCCACAUGACCACAGUUCUCGGCGACAUCGCCGCUAAAAGUUUCCUCGCUGAGGUCUCUACCGCCUCACUCUUCUAUUUUUUUUAUUUGUUAAAUUUAUGCCUAGCUAUAAUAUUACUGAAAAAUAACUCGUUUGUCGUCUUUACAAAACAGGCCACCGCCAUUAUAGGAGUGGCAGAGUUUAACCCCAAAAGGUAGAUCUUCACCAUGUCUUGCUUAUAAUAUGUUUGUUUUUAACUUUGUUUGCUAACGUGAAACAAUAAAACAAAUUUGGCAGUGGACUAGUAGGGAAUUUCAUAAAGUUUAUAUGCCAUCAAGCAGGGAUCGACUGCUAUGAUCUAAUCUCUGUUAUUACCGGCAAGAAUUGUUGCCUUGACGCAUCAACCAUUGAUCUAUUCCUGGCGAAUGAACCACAAUCUACUUCCACCAAGAACAUGAUCCACCUUUCUCAAAGUAAGUCGAACAAAAUUUUCAAAAAUGUAUUUCUUGAACCAUUACAUGCACGUGUCGUUAAAAUCAAGAUUAUAUUUAUUUUCUUGUAGCGGUAAGAGACAAGGUGUUAAGAAAAUACAACUAUGGAAGUAGCAAUUACAACAUGAAACAUUACGGUCAAGCGUUGCCGCCUGCUUACAACAUAUCGGCGAUCCCACACGACCUUCCGCUUUUCUUCAGCUACGGAGGUUUAGACUGUCUUGCCGAUGUGAGCGACGUCAGGUUUUUGAUAGACCAGUUUAAGUUUCACGAUGCAGAUAAGAUCGACGUGCAGUUUGUGAAAGAGUAUGCUCAUGCUGAUUUCAUCAUGGGUGUUACUGCCAAAGACGUUGUUUAUAACCAAGUUGCUACCUUUUUCAAACGACAAGUUUGAUUUUAGUAUAAAUCAUUAGGUUAUAUGUACUUUCAUGUGCCCCAGUAUUUUUAAAACCGGACCGGCUAGCAAACCGAAAUUUUUUGGGGUUAUGGGUCAUUGUGGUUCGACCGUAUCUGAACCGGGUUCGAUCGGAUUUACUUAGAUUAAACUAAAUUUAAUGAUAUUUUAUAAAUAAUAUGCAUUUUUUUUUAAAAAAAUUAGAUCAUAUCAAAAAAAUGUUUAAAUAGCCAUAAUGUGUAGAAAAUUUUAAAAAUAACAAUUAAAAUCUAAAAUCAAUAUGAAAAACACAUUUAAACUUUAUUACAGAUCUUAUCACUCUAAAUCUUCAUCACCUUUUAAAAAAAUUAUAUACGCAUUAGGUAAAAGUUAUAUUUUGAAAUACAAAUUUCAGAAACGUAAAUGUUUCAAUUAUUUAAAGUCUUCAAAACAAGUGAUCAUGAAAUAAAAAUUUAAACAAAAUGAGAAGUAGACAAAAAUAAUAUCUUGACUUGAAUAUUAAACUUUGUGAAUCUUGUAAUUUAUGAGUUGUAUAGACGACAAACGAAAAAGACGAGACACAGUAUGCUCAUGCUGAUUUCAUCAUGGGUGUUACUGCCAAAGACGUUGUUUAUAACCAAGUUGCUACCUUUUUCAAACGACAAGUUUGAUUUUAGUAUAAAUCAUUAGGUUAUAUGUACUUUCAUGUGCCCCAGUAUUUUUAAAACCGGACCGGCUAGCAAACCGAAAUUUUUUGGGGUUAUGGGUCAUUGUGGUUCGACCGUAUCUGAACCGGGUUCGAUCGGAUUUACUUAGAUUAAACUAAAUUUAAUGAUAUUUUAUAAAUAAUAUGCAUUUUUUUUUAAAAAAAUUAGAUCAUAUCAAAAAAAUGUUUAAAUAGCCAUAAUGUGUAGAAAAUUUUAAAAAUAACAAUUAAAAUCUAAAAUCAAUAUGAAAAACACAUUUAAACUUUAUUACAGAUCUUAUCACUCUAAAUCUUCAUCACCUUUUAAAAAAAUUAUAUACGCAUUAGGUAAAAGUUAUAUUUUGAAAUACAAAUUUCAGAAACGUAAAUGUUUCAGUUAUUUAAAGUCUUCAAAACAAGUGAUCAUGAAAUAAAAAUUUAAACAAAAUGAGAAGUAGACAAAAAUAAUAUCUUGACUUUAAUAUUAAACUUUGUGAAUCUUGUAAUUUAUGAGUUGUAUAGACGACAAACGAAAAAGACGAGACACAAUAUUUUAUUAAUCUUUGAUAAUUCUUAUUUUUACUUUAAAAAGAAGAAAAAUUAAUUGUUUCAUUAACAAAUUUUUGACUUAUAUACGAACCGGAGUUUGCUGGUUCAUUGGAUCGCCGGUUCCCGGGUUUUUGACGGUUCGGUAGAGGUUUUUAACUGGUUUGAUCUUAGUCGGGUUUUAGCAUUAACCCAAUCCAGAUUAUUUUCGGUUCAUGGUUCAACCUGGUCCGACCGUCGGUUCGGUCCGGGUUUAAAAACACUGUUGUGCCCAUAUUCUUCAAUUAUUUCCCACAAAAAAAGGGGCAAAAUAAUAAAGUUACAAUUACUAUAUUCUAUCAUUUUGUUAAAGAACCACCGCUAUCUAACUUAUUUUAAAUUAAUUAUUAAAAAAUUAAGGGUUUAUUUGCCAAAUUACAAAAAAAAAAAAAGAAUAGAUAGAUUUUUAGUAAGAAGUAAAAAAGAGAUAGAAAGAAAAAUAAAGAGAAAGAGGGUGUUUUUGGUUAGAUAGUGGGUUUGUGUUAUUUUAAUGGUUAUUAGAUUUGGAUCCGCGUGCGGGUGUUAAUUUUCAUGUUUAUAUAUAUUUUACAUAAUUAGAAUAUAUUUUUAAGUUACUUAUAUAUUUAAAUGUUUAUAAAUGAUUAUUUUAAAUAUAACAAUUUGUAAAAUAUAAAAAUUUGAUCGUUUUCAUGCUGUAAGUUAAUUGAUUAUUUCAAAUCAUCACAUAUAUUUGGUAUUUUUUAUUAUAUAUAUUUCAAAAUUAUUUUUUAUUCAAUUAUUAUGAUCCUGAUCCGUAAUUCAAAGCGCUAUAUUUCUUUUAUCAAUAUUUGUUUAUGUUUAUUCAUUUAAGAUAAUAACUAUAUAUAUAUAAAUUUAAGAUAAGUUAAUUUUAUACAUGAAUUAUCUAAUUUAUUAAUGUUAACCCAUUCUACCAACACAUUAUAUUUCUAGCAUAAAUUUUUAAUGUUUGUGAAAAUAAAAUAUAUUAAUUUAUCAGUUUAAAAUAAUUUUAUCAUAUUUACUUAAAUACAAUAUUUUAUUUUAAAAUGAUAGAUCUAACUAUCAAAUAGUAAAAUUUGAUAUAAUUUUUUUUUCAUUUUAUAAAAGAUAACUGAGUAUAUAUAUUAAUGUAUAACAACAUUAAUUUCAUUACUAAUUACAAAAUUAGUGAAAAUAUUUAUAUACAAUUUUUGAUAAUUAAGAUAUUGUUAUAAUGUUUUUCAACACAUUUGUUAAAAAAAUUAAAUAUAUAUAUUUAUAUUUUAAAUUAAAAGAUAUCAAAUUAUAUUAUGAUUUAAGUAGUUAAAAGAUUAUAUAUAAGCAUUAAGGAAUUACAUUUAAUAAAAAAUUUAAAUGAUGAUCCAAAUUAAAAUAUCACACAUGAAUCAAUGUGAGUUUGUUAACCAAUCCGGGUUUUUAGGAGUCGAUUUUAUAUUAGGAAUUAUAUAUUAUUAAUCCAUAUUAUUAGUAAUAAAUGAAUGAUAAUUGAUUUCUAGUUAGAGUCCAUUUAAAAAAAAAAUCACACAUGAAUCAAAGUUGUGACUUCUGUUUUAGUAUAAAUAUAUAAGAUUGAGGCAAAUUUCCCCAAAACAAAACAAACUAAUGCUAAAAGAAAAAAAAGAUAUAACCUAAUAAAUACGAAUUAUUUUACUUCAAAUCAAUUUUUUAGAAAACCAUUAGAAAUCAAAUAAAAUAAUUUAAUUUUCAGAUAUGUAUGAGCAUAAAUUUUAUUUAUAUUUGCCCUUAAAUAAACUACAAAAUUCGAAAAGCAUUUUACUUCAAAUCAUUUUUAAGAAACCAUUAGGAAAUAAAAAGAAAACAAAAUUCAGAUAUGUAUGCGCAUAGCUUUUAUUUAUAAUUUCACAUAAAUAAACUACAAAAUUCGAAGACAAAUUAUCCAAAACAAAAUCGUAAAACAAUAAAAACACUAAAAUACAAAUUCGAAAAACAAAAACAAUUAUAUAUAUGUGUGAAUUCAUGUUGGGCCAGUGGCCCAAUGAUGUAGUAUUAAACUUUCAACAGUCGAAGUGGGCUGUGAAGUUACGGGUCGGGUCUCAACACGGUCAAGUCAUAAAUUGAAUAGCUCCGGUGAGCAAUUUGUUUACUCUAUCGACUGAGACGCAGCGGAACAACGGCGACGAAGGAGAAUCAGGAGAAGAAGAAACGAAGCUGCGAAUCUUCGCAUUAGUAAGGUACGCUACUCUUUCUCGAUAGAUUUUUCAAAUAGUCUCCGGAGAUUAUCCAUACUCGUUAAAUUGUGCAUCAACCUUAGAAAACAAAAAAAAUUAGGGUUUUUAGGCUCCGAUUUCUCUAGGUAUCCGAUCUAUCGUUCCCUGAUGUUUGUUAGAUUAAUCAAACCGAAGAUGUUGUGGAAUCAUUAGAAAAGGUGUUCUCUUUAUGUGGUUUUAAACCAGAUUUGUAUUUGAAUUGAAGUGUAAAGAGUGUACUUUGUUCUGAAUUUUACAGGCAUCGAUGUCUGCUAACAACAACAAUCCACAGAAGCCUCAACAAGGCUCUGCGCCUCCACCAUUCGGCGUUAACCCUGGGAUGGCCUCUGCAUCUGUCCCCGGAAACCAAGGCUUUACUCAGUCUCACAUGGCACCUAACUUUCCAGCUCAGUUUCAAUUCUCACAAGCCCAGGCCAUGGCCCAUGCUCAAGCCCAAGCUCAGUCUAAAGCCCAAGCUCAGUUCCAAGCUCAGAUGCAAGCAGGGAUGACGAUGAACCAAGGGCAAGGCUCCCAGGGGAUUGGUGGUGUGUUGGGUUCGUCUUCUCCUUCCAUGACUCCUGGAAGCUUGAACAUGAAGAGGUUCCAGCAGAGGCCGCCGAUGCGGCCUCCUUCUGGUUUCCCCGCGAGUAACAACACUGUCUCCCCCAUGAGAACGAUGGAGUUAACUCCCGCGGCGAGGAAGAAGAAAAUGAAGCUUCCUGAGAAGUCUUUGCAGGAGAGGGUGGCGGCAAUCUUGCCUGAGUCUGCGUUAUACACGCAGCUUCUUGAGUUUGAGUCAAGGGUUGAUGCUGCUUUGAGUAGGAAGAAAGUUGACAUCCAGGAGGCUCUUAAGAACCCUCCUUGCACUCAGAAGACGCUUAGGAUCUAUGUGUUCAACUCGUUUGCGAACCAAAACAACACCAUCCCUGGGAAUCCAAACGCUGACCCGCCGACAUGGACUCUUAAGAUUGUUGGUAGGAUCCUGGAAGAUGGGGUGGAUCCGGACCAGCCAGGUUUUGUUCAGCAAGCGAACCCAUCGCAUCCAAAAUUCUCUUCUUUCUUCAAGAAGGUAAUAGUUAACCUGGACCAGAGGCUGUAUCCUGAGAACUCGGCGAUCACAUGGGAGAGUGCUAGAUCUCCUGCUCCCCAGGAAGGGUUUGAGAUAAAGAGGAAAGGGAAUCAGGAGUUUGCAGCUACUAUUCGGUUGGAGAUGAACUACGUCCCUGAAAAGUUCAAGCUUUCUACUGCGUUGAUGGAUGUUCUCGGGAUUGAGGUUGAGACAAGACCAAGAAUUAUCUCUGCGAUAUGGCAUUACGUUAAGGCGAGGAAGUUACAGAACCCAAAUGAUCCUUCUUUCUUCAACUGCGACGCUGCGCUUCACAAAGUCUUUGGGGAAGAGAAGGUGAAGUUCACAAUGGUUUCUCAGAAGAUAUCUCAUCACUUGUCACCUCCACCGCCGAUUCAUUUAGAACACAAGAUCAAGCUGUCGGGAAACAACCCGGCUAUAUCGGCAUGUUACGAUGUCCUGGUGGAUGUGCCGUUUCCGAUUCAGAGGGAUCUGAACAACCUAUUGGCCAACGCGGAGAAGAAUAAAGAGAUUGAGGCUUGUGAUGAAGCUAUAUGUGCUGCCAUAAGGAAAAUCCAUGAGCAUAGGAGGAGACGUGCGUUUUUCUUGGGAUUCAGCCAGUCGCCAGUUGAGUUCAUAAACGCACUGAUCGAAUCUCAGAGCAAGGAUCUGAAGGUGGUAGCGGGAGAAGCUAGUCGAAAUGCUGAGAAAGAACGUCGAGCAGACUUCUUCAAUCAACCUUGGUAAGCUCAUUAUCUAUGUUCUCUCUGUUUUUGUCUGAUAACUUCACUCGCUACUAGAGUUGUGAAAGUGUAGGAACUUCACUGAUUGAUUGAUGAUAUGUUUAUGAAUCAUGAAAUGUUGCAGGGUUGAAGAUGCAGUUAUACGUUACUUGAACCGGAAGCCAGCAGCUGGGAACGAAGGACCAGGGACCUGGUGAGUAUCUUGCAGGUACCUUACCAUCAAGUCUAAAGAAAAAAAAUGUUGUAGGAGCAAUCUGGUUUAUUUGUAAUUUCAUGUAUGAUGAAACCUUAGUACUUCAUAAUUUAGCUUUGAUUUGUAGCUACUUUGGUUGAUUCUUAAUUAUACUUUUGAUAAUAAGCCGAACGAAUAUAUAUAAUCUUAUCAUACCGUUGUGUUUGCAUGAUAAAACAAACAUAACUCAAGUAACUAAAAGUGUGUUUGUGCUUAAGCGCUGGUCAAUAAGGAAACUAAAUAUGGCUGGUCUGAACAAUAUAAAUUAGCCUAGCCAUGCUUAUAAAUAGUUUUCUUAUUUGUGGUUGAAACUUGAAAUGAUCAAACAUAGAAACGUCUUCACUUGCAGCACGCUAACGUUAGUUGAUCAUUUUUGUGUGUGGAAAAUAACACUUGAACGAUCUGCAAUUUGAAUAUUCAUUUGUUCAAGAGUCUCUAGUAUCAUAAAAAAAGGAGAACUAGUGCUGUCAGUUCUGAUAUGAUAAAAGUUAAAUCAUCAUACACCAAAAAGAAAGCAGUGCUGAAAAUAAUCAAAACUGGUUAUAUACUUAUAUUAAAUGUUUAUUUGAAAAAUAUCUGCUUCAAUCUAAGAACCGUUGAGUUAAAGUUGAACGAACUAAAUUAGAACAGGGUGUAUACGCUGAAUUCAAGGAUCAGUCAAAAGUCAUUAUCAUAUUAGAAUGGAACAAGAUCACUUUUUUCAAACUCAUCUUUUGGAUUAGUCUAUCCUUUUGUGUUUAACGACAAUAAUAUUAGUUACAAUCAUUAACAUUUAAUCAAAAUAAAAUUAUUCCAUGCAGAUGACUGACCUAAUGAGGUUUGUUUAAAUGUCACUCUCAAUAAAACCCCAUAACUCGAGAAAUGUCCUCGCUUAAGUAAAAGCUUAGAAGAUGGCAGUUGUAAAAUGCUGUCAUUCAUCUGUGAAUGUGACCUUUGUCAUUAACACACACACAAAAACACUUUAUUCUACAAAAGCGGCUAUACAUAUAUCUGGUGGCAUAUCAGAGUGUUGUGGUCCUUUAUAUCCAAGAGGGACCGUAUAGAGAGGAUGUAUACUGGUAGUGAUUCAAGAAAACCCAUGAUGUUGUCGUUCUUAGUGGGGAUGUUGUUCUUUUGCAUGGUGACCGAGUCAAAUGCUCAAUUGUCAGAGAACUUCUACGCCUCGACAUGUCCUAACGUGGAACUCAUCGUUAGACAGGCGGUUACAACGAAGUACCAACAAACACCCAUCACGGCUCCAGGAACAUUACGGAUGUUCUUUCACGACUGUUUCGUUGAUGUAUGUACGCUUUGUUGUGAUCUUGAAGCUUUUUUAGUAUUGUUAUUCUUGUUUUCAUGUGGUUGGUGACUGUAUAGGGAUGUGAUGCUUCUGUGUUAAUAGCAUCUGACAACGGAGACGCGGAGAAGGAUGCUCAUGACAAUAUAUCUCUCGCCGGAGACGGAUUCGACACCGUGGCUAAGGCUAAACUCGCUGUGGAAGCUCAAUGCCCUGGCCUUGUCUCAUGUGCUGAUAUUCUGGCUCUGGCCGCCAGGGACGUGGUUGUCCUCGUAAGUCAACCCUCAUCAUUGUCUCUUCUUCUGAUUCACCGAAAGUGAAUGAUCACUAGCCAUGAAAAUAUGGUUUUCUUUUAAAUGAUGGGCAUUUUCUUUUUCUUCUAAUUUUUUUCAAAAACAAACUCUAUUAAAAUCGCACUCUUGUAAAAAACUUUUGUUGGAUAAAUUUAAAAUUCAUUCAAAAAAUGAUCACUAACCAUGAAAACAUGGUUUUAUUUAGAUGAUGAUGGGUAUGUUCACUUUCUUUUUCUUCUAACUUUCUCAAAAACAAACUAUAUUAAAAUCGGGAAUUACCUGGCCUAAAAAGAAAUUUCGUGGAAUAAAUUUAACAUUCAUUCGAAAAAAAGUACCAGUAACUAUGUUAUAUUGUUAGGCUGGAGGUCCAGGGUUUAAGGUGGAGCUAGGGAGACGAGACGGACUCGUGUCACAUGCCUCUAGCGUAGACGGGAAGUUACCAGGACCAGAGCUAGACGUAACCGGUCUAGUCAAUCUAUUCGCUAAUAACGGUCUAUCAAUAACCGACAUGAUUGCUCUCUCAGGCGCACACACUAUAGGAUUCUCUCACUGCGACCGUUUCGCUCACCGUCUCUACAACUUCUCAGCCCUCAUGCCCGUAGACCCCACGUUAGAUCCGGCCUACGCACAACAGCUGAUGCAAACCUGCCCUCGAGUCGGGUCGGAUCCCAACUCUGUCUCAAACCUUGACGCCACCACCCCUGAUGUUUUCGACAACGCCUACUUCCUGAACCUCGUAGCAAGGAAAGGACUCUUCACCUCCGACCAAGUUCUGUUUAACGACUUCAGGUCUCAGGCAGCGGUGGUCAGGUUUGCAAACAACGCUGAAGAGUUCAACAACGCUUUCACCUCAGCUAUGAGGAAACUCGGCCGCGUUGGAGUUAAAGUUGGGAACCGAGGAGAGAUUAGAAAAGAUUGUGCUGCUUUUAACUAACUUUAUAUAUUAAAAUGUCAUAAUCCACAAAGGAACAUCUAUUCUAAAAACCUUUUAUGUAAAAUCUACCAAUCAUAGAUGUGUGCCGUGGAUAUAAAUCCAAGAAACGUAACAAACAAAACCGACAAUAAAAACAACAACAACAACAAAAAAAUAGAUACAGAACAAAAACUUCUGUAUCGGCAAGACAAAACCAAUGAAUAAGAAGCCAAAAGGAACAGAUUAAGCGCGGGUCUUGGCAUAGAGAUGAGUGUAGACAGACUUGGUACGACGCACGAGAAUCAUACUCGAGAUGCAAGCGACGAUGCAGAAGCCAGACAUUAUAAGCGACGUCAAGAAGUAACAUAUUGAACCUUCGCAUUUAAGGACGUCAUCCGGAUUAAAAACAGACCCGUGUGCUUGUCUUUCAGCUUCCAUGUCGUAUAUGCUGCUCGCAAUCAUACCCGAGAAGACGAAGGACCCGACCGGGAGGGCCAGCGUCAAGAAGUUGUAUAGAGCUCCAAACUUUUUAAGACCAAAGAGCUCAGAGGCGGUGGCUGGGACAAUAGCCCAGUGAGCACCGUACCCGAGUCCAAUCAAGAGAGUGCCAAUGUACAUAGCUCCAGGCCAUCCGAAGGCAAAACAAACAUGUCCCACGGCCAUUACUAUUUGAGCCACGGCCAUUGCUACAGGCCUUGGGUACGCAUAGUCCCUUCACAUUUUCAGAAACAAAGCACAAUAAACAGAGAUGUAAAUAAAUAAAUAAACAGAUGUAAAUUAGCAGAAUCACAACAAAUAAUGAUGUCUCGAAAAUUAUAUUCCCAUGUUCAAAAUAAAUAAUAUUAACAGUAUAUUUAACUGAAACUAGGAGUUUCCUGCCCCAUAAGCAGUAAUAAUAGUUUAAAAUUUUUGUAGCUAUGUUCAAAAUAAAUAAUAUUAACAGUAUAUUUAACUAAAAUAAUUUUAAAAUUUAAUAACUCUAUUUAUAUAUAUUUGAUUAUUUAAAAAAUAAAAAAUUAAGCAUUAAAUUUAGUCGAAUAUCUAAAAAUUUAAAGUUUUAGACCAUAAUUUAUAUAUUUAUUGUUUCUAAAUUGACCCCUUUUUAUUUUAUUUUCAGACCGUUCCACUUAAACAUUGCUUAGAUUGACAACAAACCUGACAACGAGCUCAGAGAAAUAACCACCGGAGAUACGUCCAAGGAAGUUCCAAAUGCUAAUCAUAGACACAAAGACGUGAGUGUUGUCAUAACCAAGAGACUGACUCAUCUGACCAAGAUUGUCUAUUACAGUCAAACCGGAACCACCACCGAGCAGAAGCGAGAAGAAAAUCAGCCAGAAGUCUGCCUUCACUAGUGCCUGCAUUAGAGUAAAAUCUUCACCUCUGUGCGGCCCUCUCCUUCCCUUCACCCGGACUGCUCCCUCCGCAGCUGCCUGCAUUGCAUUUAGAGGUGGAUACAGAUCAAAUACUAUCAUUUUUUUUGGUAUUUGUGAUUACAAAACCGGAUAUCAGCUUCUUACAAACUUUAGUAUUUAUGAUUUGCUUUGUUUUUAAUAGAUAUUGAUUUUUAUUUUAAUUUUUGCUCAGCAAGAUAUCCGAACUUUUUCGAAUUGAAUAGAAACGAGUAACAAAUCGAAUCAAAUUUAAUGGAUAAAUUGGCCAUCCGUACCUGCAUUAGCUGUGCUUGCAAAUGAGCAAUUCUCUUAUGCCUCUCUGACGCAGGAAGCAAAUCCACAUCUCUUGGUUUCUCAUCUUCCACUUCACUCAGGAUCAAGUCAGGUGUCCUUAGUCCAGGAUCUUGGUCUUCUUCCCGUUUAGGCACAAGUGGUUCCUCGACCGUAUCAACGGGACCGUUUGAAUCACUGAAGAAACUCGUCAUGAUUGGGACCAAGACCGGUGCAAGAAGAAUGAAAAACAACACAACGGUGAACGCGGUGACGACGUUGAGGCUAACAACGGCGAGAUCUUCGAUAAGCAUAACGGCCAUGAGAUAAACAGCCAGGAGAAUGCAGACGCCGUAGAUGAAAGUAAAGCUAAAUCCAUCUGUUGGACGGAUCUGCCUGUGGCCGCCAACGGGUCUGAUGAAGAACAUUAGUGUAAUAACGACAACCGCAGGGGCAACGGCGACCAUGAAAAUGAGAGAAGCCGGGUCGGGAGAGUUGAUGACUGUGUAUAUCUGAGAGAGCAUGGCGCCGCCUAGGCCAGCGAAUCCUUUGAGGAUGCCCACCACUGGACCUCGGCUCUUGGGGAAGUUUUGAACACCAGAGACUAGUGACGCCGUGUUGAAGUAGGUUUCUCCGUUGUUCCCAACGAAUAUGAGAAUACACAUCUGAAAAAUACAAAAAAAAAAAAAAAAGUUACUUCAGCACAGCAUACUAGGAAAAGUCAAUAGCUUAACCAGAAACAGAGCAAUUGCAAAGAAAGCAGAACAAGAGAUGAGAAAGUAAAAAAGAGUGAAACUUUCAUGGAUUUGACAGUGACUUAUGAGUAACCAAACAACCUUAAAAGCAUAUACUUUCCGAGAUUCUCUCACACAAUAGUUGAAUUAAUAGAAAGUCUCCAACGUUUUCACCCAAUCAAAAACAUAAACAGAUGAAUUAAUAAGAUUGAAACUCACAGCCCAUAGAGGAAGAAUCGGAGCACGGCCAGUGACGAUAAGCCAAACCCAUCCGUAACCAACGAGGUUCUGAACAGCGCCGACGAGAAGAGCAGCCCAGAGAGGCAGCAUCUCCGAGAGAUACCCUGCGAUGAAGCCGACACUGUCGCCAAGAUCCUUCGCCACUCCGAGCCUGGCGAGCUCCUUCUGGUUGUAGUUAAGGGAGCUUUUGAUUACCGGAGAAAUGCUUCCGAACAAGUAACCGAUACCGGCGCAAGACUGUAUCCACAUGGCAGCAACGAAGACAAGCCAUCGGUUGUUUAUGAAAGAUACGAACUUUUCUCGCGUUGUUGACGCCAUUGAAGAAGAAUCAGAGAUCAAAAGGACAGAUCGGUGAAAAAAAAGGUUUUUUUUUUUUUUGGGGUGUCUGAUUGUCUAUUUGUAUGUCUUUUUUAUCGCUUUAUAAGAUUUAAAUUAUAAAAAGACAACCAGACAUUGAGACAUACUGUAAGAAGGGGAUCGUAAAGACUGUAGAUAGAUCACGCCAACAAAGCUAAGUGAUUAAGUUUGUUGAUUAGUAGUAAAUAAUAUGAUUAAAACUUAUUAAGUACAUAGAUCUACUAAUUAAGGAAGAAGACGUGUACACAUUGUAUAACAAAAGGCUCGAUGAUUUUUAUGAACAGUCCAUGUAAGAUUUGUUGGGUGAUUUGGUCCCGUUAACUCUUCAAUGCCCAAGUGCGUGUCUGCCAUCUUGCACUUGCACUUGCAGUCUUUUUUAAAUUAAGAGUGAUUAUACUAUUUGUUUGAUUCUCAUGUGUCUUUGGUGGAUAUUUUUAUAAAAAAAUACUAUAAUUAACGAUUAUUGAAUACAGUAAUUUGAAAUGAUGAAAGCUAGCAUUAGCGAAUGCUUGAAAAGUAAUUGCUUUAACGUCAUUGUCAGUACCAAUAAGUUGAAUUGAAUCUUUAUCGCAAUCAUUUUUUUCUGGCUGGGAUCAGAGGUCGUAAGAAACGAAAUAAAAGUGAGAACAUAUGAAAGUACGGUGCUCCUCCUAUCAAUGAUCCGUAAAUAUCUGCUACAUUUAUGGAGGAAUACAUCGUCUCACUAUUUUAAAAAUCAAUCAGAAGAAUAUAUAAAUUGUAUGACAUGGUGUGACCUGUGUCAUUAUCAAAUUAAAAAUCAUAUGUUACCCUUUUCGUUCUAUACUAUUGUCUAAGGUUAUAGACGAGUAAAAAGUUACGUUGUAACCGACGGGAGCUGUUAGUUUGGUGGUAGCCGUCGUAAAAAUGCUGUAAAAAAAACUUAAUUUUGUAAAAAACUUAAUUUGUUUGGUUCAAAAAAACUUAAUUUUGUUAUGAAAUAACUUAUAAUUUAUAGUAUCGAAAAAUUUAAAUAAGGGCGAAAUAUUUUCCCCGCAGAAAGAAGAUAUACGAUAAAUAUGCAAGAGAGAAUAUUUACUAUGAAGAGGGAGAAUAGAGAUGAGAUGUAAUGAUUCUUUGUUUAUAAACUCUUCUUCUUGUUUUUGGUGUACAAGAGAGUGAGAUGAGUGAUGGUAUUUAUAGUGAGCAACAAUACAUAAAAUAACAAAGAUGAUGCUUGAUUUGGUAAAUGAAUGGGUGAUCAUAGUGCUUGGUGAGUAGAUGAUCAUAGUGCUUGGUGAGUAAAUGAUCAUAGUGCUUGAGUUGGUAAAGGAGUGGAGGAUCAUUUCAAAGUUUAUCUUAUAACAUUCCCCCUUGAUUAUCCAUCUUGUAUUAAAUUAAGUUUCGUAACACUCCCCUUUGGGGACCGGUGUCACUCUCCGCUCUCGCUUAACGUCUUUGUUGCCUCGUUAAAAACCUUUCUAGGAAAACCCAAUGGGAAAAACCAUAGUAAGGUAAAAAGAGUACAACUACGUAAGCUCCCCCUCGAAUGAGCAGUCAUAGAUCCUUNNNNNNNNNNNNNNNNNNNNNNNNNNNNNNNNNNNNNNNNNNNNNNNNNNNNNNNNNNNNNNNNNNNNNNNNNNNNNNNNNNNNNNNNNNNNNNNNNNNNNNNNNNNNNNNNNNNNNNNNNNNNNNNNNNNNNNNNNNNNNNNNNNNNNNNNNNNNNNNNNNNNNNNNNNNNNNNNNNNNNNNNNNNNNNNNNNNNNNNNNNNNNNNNNNNNNNNNNNNNNNNNNNNNNNNNNNNNNNNNNNNNNNNNNNNNNNNNNNNNNNNNNNNNNNNNNNNNNNNNNNNNNNNNNNNNNNNNNNNAUAAUAUUAACAGUAUAUUUAACUAAAAUAAUUUUAAAAUUUAAUAACUCUAUUUAUAUAUAUUUGAUUAUUUAAAAAAUAAAAAAUUAAGCAUUAAAUUUAGUCGAAUAUCUAAAAAUUUAAAGUUUUAGACCAUAAUUUAUAUAUUUAUUGUUUCUAAAUUGACCCCUUUUUAUUUUAUUUUCAGACCGUUCCACUUAAACAUUGCUUAGAUUGACAACAAACCUGACAACGAGCUCAGAGAAAUAACCACCGGAGAUACGUCCAAGGAAGUUCCAAAUGCUAAUCAUAGACACAAAGACGUGAGUGUUGUCAUAACCAAGAGACUGACUCAUCUGACCAAGAUUGUCUAUUACAGUCAAACCGGAACCACCACCGAGCAGAAGCGAGAAGAAAAUCAGCCAGAAGUCUGCCUUCACUAGUGCCUGCAUUAGAGUAAAAUCUUCACCUCUGUGCGGCCCUCUCCUUCCCUUCACCCGGACUGCUCCCUCCGCAGCUGCCUGCAUUGCAUUUAGAGGUGGAUACAGAUCAAAUACUAUCAUUUUUUUUGGUAUUUGUGAUUACAAAACCGGAUAUCAGCUUCUUACAAACUUUAGUAUUUAUGAUUUGCUUUGUUUUUAAUAGAUAUUGAUUUUUAUUUUAAUUUUUGCUCAGCAAGAUAUCCGAACUUUUUCGAAUUGAAUAGAAACGAGUAACAAAUCGAAUCAAAUUUAAUGGAUAAAUUGGCCAUCCGUACCUGCAUUAGCUGUGCUUGCAAAUGAGCAAUUCUCUUAUGCCUCUCUGACGCAGGAAGCAAAUCCACAUCUCUUGGUUUCUCAUCUUCCACUUCACUCAGGAUCAAGUCAGGUGUCCUUAGUCCAGGAUCUUGGUCUUCUUCCCGUUUAGGCACAAGUGGUUCCUCGACCGUAUCAACGGGACCGUUUGAAUCACUGAAGAAACUCGUCAUGAUUGGGACCAAGACCGGUGCAAGAAGAAUGAAAAACAACACAACGGUGAACGCGGUGACGACGUUGAGGCUAACAACGGCGAGAUCUUCGAUAAGCAUAACGGCCAUGAGAUAAACAGCCAGGAGAAUGCAGACGCCGUAGAUGAAAGUAAAGCUAAAUCCAUCUGUUGGACGGAUCUGCCUGUGGCCGCCAACGGGUCUGAUGAAGAACAUUAGUGUAAUAACGACAACCGCAGGGGCAACGGCGACCAUGAAAAUGAGAGAAGCCGGGUCGGGAGAGUUGAUGACUGUGUAUAUCUGAGAGAGCAUGGCGCCGCCUAGGCCAGCGAAUCCUUUGAGGAUGCCCGCCACUGGACCUCGGCUCUUGGGGAAGUUUUGAACACCAGAGACUAGUGACGCCGUGUUGAAGUAGGUUUCUCCGUUGUUCCCAACGAAUAUGAGAAUACACAUCUGAAAAAUACAAAAAAAAAAAAAAAAGUUACUUCAGCACAGCAUACUAGGAAAAGUCAAUAGCUUAACCAGAAACAGAGCAAUUGCAAAGAAAGCAGAACAAGAGAUGAGAAAGUAAAAAAGAGUGAAACUUUCAUGGAUUUGACAGUGACUUAUGAGUAACCAAACAACCUUAAAAGCAUAUACUUUCCGAGAUUCUCUCACACAAUAGUUGAAUUAAUAGAAAGUCUCCAACGUUUUCACCCAAUCAAAAACAUAAACAGAUGAAUUAAUAAGAUUGAAACUCACAGCCCAUAGAGGAAGAAUCGGAGCACGGCCAGUGACGAUAAGCCAAACCCAUCCGUAACCAACGAGGUUCUGAACAGCGCCGACGAGAAGAGCAGCCCAGAGAGGCAGCAUCUCCGAGAGAUACCCUGCGAUGAAGCCGACACUGUCGCCAAGAUCCUUCGCCACUCCGAGCCUGGCGAGCUCCUUCUGGUUGUAGUUAAGGGAGCUUUUGAUUACCGGAGAAAUGCUUCCGAACAAGUAACCGAUACCGGCGCAAGACUGUAUCCACAUGGCAGCAACGAAGACAAGCCAUCGGUUGUUUAUGAAAGAUACGAACUUUUCUCGCGUUGUUGACGCCAUUGAAGAAGAAUCAGAGAUCAAAAGGACAGAUCGGUGAAAAAAAAGGUUUUUUUUUUUUUUGGGGUGUCUGAUUGUCUAUUUGUAUGUCUUUUUUAUCGCUUUAUAAGAUUUAAAUUAUAAAAAGACAACCAGACAUUGAGACAUACUGUAAGAAGGGGAUCGUAAAGACUGUAGAUAGAUCACGCCAACAAAGCUAAGUGAUUAAGUUUGUUGAUUAGUAGUAAAUAAUAUGAUUAAAACUUAUUAAGUACAUAGAUCUACUAAUUAAGGAAGAAGACGUGUACACAUUGUAUAACAAAAGGCUCGAUGAUUUUUAUGAACAGUCCAUGUAAGAUUUGUUGGGUGAUUUGGUCCCGUUAACUCUUCAAUGCCCAAGUGCGUGUCUGCCAUCUUGCACUUGCACUUGCAGUCUUUUUUAAAUUAAGAGUGAUUAUACUAUUUGUUUGAUUCUCAUGUGUCUUUGGUGGAUAUUUUUAUAAAAAAAUACUAUAAUUAACGAUUAUUGAAUACAGUAAUUUGAAAUGAUGAAAGCUAGCAUUAGCGAAUGCUUGAAAAGUAAUUGCUUUAACGUCAUUGUCAGUACCAAUAAGUUGAAUUGAAUCUUUAUCGCAAUCAUUUUUUUCUGGCUGGGAUCAGAGGUCGUAAGAAACGAAAUAAAAGUGAGAAAAUAUGAAAGUACGGUGCUCCUCCUAUCAAUGAUCCGUAAAUAUCUGCUACAUUUAUGGAGGAAUACAUCGUCUCACUAUUUUAAAAAUCAAUCAGAAGAAUAUAUAAAUUGUAUGACAUGGUGUGACCUGUGUCAUUAUCAAAUUAAAAAUCAUAUGUUACCCUUUUCGUUCUAUACUAUUGUCUAAGGUUAUAGACGAGUAAAAAGUUACGUUGUAACCGACGGGAGCUGUUAGUUUGGUGGUAGCCGUCGUAAAAAUGCUGUAAAAAAAACUUAAUUUUGUAAAAAACUUAAUUUGUUUGGUUCAAAAAAACUUAAUUUUGUUAUGAAAUAACUUAUAAUUUAUAGUAUCGAAAAAUUUAAAUAAGGGCGAAAUAUUUUCCCCGCAGAAAGAAGAUAUACGAUAAAUAUGCAAGAGAGAAUAUUUACUAUGAAGAGGGAGAAUAGAGAUGAGAUGUAAUGAUUCUUUGUUUAUAAACUCUUCUUCUUGUUUUUGGUGUACAAGAGAGUGAGAUGAGUGAUGGUAUUUAUAGUGAGCAACAAUACAUAAAAUAACAAAGAUGAUGCUUGAUUUGGUAAAUGAAUGGGUGAUCAUAGUGCUUGGUGAGUAGAUGAUCAUAGUGCUUGGUGAGUAAAUGAUCAUAGUGCUUGAGUUGGUAAAGGAGUGGAGGAUCAUUUCAAAGUUUAUCUUAUAACAUUCCCCCUUGAUUAUCCAUCUUGUAUUAAAUUAAGUUUCGUAACACUCCCCUUUGGGGACCGGUGUCACUCUCCGCUCUCGCUUAACGUCUUUGUUGCCUCGUUAAAAAAAGACAUGUUUAAUUCCAUUCCAAUGUCUUCGUGUUGGAGAUGAGCUAAAUCUUGCUAGAAGAUUAACAGCGAAUGAUCUAUCAGGCCGUGUACAAUUUGCAAGGUACAUCAACGCUCCAAUUGCACUUAGAUAUGGUACUUCCGGACCAAGUAUCUCUUCUUUUUCCUCAGGUGGUCGAAAUGGAUCACUUUCAAUGUUAAGUGAUCUAACGACCAUCGGGGUGCUAAGAGGAGUUGAUUUAUCCAUGUUAAAUCGUUUCAACACUCUUUUAGUGUAUGUGGAUUGAUGCACAAAUAUACCAUUUUGUGAAUGUUCUAUUUGUAGGCCAAGACAAUACUGUGUUUGUCCAAGAUCUUUCAUCUCAAAUUCUCAUUUGAGAUAGUCUGAUGCCUUUUGUAUUUCUUUUUGAGUUCCAAUAAUAUUUAGAUCAUCAACAUAUACCGCGAUUAUCACAAAUCCGGAUGUUGUUUUCUUGAUGAAAACUCAUGGGUAUAUAGGAUCAUUUACAUAUCCUUCUUUUGUUAAAUGUUCACUGAGACGAUUGUACCACAUACGUCCAGAUUGUUUUAACCCAUAUAAUGAUCUUUGCAAUUUUAUUGCACAUAACUCUUUAGGUUUGGAACUUAAUGCUUCUGGCAUUUUAAAUCCAUCAGGGAUUUUCAUGUAGAUAUCAGUAUCUAAUGAUCCGUAUAGAUAAGCUGUAACAACAUCCAUGAGACGCAUCUCAAGAUUUUUAUCAGCGGCUAGACUCAUCAGGAAUCUAAAUGUGAUCGCAUCCAUUACAGGAGAAUAUGUUUCCUCAUAAUCAAUACCAGGUCUUUGAGAAAAUCCUUGGGCUACAAGGCGAGCUUUAUACCUUGUAAUCUCAUUUUUCUCAUUUCGUUUUCGAACGAAAAUCCAUCUGUACCCAACUGGUCUCACAUCUUCAGGUGUGAGUACAAUAGAUCCAAACACUUUUCGUUUGUUAAGCGAAUCAAGUUCGAUUUGUAUUGCUUCUUUCCAUUUAUUCCAAUCAUGUCUCUUUUGACAUUCAUAUAUGGAUUUCGGUUCUGGAUCAUCGGUAUCUUCAUUUACCUCACUUGACACGAUAUAUGAGAAAGCAUCAUCAAGGUCAUUUUGUUCAUUUCUAUUCCAUAUCCUUUUAUUAUGGAUGUAAUUAAUAGAAAUCUCAUGAUUAUCUUUCGAUUCAUGAUGCUCUGAUUCAUCAGAGUCCUUAUCAUUUAUUUCUUCCAAAAUAUUUUCUGCUAUUUUGGGUGCAUCAUAUAUUUCAGCUUUCUUCUGUUUCCUAGGAUUCUUAUCCUUAGAACCAGCAGGUCUACCACGCUUCAGGCGUGUUUUUGGCUCUCGUGUGUCAUCCUCCUUUUCUUGUUCAUUUGGCAUUUUGAUACGAGCAGGAGCAUUUGCAGCUGGUAUAUGAGAUUUAGUUACCGUCUUGGUAUCUGCAAAUGCAUCAGGUAGCUGGUUAGCUAUACUCUGUAAAUGCAUAAUUCGUCGAACUUCUAGUUCUGACUCUUUAGUAGGAGGAUCAAGAUAUAACAAUGAUGGUACACUCCAUUUUAUAUCACUUCCAACAUUUUUGUUUUCUCCCCCUAGAACUGGGAAUACAUUUUCGUCAAAAUGACAAUCAGCAAAACGUGCUGUAAAGACGUCACCAGUCUGUGGUUCUAGGUAUCUUAUAAUUGAUGGAGAAUCACAACCAACAUAUAUUCCCAACCUUCUUUGUGGUCCCAUCUUUGUUCGUUGUGGUGGUGCUACAGGCACAUAUACCGCACAACCAAAGAUUCUAAAGUGGGAAAUGUUUGGUUCUCGACCAAACGCUAACUGUAGUGGGGAAUACUUAUGGUAUGCACUCGGUCUGAUCCGAAUGAGUGCUUCUGCAUGCAAAAUGGCAUGUCCCCAUACAGAGGUUGGAAGUUUUGAUCUCAUGAUCAAUGGUCUUGCAAUCAAUUGCAGACGCUUAAUUAAAGAUUCAGCCAAACCAUUUUGCGUAUGAACAUGAGCAACCGAAUGUUCAACUUCAAUUCCCAUUACCAUACAAUAGUCAUUGAAUGCUUGGGAUGUGAAUUCACCAGCGUUGUCUAGUCUAACUCUUUUAAUAGUAUAAUCAGGAAACUGUGCUCGCAGUUUGAUUAUCUGAGUUAGAAAUCUCGCAAAUGCCACAUUUCGAGAUGAUAAUAGACAAACGUGUGACCAUCUACUGGAUGCGUCAAUUAAUACCAUAAAAUAGUGGAAUGGUCCACAUGGUGGAUGUAUCGGUCCACAUAUAUCACCUUGAAUUCUUUCAAGGAACUUUGGUGAUUCUUUAUCGAUUUUGGUUGGCGAUGGCCUUACGAUCAAUUUUCCUAGAGAACAUGCAACACAUGUCAUUUUAUUCCCUUGAGAAAUCUCCUGGAUUUUCAGUGGAUGACCAUGUGAACUUUCUAUGAUUUUACGCAUCAUUGUAGUGCCUGGGUGGCCAAGGCGAUCAUGCCAUAACGUGAACUCUUCUGGGUUCCGUUUUACUACAAGAUUUGAUUCGAUCUCAUCGAUAUAAGUAUGAUGUAACCCCGAAGGAAGCUCUGGAAACUUUUCCAAUAUGUGUUUUCUGCCACAUUUUUCAGAAAUUACAUACAUGUAUUUCUUUCCAUCCUCAGUUGCAGACUGAGUAUCAUAUCCGUGAAGAUAUAUGUCUUUAAAACUCAACAAAUUCCUUUUAGAACUCGGAGAAUAUAAAGCAUUAUUUAUGGAAAAUUUUGUUCCAUUCGGCAAAGUAAAGUUUGCUUUACCAGUUCCUUCAAUCACGUCUGCAGGACCUGAUAUUGUAUUGACGACAAUUCUUGUCGGUUUUAUAUCAGAGAAAUAUCUCUUUUGUCUCAGAAUAGUGUGCGUUGUUCCACUAUCUGGUAUGCAUAUUUCACGAAUCCGUUUCUUGGAUUUUGCUCCAUUAGUAUUUUGAUCCAUUUCUGAAAUUAUCAUAAACAUUAAAUAAAAGUGAAACGUGAAAUUUAUUCAUUGAUUAUAUAAAGAAAACACACAAUAAUUAUACAUAUAUUGUUGUUAAAAUAACAUUAUUCUUUAAAAAAACAUAAUUAUUAUACAUUACAAAUGAGGACUAUUCAGCAGUCUUAUUAGAAACAUUUUCGUACUCUUCAAGAGUAUUCUAGUCCAGCUCAUUUGCGAAAUCAGAGGAUUCAAGGUAUGAGGUUCCUUCAACGUUUUCUGUGAGGUUCACCUCUUUAGCUUUUCCUUUUAUGGAUUCUUGAUAUAACUUGCACAAAUGUGGGGGAGUACGACAGGUACGGGACCAAUGUCCUUUACAUCCACAUCUGUAACAUACAGUCUCACUUUUCUUUGUGGUAUCCUCUUCGGUUUCUUUGCCUUUAUGAGGUUGUUCAGAUCUAACCUAUUUGCUAGAUCUAAUACUUUUAGGAUAGUAAGGCUUUCCACGUUUGUUGUUGAAACGCCGACCACGACCUCGGUUGGUAUGGUUUCUCCUUCCCGAAUAUUCUACCGCCGUAGCAUUCACUUCGGGAAAUGCCUUGGCUCCCGUAGGUCGGGAAUUAUGGUUUUUGAUUAGUAACUCAUCGUUCUUUUCAGCCAACAUGAGUGUUACCAUCAAUUCAGAAAAUUUGGUGUACCCACAUUUUCUGUAAAUUCGGGAUAAGACGUUGUGUUCUUUGUGGAAAGUAUUAUAUGUCUUGUCAAGCAUUUCUGCUUCGGUGACAGGGUUACCACAAUAUUUUAAUUGUGCAACUAUCCUCAAGAUAGUGGAAUUGUAAUCUCUAACCCUUGGGAGAUCCUGAACCCUCAGGGUCCUCAACGUCUCCAUAGUCGUGAGUUAGAUUCUCAUCUAAAUGCUUCUUCAGGAAGAUAAUCGCUUCGGCUAUAUGCUCGGGUGGCGAUUUGUUACCGACUUCUAUCGCUUCAGUUAUCUUUUUUAUUACAAGAUAAGGUUUCACAUUUGUGACCCAUCUGACAUAAUUUUCGCCGGUUACUUUCAGAGCCGGGAACUGGAGUUUCUCGAUGUUUGCCAUUUGUAUUUCUAAAACACAAAAUAAUAAUUUUAUUAGAACUUCAUAAUUUAAAAACCGUUUACAUUAAUCAUACAAGCAAUUACAAGGAGAAGCGAUGUAAAGAAAAUUAAACCGAUAUUCAUCUUAAAUUCACUCGGAGUAAAUUCUCCAACGAAUAAACCAUAAAUAGAAACACAAAUAAAAAUGGCACAUAAAAACAAAAGUGCGCGAAUCAUCUUUCUUGAAAUGAAAAAUCGGAGGAGAGCGAUUUGAAAUUUUUGAGAGAAGAUGAAAUGUUUUGGAUGAUGAAAUGGAGUGAAAAUGAGUUGUAUUUAUAGAUGAAAAUUACUGUUCAUGACCGUUGGAGAAAGGGGAAAUUUUUGAAAAAUUUUCUUUGUGACCGUUGGGGUUAAAUCGAGUGCACCAAAAAUUAGUCUGAAAAUAUCGUAUUAAACGGUCAAUCAAAUCUAUAAAAUUUCAUAAAAGUGAAAAAUUAUGACAAUGAAAUAUUUAUGUUAUAUGACAACAAAUCAUGCGACGGCUCAGCCGAUCAAUGCAGAAUAAUAAAUAAAUUAUACGGCGGCUCGGCCGACCAAUUAAUAAUAAACAGAAUAUAAGGCGGCUCGGCCGACCAAUAAAUAAUAAACAGGAUAUAAGGCGGCUCGGCCGACCAAUAAAUAAUAAACAGAAUAUAAGGCGGCUCACCCGACCAAUAAAUAAUAAACAGGAUAUAAGGCGGCUCGGCCGACCAAUAAAUAAAUUAAAUUACUAGCAAAUAAUAUAGGCAGUAUUCCGGCCAUUAUAACAUGAUAUAAAUAAUAGUAGAGGCGGUAUACCGACCAUUAUAACAGUGUAUAAAUGAUACAAAUAAAUUUUACCGAAUCGCAGAGUGAUCGUGCUGAUAACGUGUUAUGAAAUAACUUAUAAUUUAUAGUAUCGAAAAAUUUAAAUAAGGGCGAAAUAUUUUCCCCGCAGAAAGAAGAUAUAUGAUAAAUAUGCAAGAGAGAAUAUUUACUAUGAAGAGGGAGAAUAGAGAUGAGAUGUAAUGAUUCUUUGUUUAUAAACUCUUCUUCUUGUCUUUGGUGUACAAAAGAGUGAGAUGAGUGAUGGUAUUUAUAGUGAGCAACAAUACAUAAAAUAACAAAGAUGGUGCUUGAUUUGGUAAAUGAGUGGGUGAUCAUAGUGCUUGGUGAGUAGAUGAUCAUAGUGCUUGGUGAGUAGAUGAUCAUAGUGCUUGAGUUGGUAAAAGAGUGGAGGAUCAUUUCAAAGUUUAUCUUAUAACAAAUUUGUAUAUAAUGUCUAUACAAAACACAACUUGCAUGCAUGACCUUUUUUUUUUGCCAGUGGCUUUUAUGUACAUGAACGCAACUUUUUUUUUUGAAAAUUACAUCAACGCAACUUGCAUGCAUGUGUAAGAGCAUCUGCAUCAAUGAACUUUGAGUGGGGUUCAUAAUUUUAAUUUUUUAUUAUUAUUUUUUUACUUUUCCGUUUGAUUUUAAAAAAAAAAAAUUAAGCAGACCAAUCGCGGACCACCACGUAGCGUGGGGCCCGCAAUACAGUGAUGAACCAGGUUCAUCCCACUAAACCUGUAGGAGCUGAGCUCACGAAAAAGAAAAUAUUUUAAUAUAUUUUUUUUUGGAAAAAGUGUGAACUUCAUUGAAGGUCGAAUGCAGAUGGUCUGAUGUCCUAUUUGCAACAGAACACGAGUGUGUUCAAGUAAUGAAUAUUAUUGGUUUAUUUGGUCAUACACUUGUACGUUUUCUUGUCAAGAAUCGCAUUUGCAAAUCAAUUAUUCGGUGAAGAGUCGUUUUCACGUGUAUUUAUAUGAAAGAAAUAUGUAUAUAUUUAGAUUAGUCCAAUAUGUUAUUGAAUAUUCGUCGCAACAAAUAAAAUAAACACGUUCGUUUAACUUGCGUAAUAAAAUACAUAUAUGAGCGGCUCGACCCUAAUAUGGAUAAGUUAUCAAUUUUUAUGGACAAGAAUUGAUUGUAUCAUGGCCCUGUUCGUUACUGAAUAGGUGCGGCAGCGACCAGAAAAUUAACACUAAUGAAGAGCGAAGUAGCUAUGGUGGAACAGAAAUAGUCGCUGGAAGUGAUCUCCGGAUAACUCCGUGACGUCUUUUAUGGACGCCAAUUUUUUCAGCGACGUCUCUUGUUUGUAAUAGAUCUGUCGCUGCGACACUAAAUAGCUCCGUCACCCACGUUUCGCUCCAUUAAUUAAUAGAAUCACUGUUAUAUUUUCUGUCGCUGCGGCAGCGGUUCUGAAACGAACAGGGCCCAUCUAUAUUUUUUUCUGGCAUAUAAUGUCGACUCCUAGAAAUUCGAACAACUUAUCCAUUUGAUGUUGUGUCCAAAUGAACUAGGAGUAACCGCUAUUUCUAUAGUAAAAACUAAUUUUCUAGACAUUUAUAGAAAUAUACUUACGAUGAAUUCAUUGAUAAAGACAGAAACUCAGUGCUCAAAGGCCAAAUGUCUCUUGCAAUAAAAGAAAAAGAGACAAAGUGUCUCUUCUAACAAACAGAAAAAAACAAGAGAUACUACAUACCCACGAGAUCGAAUCAGAUUCUUAGCAUACCCAACAAUCAAUAUAUGGUGUGACAAUAGUAUAAUUUUAUAGUUUUGAUACUGCAGAGAAUGGUUCUUUUCUUCACCUUGCAAACUUCUAAAUUCGUUCGGUUGAUCAAGCUUAUGUUUCAUUACAAUCUCUCAUUCUUCGCACAAGCAUCCUAUAAAACAACGUACAUACACUAGCUAUAGCCCGUAGCUUUUACAACGAACUCUUGAAUUUACCAUACAUAUUAACCGGAUUGUUUUAAGAUACCGAGACGAUGGCGUUGAACUGGGGACCAGUGUUAAUGUCGGUGAUUCUGUUCAUCAUAUUGACGCCCGGAGUACUGUUCCAGCUUCCUGGGAAGACCAAAGCGGUUGAGUUUGGCGGAUUUCAGACAAGCGGCGCAGCUAUAGUCAUCCACACUCUUAUCUUCUUUGCAUGCAUCACAGUCUCCCUUAUCGCUCUUCAUAUCCACAUAUACGCUUCCUAAUCAAUUUAACAUUGCCGUGUCCCUCAAUGCUAGCUGCAUCCUUAAUUUUAUAUCCGAAUCAUCAGCUUUGAUUUCUAAUUCCCUUUAAGUGUUCUCUUCCUUGUUGUUUUAUUAGUACCUUUUUUUGAACUACUAUUAGUAUUAGUACCUUCUACAAUCAUAUGAUUUCAUUUUCUUAUAUAUGAAUCAUCAUGCAUGGACGAGAACUGACAAUUCUUUUCAUAAAUUAGAAUCUAAAUAUAUCUAUGACUACGGAUAUUCCAUUCUUCAAGGCUAAUUAACAAAGUAUUAUAAUAUUAAGAUAUAUAGUAUUGACAAACUACUUGAUGAAAAUUGUUAUUAUGAAAUGUUGAAAACAACAUAUGAAUAUAUGAUAUAUAUCUUCAUGGAGAAGCAAUAUAUAAGUGAAUUGAUAAGUACCUCUCGCCACAAACUUGCGCUCAAUCGGAACAAGUUAUCGUCACGUCAAACAUAGUAGAUCAUUAUCAAUUUGUUUUGUUAUUUUUGAACUCAACAUCACAUCACCAUUUCAUCACUUAGUAAAGGUUUAUAUAUUUUGAUUGAUUUAGAAAUUUAUGUAGUAUUUAUAAAUUCAAGUAAAAUAUACAAAUCCGGAAGUUUUCCUCGGAUUUGAGUCUUUGUAUUUUUAACAAAAAAAUUCAAACAAAUCUAUUCAAAUCCAUUAUAAAAUCAAAUUUAUCAGUAAAUCCUUACGAUCGAAUAACAUUUAAUUUGAUAUAAAAUUUAUGAAUCAUUAAACCAAUAACAUAUUAUUUUAAUAGAGAUUUGAAAAUCAUAAAACUAAUAACACUAGAUUUAGUUUGGAUUUUCGAAUCCAUUAAAAUACAACCAUUGGCCCACUAAAGCUUUUAACGAAAAAAGAAAAGAAAAUCGGCUGGUGAUUUGGGCUUUUAAUAAUCUUAAAGGGUCCAUAUAUUUGCAAAAUGACGGCCCAUAGAAAGAGGCGAAUCACGAAUUCACGAUCAAGGAACGAUUUCACCAUAAACCCUCCUCUUAAAAUCCCUAGCGUCCCCACUGGCCUGCGAUCUUCGAAUCUGAUUCUUGGGAAUCGAAAUACUAUAAUGGGUUUGACGAAUUUCAUACUGACGGUGGCCGGAGUAGGCGCCGUUGUGAUGCUACUGAAGGGCGACGUCAAGCAAUCUGCCACCGUCUUGAGGCGCAACGUCAAGCACAUCCGCAACUGGCUCGAAGAGGAAUCUUCCGCCGCCUCCAAGUUAGCCAUCUUUCUCUCGAUCACGAUUCUUUUUUUUUUUUUAAUUUUACUUUCACGAAGUUGUUUGUUUAGGGAUUAUGAUUUUGUAAUUUUUUCUCAGCGAGCUUAGUGCGCUGAUAGAUUUCAGAGCAAUCUUUGAUUGAAUUCGUAUCCAAGUAUUGUAAAAAGAUAAUUAGAACGAAACCGUAGUUUCUUUGGGUGACCAGUUUCUAAGAUUUGGUAACUUGAUAAAUUAAGAAAAAUUGAUUAGUGUAGUAAUGACUUGAUGGUGACAGUGGUUUAAGUGUGCAAAAGAGGAGUGUGGUUCAGUGCUGGUUAUUAGAUAGCAACACAAAAGCAAAGUGAGUGAGUGUGUGAGUGGCUGAUGAGUUUGAUUGUGGGUUUUUUUUUUUCAGGGCAGCUCAGUCAGCAAAACCAAAGGAAAUUGAAACCAAGGUUCCGGAGAAGGAUGUUCCAAAAGACAAGAAUUAGUGUGUGUGUUGUGCUUUUCUGUAUACAUACACGAAGGUUUUUUCUGUUUUGGUAAGAGUUGUGGAUGUAUGACUCCGGUUUCAACACUACUUAGCUGUGAAUUUUUGUUUUGGUUGUCUGUCUCCAUCUCUCACGUCUUAGCGUUUGAGCAAUGUUGGAAGUGAAUGAAACACAAUAAUAUCCAAUUAUACCUCUUGUAACUGACAUUUUUCCAAGGGAUUUUUUUCUUGAUAUGUAUCUGAAAUUUGAUUGAACAUGUACUUAUUUUGCAGCGGCAAUUGCAUAUUCUCUUAUAAAAUAAAGCUUACAAAAGCCUGGCAUGAUAGUGGGCUUUUUGUUGUGAAGGCCCAACAAUGCAGACUCUUAAAAGAAAAUAAAUUUGCCUGAAAAGCCCAAGGCUCUAUUUCCUCCAUCGCGUAGGAGGGUAAAAAAGUAACGAACACUCACCGGGACUGAGAAUUUCCGCCAAAUAUUUUCCGAUCAUACCGGAGCUAUUAUAUAGUGGACCAUGUUACUUUCGACGGUUUCGAGCUUCGCGCCGGUCUUCCGUAUCGGCGAACCACCAGCGUGCGCAGUUGGCUGGAAGCAAGCGUACGCCAAUUACUCCUGAACUCCAUAAAUCUUCUUCACCGCAUACUUUGAUUUCUCUCACUGUUGGUUGGGUUUUUGUUAGGUUGAGAUUUCGGAGGACGACGAAACGUAGUGUAAUCUCUUGCGAUUAUUCAUGCCUCGAGGUGGGUGAAUGUCUUUUUCCACUAUGAUUCUUCUUUCUGUUUUCAGUGAAUGUAGUUGAUUCAGCUUAAUAUUUUUUAUUUUCCUCUCUAAAUCGUUUGGGUUUGUUAUGAAUUGCGUUUUGAAGGUUAGGGAUAUAUGCUACCGUCCACCUGGAACAGAGUUGAAUAUUUUGAAUGGUGUUAAUCUUUCUCUCCGUGAGAAGAGGUUCUCUUUGCUUUUAUCUCAUUAUUGCUUGUCUCUCUUUUGAGCUAUUUAGCUUCUUUCUCUGCGUGUAUAAGCAUGCCUAACAAAUAGUUUUGCGUUUCUAUUCUUUCUCCAGCUUUGGCUUGAUUUUUGGCAAGAGCGGGAGUGGAAAAACUACCCUUCUGCAGGUUCAUUGUUUCACGAUCAUACACAGUUUUUAAUCUUACAAAUUUUGGAUUUUUUUACCUUCUUGUCUUCUGCAGCUUCUUGCGGGGCUGAACAAACCAACAUCAGGUUCCAUUUGUAUCCAAAGAUAUGGGGAUGAUGGCCAACCAAAUGCGGAUUCUGAGCUGUUUCCCACUGAAAAAGUUGGCAUCGUUUUCCAGUUUCCAGAGAGGUACUAGUAGUCAUUAUUACCCUUUUGUUUGAUCUUAUCAGUGACAAGAAGAUAUUGAUGUGUAGUUUUUUUUUGUUUUGUGUGCGGCAGAUUCUUUGUGGCAGAUAAUGUGCUUGACGAAAUUACUUUUGGUUGGCCAAGGCAAAAGGGUAGUUUGCAGUUAAAGGAGCGUCUGACUUCAAACCUCCAGCGAGCUUUUAAUUGGGUAUCCCACUCCUCCUGGUUCGGUCAAUGGUCAUAUUGUGUCCAGUGAUACUCUCUUAUAGUUGCUUUCUUAUUGAAUUGUUAGGUUGGGUUAGACAGCAUCCCACUUGAUAAAGACCCCCAGUUACUAAGUGGAGGCUACAAGCGUCGGCUUGCACUAGCUAUUCAAUUGGUGCGACCAAAGGUUUUUUUAACGUAUGCAAAAUUGACCUGUUCUAAGUGGUCAUGCUUUUUGUAGGUGCAAACUCCUGAUUUAUUGAUUUUGGAUGAGCCCCUCGCCGGUCUUGGUAUGACGGAUCCUGCUUCUUCUCUCUCUUGUGUGUUUUUGCUUGUCGUUCUUUACAGAAUAUGUUUCUUCUUUUCUCUUUGGUGUUCUCGCUGCAUAUGAUCUUCAUUUUUCUUUUCAUUUGCAUGAAAACCAUGAACGGUUUCUCAUACUAUGUCAUUUUUGAUUUUUCUCUGCAAUCAGAUUGGAAAGCACGCGCGGAUGUUGCAAAGCUCUUGAAGCACCUGAAGAAGGAACUGACUUUACUUGUUGUAAGUCAUGACCUAAGGUAUGCUCAGUUUUUUCUUUCUCUUCGCUUCGGUGUUAAUGAUUUUGCACACUUUCUUUUAUAUUUUUUCUCAUAAACAUAGCGCCUUCUCUACACAUGUACCCCGCAACUGGCUCGAAGAGGAAUCUUCCGCCGCCUCCAAGUUAGCCAUCUUUCUCUCGAUCACGAUUCUUUUUUUUUUUUUUAAUUUUACUUUCACGAAGUUGUUUGUUUAGGGAUUAUGAUUUUGUAAUUUUUUCUCAGCGAGCUUAGUGCGCUGAUAGAUUUCAGAGCAAUCUUUGAUUGAAUUCGUAUCCAAGUAUUGUAAAAAGAUAAUUAGAACGAAACCGUAGUUUCUUUGGGUGACCAGUUUCUAAGAUUUGGUAACUUGAUAAAUUAAGAAAAAUUGAUUAGUGUAGUAAUGACUUGAUGGUGACAGUGGUUUAAGUGUGCAAAAGAGGAGUGUGGUUCAGUGCUGGUUAUUAGAUAGCAACACAAAAGCAAAGUGAGUGAGUGUGUGAGUGGCUGAUGAGUUUGAUUGUGGGUUUUUUUUUUUCAGGGCAGCUCAGUCAGCAAAACCAAAGGAAAUUGAAACCAAGGUUCCGGAGAAGGAUGUUCCAAAAGACAAGAAUUAGUGUGUGUGUUGUGCUUUUCUGUAUACAUACACGAAGGUUUUUUCUGUUUUGGUAAGAGUUGUGGAUGUAUGACUCCGGUUUCAACACUACUUAGCUGUGAAUUUUUGUUUUGGUUGUCUGUCUCCAUCUCUCACGUCUUAGCGUUUGAGCAAUGUUGGAAGUGAAUGAAACACAAUAAUAUCCAAUUAUACCUCUUGUAACUGACAUUUUUCCAAGGGAUUUUUUUCUUGAUAUGUAUCUGAAAUUUGAUUGAACAUGUACUUAUUUUGCAGCGGCAAUUGCAUAUUCUCUUAUAAAAUAAAGCUUACAAAAGCCUGGCAUGAUAGUGGGCUUUUUGUUGUGAAGGCCCAACAAUGCAGACUCUUAAAAGAAAAUAAAUUUGCCUGAAAAGCCCAAGGCUCUAUUUCCUCCAUCGCGUAGGAGGGUAAAAAAGUAACGAACACUCACCGGGACUGAGAAUUUCCGCCAAAUAUUUUCCGAUCAUACCGGAGCUAUUAUAUAGUGGACCAUGUUACUUUCGACGGUUUCGAGCUUCGCGCCGGUCUUCCGUAUCGGCGAACCACCAGCGUGCGCAGUUGGCUGGAAGCAAGCGUACGCCAAUUACUCCUGAACUCCAUAAAUCUUCUUCACCGCAUACUUUGAUUUCUCUCACUGUUGGUUGGGUUUUUGUUAGGUUGAGAUUUCGGAGGACGACGAAACGUAGUGUAAUCUCUUGCGAUUAUUCAUGCCUCGAGGUGGGUGAAUGUCUUUUUCCACUAUGAUUCUUCUUUCUGUUUUCAGUGAAUGUAGUUGAUUCAGCUUAAUAUUUUUUAUUUUCCUCUCUAAAUCGUUUGGGUUUGUUAUGAAUUGCGUUUUGAAGGUUAGGGAUAUAUGCUACCGUCCACCUGGAACAGAGUUGAAUAUUUUGAAUGGUGUUAAUCUUUCUCUCCGUGAGAAGAGGUUCUCUUUGCUUUUAUCUCAUUAUUGCUUGUCUCUCUUUUGAGCUAUUUAGCUUCUUUCUCUGCGUGUAUAAGCAUGCCUAACAAAUAGUUUUGCGUUUCUAUUCUUUCUCCAGCUUUGGCUUGAUUUUUGGCAAGAGCGGGAGUGGAAAAACUACCCUUCUGCAGGUUCAUUGUUUCACGAUCAUACACAGUUUUUAAUCUUACAAAUUUUGGAUUUUUUUACCUUCUUGUCUUCUGCAGCUUCUUGCGGGGCUGAACAAACCAACAUCAGGUUCCAUUUGUAUCCAAAGAUAUGGGGAUGAUGGCCAACCAAAUGCGGAUUCUGAGCUGUUUGUAGAUCACAUGUGCUUAAAGCCUCUAGCGACGCAUUGUGGUCACAAUUUGUAUGUUUCUAAACCUUGGUUAAUGAAAAAGUUGUCGUUGAGUUAAAAAAAAAAUUGCAUAUUCUCUUCUGAAAUAAAGCUUAACAAAAGCUAUUAGCUCGCUAGAGUUUUCCUCCCUCGUCGUGAUGAAAACCGUCUUUUAAGAAAAAAGCCUGGCAUGAUAAAUGGGCUUUCUGUUGUGAAGGCCCAACAAUGCAGACUCUUUAAAGAAAAUAAAUUUGCCUGAAAAGCCCAAGGCUCUAUUCCUCCAUCGCAUGCGAGGGUAAAAAGGUAACAAACACUCACCGGGACUGAGAAUUUUCCGCCAAUAAUUUUCCGAUCAUACCGGAGCUUUUAUACAGUCGACCAUGUUACUUUCGACGGUUUCGAGCUCCGCGCCUGUCUUCCGCAUCGGUGAACCACCGGUGGCCGCAAUUGGUUGGAAGCAAGCGUACGCCAAUUCCUCCUGACCUCCAUUCAUCAUCUUCAUCGCUUUAUCGCCACUUCUUUAAUUUCUCUCACUGUGUUUUUGGUUCGGUGACAGGUUGAGAUUUCGGAGGAGGACGAAACGUAGUGUAAUCUCUUGCGAUUAUUCAUGCCUCGAGGUGAGUGGGUGAAUGUCUUUCCACUAUGAUUUUUCUUUCUGUUUUCAGUGAAUGUAGUUGAUUCAGCUUAAUGUUUUUUCAUUUCCUUUCCUAAAUCGUUUGGUUUGUGUUCAUUUGCAUUUUGAAGGUUAGGGAUAUAUGCUACCGUCCACCUGGAACAGAGUUGAAUAUUUUGAAUGGUGUUAAUCUUUCUCUCCGUGAGAAGAGGUUCUCUUUGCUUUUAUCUCAUUAUUGCUUGUCUCUCUUUUGAGCUAUUUAGCUUCUUUCUCUGCGUGUAUAAGCAUGCCUAACAAAUAGUUUUGCGUUUCUAUUCUUUCUCCAGCUUUGGCUUGAUUUUUGGCAAGAGCGGGAGUGGAAAAACUACCCUUCUGCAGGUUCAUUGUUUCACGAUCAUACACAGUUUUUAAUCUUACAAAUUUUGGAUUUUUUUACCUUCUUGUCUUCUGCAGCUUCUUGCGGGGCUGAACAAACCAACAUCAGGUUCCAUUUGUAUCCAAAGAUAUGGGGAUGAUGGCCAACCAAAUGCGGAUUCUGAGCUGUUUCCCACUGAAAAAGUUGGCAUCGUUUUCCAGUUUCCAGAGAGGUACUAGUAGUCAUUAUUACCCUUUUGUUUGAUCUUAUCAGUGACAAGAAGAUAUUGAUGUGUAGUUUUUUUUUGUUUUGUGUGCGGCAGAUUCUUUGUGGCAGAUAAUGUGCUUGACGAAAUUACUUUUGGUUGGCCAAGGCAAAAGGGUAGUUUGCAGUUAAAGGAGCGUCUGACUUCAAACCUCCAGCGAGCUUUUAAUUGGGUAUCCCACUCCUCCUGGUUCGGUCAAUGGUCAUAUUGUGUCCAGUGAUACUCUCUUAUAGUUGCUUUCUUAUUGAAUUGUUAGGUUGGGUUAGACAGCAUCCCACUUGAUAAAGACCCCCAGUUACUAAGUGGAGGCUACAAGCGUCGGCUUGCACUAGCUAUUCAAUUGGUGCGACCAAAGGUUUUUUUAACGUAUGCAAAAUUGACCUGUUCUAAGUGGUCAUGCUUUUUGUAGGUGCAAACUCCUGAUUUAUUGAUUUUGGAUGAGCCCCUCGCCGGUCUUGGUAUGACGGAUCCUGCUUCUUCUCUCUCUUGUGUGUUUUUGCUUGUCGUUCUUUACAGAAUAUGUUUCUUCUUUUCUCUUUGGUGUUCUCGCUGCAUAUGAUCUUCAUUUUUCUUUUCAUUUGCAUGAAAACCAUGAACGGUUUCUCAUACUAUGUCAUUUUUGAUUUUUCUCUGCAAUCAGAUUGGAAAGCACGCGCGGAUGUUGCAAAGCUCUUGAAGCACCUGAAGAAGGAACUGACUUUACUUGUUGUAAGUCAUGACCUAAGGUAUGCUCAGUUUUUUCUUUCUCUUCGCUUCGGUGUUAAUGAUUUUGCACACUUUCUUUUAUAUUUUUUCUCAUAAACAUAGCGCCUUCUCUACACAUGUACCUUGUUUGAGCUAUUGUUAUACAGUCGUCUCCCAUAUUUUCUUCUCUUUCAAGUAUUAGUUAUGGACCUUUUUAAGUAAAACAGUUUGAGCUCUUGUUAAUGGGAUUAAUCCAAUUUUUCUCCCUUAAACAAUUGCUGCUACUGCUUUUCACCUCUCGUGCUUUUUGUAUAAAAUAUUUCUGCAGAGAGUUAGCAACCUUGGUCGACCAGUCAUGGAGAAUGGAAUCAGCUGGUGUUCUUGUUGCAGAGCGUCCACCAGUUUAGUUCGAUAUUCAUUAUUGCCGAAGGUCCAUACCAGGUUCGGCUCGGAUACUUUUGGUUAUUCUGGUAUUCUUGCAGAAAAGUGAUAUAGGAUUUUACCCACGCAUACAUUUAUUAUUGUAUGGAGUUUAGAGAGCCGCUCGUUCUUUUGUAUAGGAGAUAAUGACAUGUUACGGUUUAUCAGUUGAGAGAGAUACAAUGUUUCUCUUAUGAGAUCAAAACGUAUAACUGGAUUUGAGUCAAUGCGGACAACAAUGUUUUCUCUUCAUUUUAGUUUGCCAAACCAUGGAUAUGAGAUAUCUUGCUGCAAUUAUAAAACCCGGUGAAUAUUUAUUAUUACAUAGAAGGGCAUAACGAACAUUCCCGCUAAGUUUUGAACACAUUUUACAUAAUCACACCACACGAUUCACACAUGCAUGAACUGACAUAACACACUCGCACUUUUUAAUUUGCGUUUCUUCUCAUCCCUUACAGCUCCAACACGAAGUCUGCAAAGCAAUGUUGGAUUAUUAUCUGGUUCGACCACAAGCAGAAAACUAGUGCAUGCCUAAAUGGCAUUGUAUAAAUUUUUUUUGUAUAAGUAAAGAUCCAGAAUCACAUUCUUGCUUUGAAAUAAAUGGGCUUAUGAAUAUAUCAGUAGUAUGAAGGUGCACUUACAGUCUUCGUCUGUUUUGAUCCAGUGUUCUCCUUUUCCAGAUGAAUGUGAAUUUCUUAGCUCAUAUUGGAUCCAUCUUUUACUUGUCUUGUGACAUGGUCUCACCUUCUCGGACAUUAGUCCAGUAGAAUUUGCUUUGCUGUUUUUUGGUUCUGUCAUGCUGCUGUAUAUUUUGCUUUCCAUUAUGGAGUCUUCUGGAUAUACUUUCCUAUGGAAAACUUGUGCUAUCUGCACUUACAAUAAAUUCAAGUUUGUUAGAAGCAAGCUUUUCACUAGAGCUAAUUCUGCAACAGUAUUAUAGAAGUGCUCUAGAAAAUGCUUUCAACAUGUUGUAUAUUUCAAGAUGUUGCAUGUAUAGGCAGGCGUUUUAGAGAGCAGAGAAAAAAAAAAUCAUACCUUUUGGAACUUCUUCUUGGUGGAAGCUACUUCAGUUUUACCACUGUCAGGGCUCCUGGAGGAUAGGUGAAGCUUUUUAAGUACCUUCUUCACAAAAUGCUUUGCAGACUUGUGAGUUGAACUGGCUUUCUUCUUUUCCUCCUCAUACUUGUUUUCUGAAUGCUUAUCUUGCACCUCUGUUGCCUGAAACAGUUCUCCAAGUGAUGCCCGUUCCUUCUUCCCUGCAACCUUUGUUUCUGAUGAUUCGAUUUGAGAGCCAAAAAGAUACUCUUGGAGCGGGAACUUCAUUGGCUGAUCAUCUUCUUCGGCAUCUACUCCCUCAGCGGCCUCAAUGGUAGAUGCAAUAGUAUUAGUGUCGCUGUUCCUUCCUGAUGGUUGGUUGUGCCCUUCUUUAGCUUCAGCCUCAAGGAACUUCUCCAAUUCAUUGCUAAUGAGCUUCAGAUCAUUCUCUGUCACUUCUGCAUUAUCUGUUGCUGGUUCCCCAGAUGACAUGCCAAAUGUUGGUGUUGCUGGUUCAUCCAGAAAUGUUUCUCCACCGAGGGUUCCAAUGGCAAGAAAGCCAUGAAAAAAAUCACUGUUUCUCGCUUCACUGAGUCCUGCGAAGGAGCUUUCCUGUAACAGAUUAAAUUGUUUGCUGUAUCUGGGGCCAGCACUUGCUCCAGCGUAAACAUCUUGGCUUUCAAGGGACGGAUGAGCUGAGAGGGGGAAAAGACUGUUACCUGAAAAGGAUUCACAUUUGAAGAGAAGAGUUGUUAAUUUUCUUUCAAAAAAGUGAUGACAGCUACUGAGGGAAAAAGAUAAUGCAUUUGCGCAAAUAAUAGUGAAAGAUGUCGAUUUGUUGCAGUAGACGAGAGAUCUGGUUUAGCUGCUCUCACUCACAAAAUCAAUGGCCAAGAAAAAGUUGGUGUCAUGCAAAUUGACGCCCAUCACAAUGAUUUUACACACGAGCACAUGACCCUACUCUUCUAUCAGGUCAGUUGUUUAAUUUUGUACUAAUGGAUGUUAAAGUAGUGAGACAAUUAAUGACUAGGCCCUAAAAAUGCUUGCUAAGUCCUAUUGCUAUUCUCCUAGAAUUCAACACGCUUCCUAUUCUUGUUCCCACACAUUUUGACAGGAAAAUAAGCAUUUAGAGAAGUACGGUUAAAUUACCAGUUGUAGCAUCUUUCAAUAGCUCUUUGCUGUUCUCCCGUGACUUAUGAUGUAUCCAGCCCCAAAACUGUUAGAAAAAGUAAGCAUGGGUAAGUGUUGGCCACAAGUUAGUUGAUAUUUUUUGUAGAUAUGGAACGUACCUUCAUUUUCGUUCUGACACACGAUACUAGAGGAGAAAGUGACUUUUAUAGAGAACCAUGAUUGCUUGAAAGCCCAUGAUAAAGCAGUGAGUUAGUUGCUAUUGCUAACAGUACCUCAAGACUUUUAGGUUGAUGACAGUGGAGACCAACACCAAGAAAGCUACAAAAUUUUGGUUGGCCGUUCUCUUUCAAGAUCACAUCAAGAACAAGUUGGAGGCCCCUUACAGACAUGAGGCUACUGUUGUGGUUACAUGACACGGAAUUGGAGUAGCUAUCCGUAAUUACAAUCAUCUAUCAUCUCAGGUAUUACAAUUUGAUCUUGAAUUGAGUUUCUAUACAUAAACGUUGUGGAUUUUUGUGGCGUUCAUGAGCCAUCGAUAUUAUAUUAACGAGUCGUUUUGUUAAUAAGAUAUACAUAAAUAUUGGAUGCAAAAUGAAUAUUUCUAUUGCUUUGUGUUUUGUAGAAAUUCUUUGCUGCAAAUUUCGAUAAAAAUUAUCAAACCAUCUCAUGUAUACGCUAGAAGGGAAUAUGCAUUAUGUUUGCAAUUUAGAUACAUAGCCAACGUGACUGGAUGGUAUAAACUCUUCUGUGUUAGUCAUAGAAGAACAGUAAACUUUGUUGUACACUGUGCUGCUUUCCAGAGAGAUUUAUUUAGUUUUUUAUUUGAAAGAAGAAUCAAUGCUGGCUCCUUUUAAGAGUGAUUGAAACUGCAUUAUGUUCAAAUAGUUUCCAAUGGAAAAAAGUACUGUUUCGUUCUGCUUUUGUAGAUUUGGCCGUCUCUGACAAGAAGAAAAGGCAUAUAUAUAUGACUACUGUUGUGCAGAAAAGUAAAGAAAGAGUGCUUUUUCCAGGAAGCCUAUGGAAGCUCUGUGACAGAACAACAACGACUGCUUUUCGUACUAGUUGAUUUAGACAAGUGAAGCCGUCCACGACAUCAGGUACUGUAUUUCUGCAGCAAUGUUUAGUUUGCGUUGUAAUAUUACUAUUGGUAAUGUAAUGGGAUUUGUCGCCUUUAUUAAAUAUAUCCUAUACCUGGUUCCUUAGCCGUAGAAGCACAUUGUUUUGGUAGAUGCAAGUAGGAACUUGGUAGAAACUGAACCGUAAACACUUAGGCGUCUGUGUGAAACACCAUAGACAGUCAAUGCAGAUUAGAUUAGAAUUGAUUUGAUUAGAUUAGCGGGAACAAAGACAAGGAUGAGGGAACAAAAUAAAAAUGAGAAAGCAAAAGGGUGGUUAAGUAGGAUUAAAAGAGGAAAGAAGCAUCUGGGGGUUGAAAGAUAGGAACAAACAGAAGUAGUUAGUUAUGAGGUAUGGGACCAAUGUUCCAGAAUUAAACAAACUUACAAAUGCUAAGUUUUGCAAUCUCGAGUCACUUCCACUGCUCCCACUCCAUUAUAUAUAUCUCUUUGAGAAUGUGAUGGACUUGUGUCAAAAUUCACGUGGACACUUGAUAAGCCGAUUCUCUUCUUUGUCAGUUUCCCCAAUCAUAUCUUCUUUUGGUAUAAUAUCCAACAGUUUCACUUUCCUUUGUUCCCAUGUUGUUGAUGAUAUACAUAAUAGAAAGAUCAACAAUAAAAAAAAUAAUCGCCUUUUCUAUUAUUUUUCUCUACUGUCUUCAUCUGUAGUGGGUCAUGACUCAUGAGCCCCCCUCCUACACCAAUCUGUGAAGUUAUCAAAAAAGAUUUGAUUCUGAUAGUGACUGCUAGGGAGAGUUUGCCAUUCCUACCGAGUAAAUAAGUAAAACUUCUCCCUAGGUGUUCAAUCCGGAUAUCGGUUCGGUUUAGGUUCGGUUUUUUUCGGUUUUCGGUAUUUCGGUUAGUAAAAUAUAACUAUCAUUCUAAAUUCAUAUUUACUUUGGUUCGGUUCGGUUUAUAUACCGUCGGUUUUCGGUUUAUUCGGUUUUAUACCAAAAAAUAUAAUUAUUUAGUUUGAGAUCAUAUAAAAUAAAUUUUAGAGUCAUAUUAUCAACACAGUCAUUUAUAAAAAAUAUAUUACAUGUUCAAAUAAAUGAACAAAAACGUAAAAAUGCUUCUACCAUCAAAUAAAAUCAUCAAAUCUAUAAUUAAAAUCAGAACCUGAAAUUUUGAAAAUAAAAAUAUGAAACAAAACAGAAACAUGAAAGAAAAGUUUUUCCACUCUUCCAUAUUUAGUGUUCAUUAAGGUCAUGCUUUUUCGAUUGAACAUGAAACUCUGUUUGUUUAUAGAUAAGAAAAAAGUUGUGAAAAUUUUCCAUUAAUUAUUUUCCAUCAAAUUUAUCAUCUUCAUAUUAAUUUAGUGAAUACUAAAAUAAAGCAAAAAGAUAAAAAAAGACUUAGAAAAUAAGAUGUCUGAAUUGCGAUGUAUUGUUAUUUAAUUAUAGUUCAAGUGUUUUACAAAUUAUAUAAGGUUCUUUAUUACUAUAACAUUACGGUAAUAGUUAUUAACACAAAUUUAACUUAUAUAACAAAUAGAUUUUCAUGUAUUGUUAUAAAAUAGAUACAUAUUUACAUGUUUCUACUUUUAAUCGGUUUUAUUCGGUUUAUUCGGUUUAAUCGGUUAUAUACCAAACCAUAUCCAAAUCCUACAAUUUUUAUAAAAUUAUAUCUAUUCGGUUUAUAUGAUAUCUACCAAAACCAAACUAUAUUGUCUAUUUCGGUUCGGUUCGGUUCGUUAUGGUUCGGUUUUACCAUAUUGAACAGCCAUACUUCUCCCUGUAAUUUACACUUACCGAUUUUAAUCUUAUAUGGGCCAAACAUGGGCCACUAUGAGUUAGAGUUCUAACUAAUGGGCUGGCUCACUAAGUAAUAUGACUAAUAUCUCCUCCUUCUCCUCUCCAAUUUGACAGCGACCGGAAAUGGUGACGUCAUCUGUCAUGAGACCUGCGGCGGAGCUCGCGGUCAGGAUCGGCCGUGAGCUCCUCAAAGUCUCCGCAACCUCUCGCUCACCUCGGACAUGGAGUCCAUCGAUGGAACAAACUCUUCACAGUCUCGGCUUUCGUCACUCAAUAAGCCCUUCGCUCGUCUCUCGAGUCAUCGACCCGUUCCUCCUCAACCACCACUCCUUAGCACUCGGGUUCUUCAACUGGGCCGCCCAGCAGCCCGGUUACUCCCACGACUCCAUCUCUUACCACUCCAUCUUCAAAACCCUCUCGCUCUCUCGACAGUUCUCCGCCAUGGACGCCCUCUUCAAACAGGUCAAAACUCAGAGAAUCCUCCUCGAUCCCUCCGUGUAUCGCUCCCUCAUCGACGCGCUUCUGUUGGGUAAGAAAGCUCAGAGCGCGUUUUGGGUUUUGGAAGAAGCUCUUUCGACGGGUCGGGAGGUUCAUCACGAUGUGUGCAACCGUCUCUUGGCUGCGUUAACGUCUGAUGGAUAUUCUGAUUAUGCUCAGAAACUGUUCGUUAAAAUGCGUGAGAGAGGUGUUUCUCUCAAUACACUUGUCUUUGGUGUUUAUAUAGGAAGCUUCUGUAAGAGUUUCGAUACGGAUCAGCAAUUGAGACUUGUGGGUGAGGUUAAAAAGAGUAACUUUAACAUCAAUGGGUCCAUUAUUGCGCUCUUGAUUCUUCAUGGUCUUUGUAAAUGUUCGAGAGAGAUGGAUGCUUUUUACAUUUUGGAAGACCUAAGAAACAUUGAUUGCAAACCGGAUUUUAUGGCGUAUAGAAUCAUAGCUGAAGCGUUUGUAGCGACUGGGAAUCUGUACGAGAGACAGGUUGUUUUAAAGAAGAAGAGAAAGCUUGGAGUAGCACCUAGGAGCAGUGAUUACAGAGAUUUUAUCUUGGAUUUGAUCUCUGCUAAACGUUUGGUUGAGGCUAAGGAAGUGGGUGAGGUGAUUGUGAGUGGAAACUUCCCCAUUGAUAGUGAUGUCCUAGACGCGUUGAUUGGAUCAGUCUCUGCGGUUGAUCCAGAUUCUGCUGUUGGAUUCUUGAAUUACAUGGUGGUAAACACAGGGAAACUGCCUGCGAUUCGGACUCUGAGCAAAUUGAGUAAGAAUCUUUGCAGGCACGAGAAGGGGGACCUUUUGGUAAAGGCUUAUGAGGUUUUGUCAAGCAGAGCUUAUUUUUCAGAGCCUGAGAGUUACAGUCUGAUGAUAUCGUUCUUGUGCAAGGCCGGGAGAGUCAGAGAAGGGUACAGUGCUCUGCACGAGAUGAAGAAGAAAGGACUUGAUCCAGACGUUUCACUCUAUAACGCUCUCAUCGAAGCUUGUUGCAAAGCGGAAAUGAUCCGGCCAGCAAAGAAGCUGUGGGAUGAGAUGUUCGUAGAGGGAUGCAGAAUGAAUCUGACGACUUAUAAUGUACUUAUCAAGAAAUUGUCGGAGGAAGGCGAGGUAGAUGAGUCUUUGAGGCUGUUUCGGAAGAUGCUUGAGAAAGGGAUAGAACCAGAUGAAACAAUUUAUACGUCUCUCAUCGAAGGCCUAUGCAAGGAUACAAAACUUGAGGAUGCUUUGGAAGUCUUCAGAAAGUGUAUGGAGAGGGAUCAAAUAGUUGCGAGAAGGGUAUUGAUCACGUUUGUUUUAAAUCUAUGCAGCAACGGUGAGAGAACAAGUAUAUGUGUCAUCUAUGUUACGUUUAGUUGCCUUGCAAGUCAAGUUUGUGAUUGAUUCGUUUGGUGUAUUAUGCGUGUAGGCCAUUUUGGUGAGGCGUCUCAGCUGCUGCGCGAGAGAGAACAUUUGGAACACACAAGUGCACAUGUAGUGUUGUUGAAAUGUGUGGCUGAUGCGAAAGAGGUUGAGGUUGGAAUCAAACAUAUGAAAUGGAUCAAAGAGGUGUCUCCAUCUCUUGUUCACACCAUUUGUUCGGACCUUUCGGCGUCUUUCUGUUCAUCAUCUGAUCCUGAUUCCAUUCUUCCGUUUAUUCGAGCACUUGAGCUCUCAUAGCUACACCGAUAGGCAAAUUUAUUAUGUGUAGACCAGAUCCUAUACCCUAGACUGUAAUGGAGUUGUCUGGGUAUACAUUACAAGUCUAUGUAAGAAUUAUUCAAAUGAAUAAUAUUUUCUUACGGUACAUGUGGUUUAGGUGGGUCUUUUUCAUGAUUAAAAGUGUUAUUGAUGUAAAGGUUGAAGGCUUGAAGUACCGAAGAGAAGCAAAUCUGUGAAGCUAUUGGAUCAGGUAUCAUCUCAUCUUUGACGCAACGGUCGGGUCAAAUCACAGCUUUUUUUUUUGGCGGGUGUCCGUACUAUGGAAUGUGGACCACUAAGGCAGUUAUUUACCUGAUUUAAACAAAAAAAAGGCAGUAAUUUACCUGCAGUUAACAGUUAUUACGGUUGAGAUUUGGGUAGUGAAAAGACCUUGCUCUUGUCUUAAUUUGGCCAUUAUUUGCAAUUCAACAUUGAGAGCUGUAAAACCAGAGAUGGUAUAUAUAGAACGCUAUCCAGAGACAGUGAUUACUAUAUUAUAUACUUGUGUGAUUAAGAGAGACAAAUUAAAGAGCUAAGCUUAAAACAAACGCACUCUUCUCCCCUCAAGUCUCUAAUUCAACACUAAGAUUAACCUCAUCUUUUGUGUUCUUUGAAACCAAAAAAGUAACAAGCAAGGAAAAGGAAAAGAAAACGGAGAAGGUGAACUGUGGACAUGGGGUCAGAGCCAGAGAGCACCAGCAUCUUUGAGAAGAGGGACGAGUGAGCCGUUGAUAUGUGAAGCCAUCACUCUCUCCAUUGAUCCUAUCAUCUUCCUACCGAUGAAUACCACCGGAAGUGCCCCCGGAGAAGUGGGGCUGGAGCAGCCAAGGAGACGAAGAAGGGCUCGGUGGAUAUCGACGCCAUAAGGGUGGAGGUCGAGCUCAUGGACGGCAGGGCUGACUCCCAUUCCGCGGAAGAGACGCUUCAUGGCGUGGCACAUGGAGCAAGUGCUCAUGCUGAAUAUAACCACCGCAUUUUCUGCAGCCAUGGACUCAAUCCUAACAAGAGUCUCCGAUGGAAAGACUCCCAUGUUGUUCAUCUUAUUAUAGGAAAGCGAGUCCCGAGUUUCGGAUUUGUAUUGCAUUUUGUCUUUCUUAGUUAGAGAGAUAUAUAUAGAAGGUGAGGUGUGUGAGUUGGUUGGGAUGUUGAAAAGAGUAAGAUGCAUGCAGACUAUUUACAGAAGGUGAGCUCUUCAUUUGAUUUGUACAUUUUGUUAUUUAUUUAUUCUAUAUUCCAAAUGAGAACAAAGUAACUGAUGUGAUAACUGAUAGCCAUGGUAGUUUAGCUUUUUAUAAUAAUAUGAUAUUUACUAAAGUUUAAAUAUGUUUAUCAGCGUUUUUAAACAAUAUGAAGUGUGGAAUAUUUUUGAUAUUUUCAGUUAAUUAGGUUAAUAGAAUAAAGGAUUUUUUUUUUUUGGUAAAAGAAUAAAGGAAUUGUUGGUAAUAGAUAUUAUAUCAUUCGUGUCGGCUAUUACCGCAAUAACGUCUUUAAUUAUACAGUUACACUAGCUAGUUAUGUCUUCAAAAAUGGUCUACUAUCUACGUAGAUGUGAAUAAAAUAUGAUUUACUGUGAUUUAUAGACAGCGCCGAAUAAAAACUUUGACGCUGCCAACAUUAUGUGAGCAAGUCGUAACAUUGAGAUGAGGUCGAAUGUUUAGAUAUGGCCGGUGGUUUUCCAAUAUAUUCCAUUUUUAUGCUUGGAUUCUCUGAUCAAUCUAUUUAAACAAGCUACACAAAAUAUAAUUAUCAAUAUGAUCAUAAAGAAAUUGGAAUAUUUUGUUUGGAACGCAAUCCAAGUAGGGCAUCGAUAUAUGCAAAUACAUUUAUAUGAGUGGAAUAUGUAAUCAGGGUCGAAUUUUGUGUAAUCAUUUAUCCUAGGUUCAGUGGAGGAUAUAUAAAUUACGCAAAAAAUCAUACAAAAAUAGAAAUAAAGGAGUCAUCAAUAUGCUUGGAAUGACCUUUUCUUUGAAAAAAGAAGCACUACUAAUUUUGAUAUAGUUGCAACCAGCAUUUACUUGCUAGCUAGUAGCUAACAUCAGGAAUAUCAGUGUUCUUGAUGUAUGGAAACUACAAGUUGCCAUGUGUUCUUGCUAACAUCUUUAUAUUUAUAUAUGGUAAAUCAAAAGUAGUGAUUUCUUUUAAAUAAAACUGCAUAAUUCAUAUAAUGUAGACUUUAAUUGUAGAUAAGUUCACUAAAAGUCUGGAAGAAGGUUGAAUUCACAUGCCUUUUUGGCUUCCAUCAUAUGCAUGCUUCUGCCUUCUAGUUUCUCAUGUUUGACCAACCCUUCCACCCCCAAAACAUAAUAUGAAUAAACGUUGUCAGCACAAUGAAAUUUGCAGGUACCAAUCUGCUAUCACUGAGUCACCACCUCUCAUCGAUUCCAUACGAAUAAAGUUCCUAACAUUAUUAAUAUUUUACAUCUAUCUUAUCACAUUUCUGAAUUCUUUUGUUUAUUUAUUUAAAUAAAAAAGAAAGGAUGCUCAUUAGAACAUGGUAUAGUAGUUUAAGUGAGUCCGAAGAGUUAUAUGUCCCUUCAUCAGUUUUAGAUUUUGGUGAAUAAACUAAAGCCGAUUUAUAUCUUAACACACAUUGUUAGCUUUGUGUUGCAUUAAAAAGAUGUCUUAAAGUACGCAGAGUGAAGACCUCUCAAACAUUGCUCUGCCUCUUCAUCAUUCACUAUCAAUGAAAUGUUUACCUGACAAAACACAUUUUCCACUCAUUAUAAAACCAAACCAUAACAAUACUAUAUUCAUAAGUUACAAAAAAAAAAAAAAUACUAUAUUCAUCAGUAUUCACACAGACAUGUAGCAACAGAGUUUUAAAAUUAGAUGCACAAUAAGACUGUAGCCAACUCUCACUCACCUUCUCUAAUAUGAGUGAUGAUUUCUGAAACAAUGACAACAUCUUACUUCUUCUCCAGCACUUACUUUAGAUAUCAAAAUAGUAGACAUUAACAUAGCGUGAGAAAAGACUUGCCCCACUCAGUUCCAAUUAUAUCAUGAAAGAAAAUAUUCCAUUGAUGGAAAAAUGUUGUAAAGGAUAACUGAUAACAGAAGAGUAAUGAGACAAAAGGAAAACACAACAACAAUCUCAAAAACUGCCCAUCGCCAAGGACACACUUCAAGCAUUCAUGUAAUGAUUCAGUUUGUAAAGCAAAACUUUUCCACUAGCGUUUCCCAUAGCCAUGAAGCCACUUCCAGGGCUGAAGUCCAAGCAGCGAGGGUAAUUCAUCUGUUUAUUUGGCGGCGGCCAGUUUGAGAAGACGGUUAGAGACGGAACAUGGACAAGCUUCACACUGUCUUUAUUCAUCCUCGAGAUUAUAGCUAGAAUCUGACCAUCAUGGUUGAACUUCAAGAAAUCAAUCUCCGAAGUGAGAUUGUCCACCGUCUUUAUCGGCUUCCUUUUGCCUCCCAAAAACUCAGCCUUCUUGUAGAUGUUCACGAUCCCUCUAUCAGUCCCAGAGGCAAACAAAGCUCCGUUAGGUGAGCUGCAAAGCGAAGUCCCACACGUGCUCCCUUCAUCCACACCUUUGUAUAAACACUUCAUCGUUCUAAGAUCCCAGACAUAGACUUGUCCAUCCCCUCCUGAGCUCAGCAGCUGCUUCCCGUCGUCACUGAACGCUAAGGACCUCACUGAACCGUUCAUCUUCAACGUUCCCGUAAGCUCUUUGGUCUUUGUGGACACAAGCAAGAUGUAGCCUCCGUUUCCCAUGAAGGCUACGGUCUUGGAGUCUUGCGACACUUCGAAACUCUCCAAGCUCUUCUCCUCUCUACCAACCAAUGGGCCAAUCUUGUCGAACUUCGCGUUCUCCAAAUCAAAGCUGUAAAAGUACUUCCUCCUUCCAGAGACAAUCACCUGAGAUCCGUUGGGCAAGAAAGCAGCUUUGUGAAUGGGACAGUCCUCGAGAAAGAUGCUCUGUAUCUUGGUGUUCCUCUUCCCAUCGAUCUGGAAAAACCUCAGCCUUCUAUCGUUGCCAGCGGUGAGGAGAAGCUGAGCGUUUUGAUGGAACUGGACAGAGUUAAUCGGAGCGUCUGAAGGGUCUGCUAUGUUGGCAUCCGCGUGUUCUGAAUACUCAAGAAGACCAGAACAGAGCUUGGAGCCACCAGACUUCACCACAAGAUCUUCGUUUGUUCUGAGAAUAUCAUCAUCAUCACCACCUUCUCCUCCAUCAUCAUCUGAGGAAUCUCCAUCAGUGAUUUGAGAAUCAGUCCUAGCCCAAUCAGUUCCAGGGUUAAGCUUAGCGUGAUGAGCUCUCAGCCUAGCAAUGUACUCAGAGCCAGAGAUCAAUCCCUCAUCCUCCUCUUUCCUCAGCUUCCUCAGACGGUUAACACUAGCUAUGUUAAUAUUAAUCUCUUUCUCUUCUUCAUCCUCCCAAGCAGCUUCUCCCUUCCUAAUAACUCUCUCUUCAUCAGAAUCUUGUUCAUCAUCAUCUUCAGAAUCUGGAGUUUGCCUCGCAGCAGAACGAUCUACACGAAACAGAUCAGACCCUUCCACAUCUCCUUCUCUCUUACCAAACGAAACAGGGUUGUAGAGUGAUCCAAACAACAAAUUCUCAAGCUUUUUCAUUUCAACCUGCUCAGACUCUCUUUGCUUCUCUUCCUCCAUCUUCCUUCUCUUGGCCCUUACGUCAUCUUCGGUCUCUUCUCUUCUAGCCUUGCUCGUCGGAGCGUUCUGUGAUAACGUACUCAUCGCUCAAUUCCACAAACUCUCUGUAAUCAAAAGAGUAAGUAUAAGAUUCGCACACUAGUUCAAGUUCGAAGAAACAGAGCUUCAAUCAAACCUAGUCUCUGUAAGGAUUACUAUACAAGCAACAACUUUAAACCUAAGCUACGGACUUACAUCGGCGACGGCGAGAGGUUCUCUUCUUCUUCGUAGGAGGAUUAGGGUUUUAAGAGGUUUUUACGAAAAUGUCGUUACAUGCCUUUUAAUGGGUCAACAACGGUGUGUACGCAGCCCUUGAAAAGCCCAUGGGCCACCUAACAGAAAAAUCUAUUACGAAUGGCAUUUUAGUAAAGUAAUGCAAAGUAUAUGCCUUGUUCCAACGGAAUCUGAUUUUUUCAACUAAAUAAAUCAAACAAAAUUAGAAAAUAUCGUUACAUGCCUUUUUUAUGGGUCAACGGCGUGAACUUUACGUCCUUUGAAAAGCUCAUGGGCCAUGACAUUUUUAGAGAAUAAAAAAUUAUUAUAGCUGGUAUUGUCGUAAUUGUUCCAAAGUAUAUUCCAACGGAAUCUAAUUGGCCAAUAAAGAGACGAGAUUCAUGAGGUAAUAAACAGCACUGGUCUUCUUUCUGGGGCAGCGUGAGAUCGGACAUCGAAACAAAACACAUUGCUCUCAUCUUAUCUCCGUCCUCCGUCGCGAUGGAAACGCCCAAGACUUCUUCUCUCAUCCCCAGCUUCCUCUACUCCUCAUCUCCGAGAUCUAUUCUCCGCGAUUCCAACGCCGCGUUCUCAUCCCCCAUUCUCGAGAAGUCUCGUUCAUCUCCGGCCGCGACGAUGGUGUCUCGGAAGAGUUUCCUAAUUGCGUCUCCCACGGAGCCAGGGAAGGGGAUCGAGAUGUACUCGCCUGCCUUCUACGCCGCGUGUACCUUCGGCGGAGUUCUCAGCUGUGGUCUGACUCACAUGACCGUCACCCCUCUCGAUCUCGUCAAGUGCAAUAUGCAGGUAUGUUUGUAAUAACCUUAUAGAUCAUUUAUCCACGUGUUGAGAUCUGCGUUUUAGCCUUUUGCUGUUUCUAUAAUUCAAAACAUUUCGAUCUGGUUAGUUGACUCUUCUGUCUGAAUUUUACUUGACGUUUGUAUUUGUGGAUUGAUUCACUUUUGGUCUUGAUGUUAUUACAUUGCUAACCAGAUUGAUCCGGCCAAGUACAAGAGCAUCUCGUCUGGUUUUGGGAUUCUGCUGAAGGAGCAAGGAGUCAAAGGCUUUUUCCGUGGAUGGGUUCCUACUCUGUUGGGUUACAGUGCUCAGGGUGCUUGCAAGUUUGGAUUCUACGAGUUCUUUAAGAAGUACUACUCCGAUCUUGCUGGACCUGAGUUCGCUGCCAAAUACAAGACCCUCAUCUACCUUGCUGGUUCUGCUUCCGCUGAGGUCAUUGCCGAUGUUGCACUUUGCCCUUUUGAAGCUGUUAAGGUCCGUGUUCAGACACAGCCUGGG
Molecule: long non-coding RNA, 99720 nt
Filed under: Brassica napus (rape)
Lineage: Eukaryota; Viridiplantae; Streptophyta; Magnoliopsida; Brassicales; Brassicaceae
Description: long non-coding RNA (BNAP_LNC023693)
Source: RNAcentral